RNAcentral lists this long non-coding RNA (90033 nucleotides) under Triticum aestivum (bread wheat). RNAcentral describes it as "long non-coding RNA (TAES_LNC006657)". The record is from RNAcentral. Lineage: Eukaryota; Viridiplantae; Streptophyta; Magnoliopsida; Poales; Poaceae.
GCCCUCGCCUACCUCACGCUCGCGCUCGCGGUCGUCAUCCACUGCAUGUACGCCGUCGCUGCCGCAGCCCGCCUCUUCCUCGUCGACGACCCAGGAGACCUCUUCAGCAUCUUCUGCACCGUGGCCGCCGUCUUCUUCAUGGCCAGCGACAUCAGAAGCUUCCUGGCCCUCCUGAGAGGUGAGGAGUAGGACUGAGAAGCAGGGCAAGCUCUACGUAACCGAUUAGUAUAUGAUCAGACAUAAUUCACAUGCUUAUGUAUGUAUAGUUGAUGUCGGUGAAAUUGGUACUGCAGUUUAUAAUUAUAUGCAUGAACUCAUGUUGUUACUCAUUCAUUCUCUAUGAACCGGUGGGUGGUGUAUCAAUGUGUAAGCUACGAAUCACUCCGAUCGAUCUAUCUUAGUUCAUAUGCUCAGAUCUCAAUUAUUACAGGGAGUUCGAAUUGAGGAGGAAGGAGGAUGGAACGAGCCAGCCAACACUCUCACUACUAUCCUAUCCAAACCUCGGCCGAGGCCGCCACCACCACAUGCUACAGAGCCACUAGGACAGCUAAAUAGUGUUUAGCUAGCGGGCCCAUUCUGGGCCGCGUAGACGAGCUGGGGCUGAAUGCUUCUGUUGGGCUUGGCCUGCUGCUCUCUUGCCAGAUUGCCCUGUAGCGCUUCAGGUGUUGCCGUUGGAACAUCCAUAGAGCUGCUGACAAUCCCCCUGGAGAAGAAACGGCUUGCCCCCAAGCCGGAGCGCGAGGGAAUUGUUGCUUGAGCAUCUCCUGGUCCUCCCAGGUCACCAUUGACACCGGGGAAUGGCUCCACUUGACGAGAACUUGAGCGAUCAAUUUGUCUCCCCGCGGUAUCAGGCGACGGUCGAGGAAACGAGCUGGAAUCUGCAGUUGAGCUGCUGAAGAAGGAAGUGACUGACAUACCUGCUGAUCAGCCUUGACAUGGCGCUUGAGUAGAGACACAUGGAAGACUGGGUGCACCCUACAAUUCUCCGGGAGUGCCAGCCUGUAUGCUACUGCCCCGAUCUUGGCCGUGAUCUUGAAGGGGCCGAAAUAUUUGAAGGCCAGCUUAUGGUUUGCUCGCGGUGCAAUAGACGACUAAAUAUAAGGUUGCAUCUUCAGAAAAACUGUCUCCCCCACUUCGAAGGAUCUCUCUGUCCUGUGCUUGUCGGCUUGAGCCUUCAUUUGUUGUGGUGCCCGUAGAGAAUGUUGCUUGACUGAUUCCAUGGCAACAUGUCGCUCAUUCAACCAUUGUUGGACAUCAGAAUUUCCAAUAGCAUCCACUGGAAAAAUACCAAAGUAACGAGGAGCAUGCCCGUAUACCAGCUCGAAAGGAGUACGACCCGUCGAUGAGUGCCAGUUUGUAUUAUACCAGAGUUCACAAAGAGGCGGCCAACUGGACCAACGAUUUGGGUGGGCACUGAUGAAACAGCAGAGAUACCCUUCCACCUGCUGGUUGACACGCUCGGUUUGCCCGUCAGUCUGCGGGUGUUGACCUGAGCUCAUGCGAAGUUUAAUACCAGUUCUGCUACACACUUCCUUCCAGAAAAUGCUGGUGAAAAUAGGGUCCUAAUCUGAAUCCAAUGAGUCAGGGAGGCCAUGGAGACGAUACACACGAUCGAGGAAGGAUUCAGCCACUGUGGCAGCCGUGUAGGGAUGUUUGAGUGCAAUGCAAUGACCAUAUUUGGUCAGUUUGUCAAUGACCACCAAUAUGCAAUUGUAGUGUCGUGAAACUGGUAAACCUUCAAUGAAGUCCAUUGUCGUCAUUUCCCAUGGCUGUGAAGGCACUGACAAUAGUUGCAGUAAACCAGGAUAAGGUACACGAUCAGGAUUCGCGAGCUGACAGACCUGACACUGCUGUAAGACCAUUUUGAUCAUUUUCUUCAUAUUUUCCCACUGAAACAGCUGUGAUACCCUGCGAAAAGUUACUGGAAAACCAGAGUGUCCACCGGCUGAACUGGCAUGCAGACUGUUGAUGAUCUUAAGUUGCAAUUUUUCAUCUGAACCAAUCUAGAUGCGUUUCUUGAAACCAAGCAGGCCCCCAUGUAAUGUGAACUUAGGAUCUGCCUCUGGGUCGACAGCUAGUUUCUGCAGAAUAGCAGUAGCACUAGGAUCAGAAUAGUAACUGUUCAUGAUUUCUUGCAGCCAUGCUGGUUGAACUUCAGAGAUUGUAUAACAGUCACCAGGCUCAUGUGGUCGUCUGGACAAGGCGUCUGCAACUCUGUUAUCUGCCCCCUUCCUGUAUACAAUCUUGUAAUCUAGGCCCAAGAGCUUGGUGAGGGCCUUUUGCUACCAGGCUGUGUGCAAACGUUGUUCUGUUAAACUGACCAUGGCUUUUUGAUCAGUGAUAAUGUUGAAUUCCUUGAGUUGCAGAUAAGAGCGCCAUUGUUUCACUGCCAGGAGAAUUGCCAAAAAUUCCUUUUCAUAUACUGAUAGAGCACUAGUAGAAAAAGGGUCAAAUGUGAGACACAUUAGUCCCGGUUUGUAACAGAACCGGCACUAAUGUGUCCAUUAGUGCCGGUUCCAACGGCUAGCCGUGAGGAGCUCUUUAGUACCGGUUCGUGGCAAACCUUUAGCACCGGUUCGUGCCACGAACCGGUACUAAUGAGAGUGGUGGCAGGAUGUUGUCAGAGUGGGGCCCUUCCAGCACCUUUAGUACCGGUUCGUGGCACGAACCGGUAAUAAUGUUGUCAGAGUGGGGCCCUUCCAGCACCUUUAGUACCGGUUCGUUGCACGAACCGGUACUAAAGGUCGUCCUAUAUAAAUCCUUUGUCCACCCGCACUCUGUUCUUCCCCCUUUCCCCUCUCCCUCUCCUCUGUUCUUCCCUUCUUCCUCUCGAGUUCAUCACAAAAUUUGCCCCAAAUUUGUCAAGAUUUGCAGACCCUCAUCCAUUCAAAUGAUCACCAAGGUUAGCAACUUUGUCCUUUCAUCUCUCAUUGCUAGAUUAGCUCUUGCAUUGGUUUAUAUAGUGAUUAAUUGUGGGUUUUAGUAAUUUGGGAGGAAUUAUAUGUGGUAGUAUUUGAUUUAUAUGCAAUUUGAGGUUAAAAUAACACUUAGCUUGCAUAUGUAGGUGUGGUUUACUUAGUGCCUUCUAAAUCUCCGUCGUAACCACUGUCGAUCGCCCGCACCGUCCCGUCGCCGGCACCACCUUGUGGUGAGCCUCUUGUUCAUGAAAUUUUAUAUAAAAAAUUGAUGUUUGUGUGAUUUGGAUAUAUAGUUACUCGUAUAAUAAUUAUCUUAUCCGUACGUUGUUUGUUAUACAUAGUGCCAUGGUUUUGAUAUCCGUCCCCGUCGGCCCUCGUCCUUGUUAUGACUCGGAUGUGGUAUAUUCUCUUUUAAAACUAUUUGUUGCAUUUCGUGUUUAUGACAAAUUAUGCCCAUCAAGUUGAUAUAGAUAUUUUUAUCUAGGAGGUAUGUGAACCGGAAAUUCCACCCGACCCUAUUGUCGAGAGGUUAAAUUUAGUUGAAAGAGAAAAUGAGUACUUGAAAGAAAAAUUGAAAAGAAUUGAGGGGGAGAAGAUGGAAUUGGAGUUGCAUGUUGCCGAUGUCGUCGAUGAUCACAAGAUCAAGAUGGAGAAAAUGCGCUUGAAGAUUAGAAAGAUUAGAAAAUAUGCCAUCGAUAGUGAGGCUUGGUAUCAUUAUGUUGUUGGAUCAAUUGUUACCUUAGUUGCGAUCUUGAUCGCAUUUGUUGUUGCAUUUAAAUGCUUUAGCUAGAGAGUUAUUUGUUUGUUGCAUUUAAGUGUUGUAUGAACUUUAUGUAUGAACUUGUAUUAAUUUGGUCUAUUCGGUGUUGUGUAAUGAAGAUGAGCCGGCAAUGGAUGUACGAUGACCGAUGCUCUCCCCAGUUUGUUGAGGGCGUGCAUACUUUUCUGCUUGCGGCUGAGGCAAACAAGCGGGCGGAUGGUUUUAUGCCUUGUCCAUGUGCUGGCUGUAAGAAUGGUCGCAAUUACUCGAGUCUGGUUUUUUGGUCCCAAAGCCUUGCUGACAAAGGCUAGGGGGUGCCCAUCCUGUGUUGGCACAACCCCAAUACCGCAGUCACUAGCAUUAGUUUCAAUAGUGAAAGCCUUCUGAAAAUUUGGAAGAGCCAAUACAGGACCAGUAACUUGAGCCUGUUUCAGAGUCUGGAAGGCUUUGUCCUCUAUGCUAGUCCAAACAAACACACUGCCCUUGCGUAGGAGAUUAGUCAUGGGUUUAGCAAUAACCCCAAAGUAACGAAUAAAUUUCCUGUAGUAGCCAGCCAGCCCAAGGAAACUUCUCACUUCUUUCACUGACACUAGUGUAGGCCAUUGUUCAAUGGUACUAAUCUUUUCAGGGUUGGUGGAAACACCAUCCUUGCUGAUAAUGUGGCCCAGAUACAAUAACUUUUGGGAGGCAAACUCACAUUUGGAAAAUUUCACAUACCACUUGUCCUUUCAAAGCACUUCCAAAACCCUCCCGACAUGUUCUAAGUGUUGUUUUAGUGUUUACUGAAAAUCAGAAUAUCAUCAAAGAAGGCUAGUACAAAGGUCCUCAGCAUUUCAGGCUCUUGUGACAAGGAAACAUUGGUGGCACCUUGGAAGGUGUUUGGUGCCCCUGUCAACCCAAAACCAACAACCAUGAAUUCAAAAUGCCCAUGAUGGGUUUGAAAUGCUGUCUUGUACUCUUCUCCAGGAGCUAAUCUAAUUUGAUGAUAUCCAGCUCUGAGAUCCAGUUUUGUAAACCAUUGAGCACCAUGUAAUUCAUCCAGGAGUUCAUCUAUCACAGGCAUAGGAUAGUUUCCUUUGACUGUAAGUGCAUUCAGGUGCCUAUAGUCCACCACUAGCCUCCAUGUAUGAUCCUUCUUUUUGACCAAGAGCAUAGGUGAAGAAAAGGGACUAUUACUCCUUCUAAUGACACAAGAAUCCAACAUCUCUUGGAUUUUCUUCUCUACCUCAUCCUUCAGCUCUGGGGCCAGCCUGUAGGGCCUGUGAGAAAAUGGUAUAGCACCAGGAAUAAGAGGAAUGGCAUGAUCACAAGCUCUUUUAGGAGGUAAACCAACUAGGGUAGCAAACACAUCUUUGUAUUCCUCAAUAAGUCCCUGAAUUUCUGGUAUGAGAGUGGGAGCAUUUUAAUCAGUCACUACAGACAGUUCUAUGAUGGUAUAAGCAAAGUCAACAGGUGUUGCCCCUUGAAUUGUUACAGACUGACCCUGCAAGGGGAAGGACAUCCAUUGUUGUUCCCAGUCUACUAUCAUUGGACUAUGUUUAGCUAACCAGUCCAUACCCAGAAUUCCAUCAUAACAGCUGAGAGGCAAGAUUCUAAGGUCAUGUUCAAACUGAACUCCUUGCACUGACCACUGGCACUUUGGUACAUAGUUGUCACAACUCAUAAUUCCUCCAUUUGCAACCUUCACCUUCAUUGUUGUACAUUUCUGCACUCCUGCCAAUGUGCUAGCUGAAUUGGUAUCCACAAAGGAAUGGGUACUGCCUGAAUCUACCAAGAAUGUUCUAUGUUGUCCCUGAAUAACAACACUUAAUUGGAAGGCCUUGUUGUGGGCUGAUUUUCCUUCGACUGCUUCUGAAAUAACCAUAAGAUUCACUUCUUCAUCCUCAUCAGUAAGCAGAUCUUCUGUUGAUGUGCACUGAAAAAAUUCAACCAUUUCUUGUACCACAUGGAGUGAUACUAUCUGUUUGCAUUGGUGGUCUCUGCUCCAUUUCUCUCCACACAUGAAACACAGGCCCUUGGCCGUGCGGUAAGAUCUUAGUGCUUCCCAUUUGUCCUCACCCAGCUUCUUUCUUUGAACAUCUGAAUUAGUUCGUCUAUCUUCAGCAGUUUUGGUCGUAGCUGGUUUGGCCGAAGUGACUGCCUGUGUAUACUGUUGUCGCUUGACAGAAUGGCCUUGUUGAAGAGCAUAACUGGUCAGAGACUCAUGCAAUAACGCCAGUUCAUAAGCUGCAUCCAGAUCUGACGGUUGCUAUAAUGCCACCAGCACUCUAACAGUCGGGUUCAGUCCAUCGAUGAAUUUAGUAACAUAAUGCACAGACUCUGGAACGGCCUCAUACGCAGAUAGCUGAUCAUAUAGUUCAGCAAACUGCUCGACAUAAUCUUCCACUGAGCCUGUCUGAACUAUGUUGUGGAAUUUUCGAACUAGCGCCUGAUACUGAUUUCGACCAAAUCGGCACUGUAGCAGUCUGCAGAAUUCUUCCCAGGAUGCAUUUGGUGCUCUUCUCUAAACCGAUUCCAACCAACGCGUUGCUGCACGUUCGAACAGAGUAGAGCCGAAUUGGACCCAGAGAUGCUUCGGCAUGCCACACAUGCCGAAAUAAUCUUCACAUCUCGACUGCCAGAGCCUCGGAUUGGUGCUGUCAAAAUGGGACAGUCGAUGCGCGGUGCAAAUCCAUAGGUGUCAGUAUUCUCUCGGUGUAAUUCACCCAACUACGAACUGAACACUGGAUUGUGGUCGGAUCUCGUACCUCUGGCCGGUGGUGGUAUGUACGGAGCGUGAUCCUUUCCCUUGGCCGUUGGAGCAGACCGGCUGCCCUCAGGGGCGGUGUCUCUGCUGGCGGUCACGAAUUGGCUUGCCGGCGGUCGACCUCGUGCGGGUGAAGUGGAGGCGGAAGGCGCCCGUUCCAGCCCGGUGCGAAGCUCGUCCAUGUCAACGCCGAUCGACAGCUUGAGAUCAUCGAUGCGCGUCAUCAGAUCGCCUAUGAUGGACCGCAUCGACUUAGCCGCUUCCUCCUCUUGGCGCUUGAAACGUACGUCGAGGGACUCCGCUAGGUUGGCCUUGAGGAACUCGUACACCGCCUUCGUCGCCGGCGACAUGCUCUCCAUAGCUUCAUGGCGGCGGCGCGCGGCGAACCUCGUCGCGUGGGGAUGAUGGAGCGGAACUUGUUGCGCCAGGAUCGAAGCUCUGAUGCCAAUUGUAAGCUAUGAAUCAUUCCGAUCGAUCUAUCUUAGUUCAUAUGCUCAGAUCUCAAUUAUUAUAGGGAGUUUGAAUUGAGGAGGAAGGAGGACGCAACGAGCCAACCAACACUCCCACCACUAUCCUAUCCAAACCUCGGCUGAGGCCGUCACCACCACACGCUACAGAGCCACUUGGACAGCUAAAUAGUGUUUAGCUAGCGGGCCCAUUCUGGGCCGCGUAGACGAGCUGGGGCUUGAAUGCUUCUCUUGGGCCUGGCCUGCUGCUCUCUUGCCGGAUUCCCCUGUAGCACUUCAGGUGUUGCCGUUGGAUCAUCCGUAGAGCUGCUGACACAAUGUAGUCCAUGGGGGGUCCAAAUGUCGGUUUGGUCCGGACUUUUCCACUCGGGUGAGAUUGUUUAGUACUGUACACGUUCGUGCAGUCUUACAUUUGAGCGUGCGCACGUGAUGUGCUUCGAUUCUGCUACAUCAUGCACAUCGUUAACCAUCCAUGUUACAAACGCAGGAUCGAGCCUCGGUUAGAAGAAUCGCACCACUCGGCCUGGUGAACUGAUUCCACCGAAUAAUGCUAACUGACCUAACACAUGUCUAGUUUCGCUUUCCUAGCACAUCGCGAUACAUGUUCUAUGGCGCAUUGCUCUACAGCGAGGCGACCCGAUGAGGAAAGGACAUGAAAAACAUGACUGCACGGUGACAAUGUGCUCCGAAAUUCGUAAAUCUAAUGUUUACGGGCAGUCAAAUUGCCUAGACAUAAAUUGUCCUAAUGUGAUUGUGCCUCUGCUAGUCCGACUGCAAUCAAAACCAUUUUGGGUGGUUGCUUAUCUCCGAACACAAUUGUAGCGGUGGUCGGUAAAUGGAUGAAUUUGUCGGUCAUGCAUUCAUUAGUGUCACUCUUUCCCCGAUGUAUAAAGACCCCAUUCCGCCUCUAAUCUGCUCUUCAGUUUUUCUUUCAAGAAACGCUACUAAGAAAAAGAUUAUAAGUGCAUGCACAUUAGUGACCGGCACUGCAUGAGCCGGUCACUGGUAUUUCUGCCUAAUAGUUGUGGCGGGUAGAAAAGCGGGCCUGGCACUGAAAUUUACAGACCAGUGGCGGGCGUGAGACUAGGCUCGCUAUUGGUUCUCUAGACCGAUGUUAUGUCACGCCCAAUAUGCGACCCUAUCCAAAAGGAACUCGAAGGUCCCACCAAGGAUAGACCCGCAUAUUGAAACGCUUUUGCAAGGUGGAUAUCAUUACAUCAACAUUACAUAAUAGAUGGGGAUACAUACAUAAGGCAUACAAUGCCACUCGAAUACAACAUCACAAUACAUAAGAUCAACAUCCGACUACGGAUGAAACACAAACAGAAGCUCAAACGACAUCCACCCUACUAGCCCAGGCUGCCGACCUGGAACCUAUCCCCUGAUCGAAGAAGAAGCAGAAGAAGAACUCCAAGACAAGCAAACAUCGCUCUCGCGUCAUGAUCAUCGCAUAACCUGUACCUGCAACUGUUGUUGUAGUAAUCUGUGAGCCACGAGGACUCAGUAAUCCCAUUACCAUGGGUAUCAAGACUAGCAAAGCUAAAGGGAAAGGAAGGGGUAAAGUGGUGAGGUUGCAGCAGCGACUAAGCAUAUAUGGUGGCUAACAUACGCAAAUAAGAGCGAGAAGAGAGCAAGCGGAACGGUCGUCAACUAGCAAUGAUCAAGAAGUGAUCCUGAACUCCUACUUACGUCAAACAUAACCCAAAGACCGUGUUUGCUUCCCGGACUCCGCCGAGAAGAGACCAUCACGGCUACACACGCGGUUGAUGCGUUUUAAUUCGGAUCUGGUGUCAAGUUAUCUACAACCGGACAUUAACAAAUUCCCAUCUGCCUAUAACCGCAGGCACGGCUUUCGAAAGAUUAUACCCUGCAGGGGUGUCCCAACUUAGCCCAUGACAAGCUCUCGCGAUCAACGAAGGAAUAGACCUUCUCCCAGGAAGACCCGAUCAGACUCGGAAUCCCGGUUUACAAGACAUUUCCACAAUGGUAAAACAAGACCAGCAAGACCGCCCGAUGCGCCGACAAUCCCGAUAGGAGCUGCACAUAUCUCGUUUUCGGGGCAACACCGAAUGAGCAAUCCGUACAACUAAAACCAGACCUCAAGUUUCCCUGAGGGGGCGCUGCAAAGGGCUCUAGUUCGGACCAACACUUAGACAAGCACUGGCCCGGGGGGGCUGUAAUAAAGAUGACCCUUGGGUUAAUUACUCCCAAGGGAAAAGUAGGUGGUGGAGAGGCAAAUGGUAAAACCAAGGUUGGGCCUUGCUGGAGGAGUUUUAUUCAAAACAAACUGUCACGGGGUCCCAUAAAUCACCCGACCGCGUAAGGAACGCAAAAUCCGGGAACAUAACACCGGUAUGACGGAAACUAGGGCGGCAAGAGUGGAACAAAACACCAGGCAUAAGGCCAAGCCUUCCACCCUUUACCAAAUAUAUAUAGAUGCAUUAAUAAUAUAAGAGAUAUUGUGAUGUCCCAACCAAAAUCCUGUCCACCAUGGAGCAAUCUUCAAACUUCACCUGCAACUAGCAACGCUAUAAGAGGGGCUGAGCAAAGCGGUAACAUAGCCAAGCAACGGUUUUCUAGAAAGGGUGUCAAAGGUUAGAGGUUCAUGGCAAUUUGGGAGGCUUGAAGAGCAACAGAUAGGUAACGCAGCAUAGUGAUAGAACGAAGCAACUAGCAUAGCAAUGAUAGUAUUGAGAUCCUGGGUAGCGGUCAUCUUGCCUGAAAUCCCGCAAGGAAGAAGAACGAGUCCAUGAAGAAGACGAACGGGAGAAGUCGAACAAAUCCUCACAAUCGCAACAUUACCGGAACUAAGAAGCAACAAUGGAAAGAAACAAAGAACAUGGUAAAUGCACAAGCAUGAACAUGGCAUGAUGCACAAACAAGUAUGAUGCAUGUCUGGUUUAAUAAGGCAUGGCAUGGCAAAGGCAACCAAACAAUACUACAAGUUAAGUGGAGCUCAAUAUGCAACGAGUUGCAUAUUGACGAAACACCACAUCAAUUAUUUAGUUCUCUCUCGGUUAGGUACACAACAAUAUUAAAUGUUGUUAAACAUGGCAAGAGGUGAAACAUAACGAAACUACCUAUCUAGGCAAGUUUAAAUGAGGCCGGAACAACAAACAACAAGUCCGGAAAAUCCCCAUAUGCAUAUUUUAGAUUCGGUACUGUUCUGCCCUAAACACAAUUUUAAUGUUGUUAAACAGCAACAUAAAGUGGACCAUGUUAAACUAGGCAUUUUUCCACCCCAUUUACAUAUAAAGUUUAUUUAAAAUGGAGCUACGGUUAUUUAGUUAUGAAAUAAAUCAUUUUAACAUGGCAUAUUAGCAAAUUUAAAUAAACGGCAAGUUAAACAUUUUUAACAUAGAUGAAAGUGGCAUAUUAUUAAUCUACACAAUUUUCUGAGCAUUUUACAUAUAUGAAGUUUUUACAUAUGAUGCAUGGUUUGUGAGUAAUUAUAUGCGUGAGUCUAGGGGGUUUUCUGUAAAACAGCUAAACACUAAAUAAUGGACAAAUUCGCAGUCAGGGAAAAAACAUUCAUUUGGCUGAAUCUGGUGGGCACUGGGGCGCUCACCAUCGGCCUUGGCCCGGUCGGUGGAGGCAGCAGGCCGGCGGGCUGGGUGAGGAGGCGCGCUGGGCCGGGGGAUCUGGAGGCAGAGGCGCGGUCAACGGAGCGGCUGAAUCGAGCGGGACUUGGCGCUGCGGUCGUCCUUGAAGCAGAGGAAGCAGGGGCGACGGCCACGUGAGGCGAAGGAACUCCGGCGAGGCAGAGUCGGCAUGGAGGCGAACGGGGGGGCCGGGCACGACGGUUGCUGGGGCGAGCGAGGCAGAGAAGGGAACAAACUGCUCGUCUCCUGGCUCCUGGCUCGAGCGCCUGAAGAAGACGAACGCGCGGCAGGAACUCCAACAAGCGGCGACUUGGCGUCCAUGGCGGCUCUGCUUCGGCAGCGCGGGCACAGUUUGCAGAAGAACGGGGCGGCAGCGGGUUAGGAGCGACGACGACGAAGCAGGCGACGGCUGGGGAACGAGGCAAAACUCGGGCGCGGUCAUGGCCUUCCUGUGCACGGGAGAGAGAUCAGAGGAGGAAGGAAUGGAAAAAAGGAAGAGAAAAAGAGGAGACGGGCGGCGACUCAUCUGCUCGUUGGCAGCAGCUGAACGGAGGCGGCCGGACUUGGAGGUCGAGGUCACCGGCGGGCUGGGUCACCGGAGCGCGCGGUGAUGAGGCCAUACAUGGCCUCUGGUACGGCGGGGCGAAGGAGUUGGAUCGAGGAGCUGCUCUGGUUGGUCGGGCGAGCGAAUCGGGGAGGAGCAGUGGGGAGCUCUGGUUGGUGGCUGGAGGAAAAUGAGGAGAAGGGAUCCCGAGGGGAUUUUGUGGAGUGGCGGCGGCGAUGAGAUGGAUAGGACAUUGAUCCAAAAUUUCAGGGUUAGGCUAUAGUUAGUCCGGUGUAUAUAUAGCAGGUGGACUAGGCUUAGGGGCUACCUCGUCCCUCCGAUCGUAAUCGGAUGGUCGCGAAUAAAAUAGUUAGGGAGCCCAAUUAACAAAACGGAGAUGUUUUGCGGAUGUUUGGGGAUGAUCCGGAUCCAACGGUCACGACAGCUCGGGUCGGGUUCGGGGGAGUUUCGGACGCGCGCGCGAGGGGUCUGAGAGCUGGCAAGAGGGGUUAGGUGGUCACGUAACGGUCAACGAAGCCAAGGGGUUUGAUGCACUAUGCAAAGAGGGAUUAGAUGGGCUGUGCGAAGGGGGGUUGGGCUGAGAAGAGAGAAGAGAAGGCAGCCCGGCAACAGUUUCGGAGACCGAAACGUCCGACGAUUAAACCGGCAACGGUGCCGCUACGGAUGACGGUUGGGCUAACAAACGGACUCCUAAUGCGAUGAAAUUUGGCAGGCGGUCUGUCUACACUAUAAUAAGACCACAUGACAAGUUGCAACCCAUUCCGAGAACAUUUUUAUGCCACUUAUAAAAUAAUAUUUCGGAGGUGCCGCGGGCGCGUGCGAGUGUGGUCGGGGCUCAGAACGGACAACGGAGAGAACCGGGGAAACCCGGACGGAUGCAAGUUUUAAUGAAAAUGAUGCCGAUGCAAUGCGAAUGAUGACAUGAGACGAGAUGCAUAACAAGAACAAAAGCAAAACAACAGACAAAACCCAACCACGGAGGAAAUAACAUAUAGCAUCUCCGGAAAAGGCAAGAGUUGGAGUUACGAAUAUGGAAAGUUGCAUCCGGGGCGUUACAUGUUAGUUGUGGGACAACAACGCCAAUGACGGGCUGAAAGAUGGUGCCAGCCACUGGUAGCACCCGCCAACGGUGUCAAGCUUGUUUUAUCUGCCACGGUUGAAACACUUAGGAGUAGGUAAUUUGUGAGAAUUCCCUAUGUUUGGUUUAUAGAUUAUAGUGUGGUAUUUUUUUGUAUGACCUUGUUAUUGUAUGAAAGAAAAGUUUGAAGUUUGUAGGUUUCAUUAUUUGCUAUAUUUCAGACAUUUUAUUAAUAAUUUUGUAUUCAAUUGGAUAUAAUUCAAAUUAAUGAACGCGUACUUCUUAUUUGUUGACAUGGCCUAAAUACAUAGUCAGUAACUUAAAUGGUAUGUUUUCACCAAUUUUUGGGCAUUUUUAAUGUACAUGUAGUUCAAAAGCAGCAUGGAUAGCCAGCCGGAUGGCAGCCUGGAUCGCCUCCUUGGCCACGGUCACAAGCAGGGGAUCACGCAUCUUCUUGCCAUCCAUGGUUCCAACAGUCGACCCCACUAGGGGCCGGCAGGGUCGGGAACUCGGUCACUGGUCGGAUGGGAGCCUACGAGCUUGGUUUGCUUCUUCUUUCUUCCGAAGGGCUGUGGCGGAUUCUUUUUAAGUAGCCGAGCAACGCAAUGCAAGAGAGAAAAGUAAAGCGACCAAAGACGAGUCUGAGUCACACAGGUGCAGCGCGUGACCGAGCCGAACCUUAAUUUCUUUGCAUGCAAUUGGAUAUAUAUACAUAAAGAAAUGUGAUGGGGGUGAAGCCUCAGCAAACGCACAUAAAAAUGUGACAUCGACACACAGGCACACACAUGCAUUGGCAGUAAAAAGCUAGCUAGCUAACUCAUUUUAGGUGCACAUUAUUUUUUCAGUUUAGCUAUAUGUAAGUUGCCUGAUUUUUAAAUUUGGGUCAGUUCGAAUUUUUCGUCCGUUGGAUGCUGCUACAAGAUGUAUGCUGGUUUUUUUAUCCUUUGUGUGUGCUGUUCUGUAUUGGGCUGGAUUUUUUGACUGACCAUAUUUUGGGUUAGUCGAUUUUUUGUUGGGCUGAAGCAUGUUACGUGUUUUUCUUAUUGGCUGUCUGUAUGCAUUUUUUCUUCUGUUUUUAAAAUUUUCUAUCGGUUUCGAUGGGUAUAUUUCCUUUUUCUUUUUCAUUAUUACUUGUUGGUUUCUAUUUUUUCUGUUAUAGGUAUUUUUGCGAUGUUGGGUGUGUGUAAAUGUAUAUAAAAGUACACUGUAGUAUGUGCAAAAAUUACACUAUUAUAUAAUUCUUGUUUGCAUACAACAAAAAGUGUAAUUUUAGUGCAAAGUUGUGUACAAUUUUUUUUCAUAUUUUUCUUCUUAAAAAGUAUAUCCAAUGCAACUAAUUCAUUGUUCCUUAUAAAAAUUUCUUAUUUUGUUAUUGAUUUAGUUAUUAUUUCAUUACAUACAUAAUCUUGCAAAGUAUAAAAAAGUGCAAUUUCUAUGUAAAUUGUGUGCCAUAUUUUAUCGUUGUUUGUUUCUAUUUUUUAUUUUCUUUCUUCUUAAAUGGUAAUACCAAUGUCACUAACUCAUUGUUUCUUUAAAAACUUCAUUAUUUUAAUUUUGUUUCUGUGUUGUUUCAUUUUCUUUGUUCUUAAACGGUAAUACCAAGCCACUACUUCAUUCUUUCUUAGAAACUUCAUUAUUUUAAAUUUCAUAGUUUUUACUUCAUUUUCUUUCUUAUUAAACGGUAAUACAUAUGCGGCUAAUUCAUUCAUUCUUAUGAAACUUUUAUUGUGUGAAAAUACCACUAUAAUAUGCUCAUUUUUGCAUAUUUUAAAAAAGAUCAAUUUUUGUGUAAAUUGUGUGCAAAUUUCAUCAUUGUCUUUUAUUUCAUUUUCUUUCUUCUUAAAGGGUAAUACCUAAGCCACUAAUUCAUUAAUUCUCGGAAAACCUUAUUAUUUUGAUUUUGUUUAAUUUUUUAUUUAUUUUUCAUUUUGAUAAUGUUUUAGUUAUUACUUCAUUUUCUUUCUUUGUUUAUGAUCAUACCAAUGCCACUGAUUCAUUCUUCCGUAGAAACUUUCAUUUUUGCGAAUAUUCCAUUAGUUGCAUGUUGUAAAAGAGCGCAAAUUUUGUGUAAAUUAUGUGCAUAUUUUGCAAAUAUACAUGGUUCCAUGCGCACCCACAUGAAUAGUAAAAUCAGAAAAAAAAAUACUGGAUUUUAAAAAAAAUCUCAAAUUUUGGGAUAUGAAACUUAGUCCACCAUUCUACUCACAUAUGAAGUUUCUUGAUGUAUUGACAUCCAUGGUAUUCUUAGUGAAGAAAAUACAAUUGGGACCAUACUAUUCAUCAAACAUGUUGUUCAAUAUAGCUUUGAUUUUGUCAUUUUUGCCCAGGGUACCAUGGAUGUGAGUUCUUCGUGAAACUUCACGUGAGUAUACCGGUUGACUAUGUAUAUUACAAAAAAGUUUCAGAUUUCUGACAUUUACUCUAGUUUUUUUAAUUUACUAUUCAUAAAGGGUGCGCGUGGAACCAUAUUCACCAAAUCCGCGUCCCAAAUUUUGUCAUUUUUUUAUUUCAUUAUUCUUCUGAAAGGGUAAAACCAAUGCCACCAAGAAAACUUCAUUAUUUUGAUUCCUUUUUAGUUUGUAUGUUAUUUUCUUUCUUCUUUAAAGGUACUCCCUCCGUUCCUAAAUAUAAGUCUUUCUAGAGAUUCCACCAAGUGACUACAUACGGAGCAAAAUGAGUGAAUCUACACUCUAAAAUAUGUCUACAUACAUCCGUAUGUUGCAUUCCAUUUGAAAUGUCUAAAAAGACUUAUAUUUAGGAACGGAGGGAGUAAUAUCGAUCCCGCUAAUACAAUUUUUAUUAGUAUUUUUUUUGUAAUUUCACUAUUAUAUGCUUAUUCUGUAUAUUAUAAAGAAUGUAAUUUCUCCGUAAAUAGCGAGCAUUUUUUGUCAUUUUUUCAAUUUUUUUCUUAAAGGGCAAUACUAAUGCCUCUAAUUCAUUUUUCCUUAGAAAACUUUGUCAUUUUGAUUUUGUUAUAGUUUUUAGUUCAUUUUUUCUUAUUUAAUGGUACUAUCAAUAGUAACUCCACUAUUAUACAAUUUAUUAUUGCAUACUAUAACAAAGCGCAAUUUCUGCAUGUUAUAACAUAUCGCAAUUCCAUAAAUUCCACUAUUAUGUGCUUAUCUUGCGUAAUAUAAAUUCCACUAUUUUGAUUCCAUACAAUUCUAUUUCUACUUAAAGGGUAGUACCAAUGUCAGUAAUCCAUUAGUUGUUAGAAAACUCGAGUGUUCGAUUAUGUUUGUUUUUGUUUUCUUGAACGUAUGGGCUACAAGUGCAUCCAUGCAUGCAUAACCGUCGCUGGUCUAGGCCAACUGGUGUGGUGAGGUCCGUCUCCGUCACAAUUAAUUGUUCAAUUCACUACUUGUACUCAGUUAUCCAGUUGUUAAAAAAAGUGACUUACCCAAAUUUCUGUGUAAAUUUUGCGCAUUUUUUUAUUGUUUGUUUAGAUUUUUUUUCUUUUAUUUCUUCUUCAAGGGUAAUAUUACUCCCAAUUAUUCAUUUUAGCUUAGAUGACUUCGCUAUUAUGAUUUUUUUAGUUUAUAUUUUAUUUUAUUUCUUCCUUAAGGGCUUUAUUAUAUUUUUUUAGUUUUCCCUUUUUUAAUUUUAUUGUGAUCAAGGCGUCUCCUGAUUUGGGGUGCAUUGAGUACUCACUGCCUUGAAAUACCCCCAUAAAAGUUGUCCCAUAUUCUAAAUAAAAUCAUCAUAUCAGCACAACAUAUGUUUACUAUACUACAAAAUAUCGAAAUCAAAUUAAAUAUAGUAAUAAAGUAAAUAAUUAAAUAAGACAAAUUGAAUAUUUACAAUGAUGCUUGGCCAUAUUCAUAACACUAUUAAAUUAGCUACUAUUCACCCACAUAUAGUUCUCAUUGAACCAUGUCUCAAAUUAGAAUUAGAAUUAGAAUUGCCCCUAUAUUCCUAUAUGUAAUUGUGAUUGUACUAAAAGAACUGAGAACUUUAUUCUCUCAACUAUUUGGGGAGUAUAGGCUCCACCACGAGCUACUUAAAUCGGAUACAUUUGUCCCCCAACUCCUGACAUUUUCUAGCUUUUUUGCUGAAAGUGGCUUUAAUCAUCACAACGGUAGAUUUAUCUCAUGUGGUGCCUAGAUAAAAGUUACCUUCAAAGAUUAUUUCAUUGGAUAUUUUUAUCUUAUUUAAAAAAAUCCUAAAAUAUAAAAAAGUAAAUAUAAUGAUAAGAAAUUUAAAUAACUAAAAAAUUGGAGAUUUAGUGAAAAUCACAUUUUAGAUUUUUCUUAAAAUUGUAUGUUCUUUCGUAUUUUUGAUGAUUUUAAGAACAUAUGGUUGUUUUUUUAAUAUGGAAAAAUAGUUUCCAUACUUAAAGUUGUGUGAUGUGUCUUACACAAAGGUGUCACAUGAUCAAAAUGUUUAAACGGUGAAACCCACAAGAGGGAACAAAUGUACAUAGUAUUAAGAGUUCAUCAAUAAAAUUAUCCAUUGGAAUAACUGGAGGACGAAAUCGAGAAAAAAAAUAUUAUAGAGACCAAACAAAUAUUUGUCCUAAGAAAUAACUUUCUUUAACGUUUAUUUCCUAAAAUUAUUUGGAAUUUCGAAAGAUUUUUUGGAGGGUUUGAUGUAGUAGCUAGGUGCCCUCGCAUUUUGCAAGGGCCACUGUUUUAGUUAGUAAAAUAAUACAAACCCAGGCUGUUCUAGUUAGCUAUGCAGACCUACACCNNNNNNNNNNNNNNNNNNNNNNNNNNNNNNNNNNNNNNNNNNNNNNNNNNNNNNNNNNNNNNNNNNNNNNNNNNNNNNNNNNNNNNNNNNNNNNNNNNNNNNNNNNNNNNNNNNNNNNNNNNNNNNNNNNNNNNNNNNNNNNNNNNNNNNNNNNNNNNNNNNNNNNNNNNNNNNNNNNNNNNNNNNNNNNNNNNNNNNNNNNNNNNNNNNNNNNNNNNNNNNNNNNNNNNNNNNNNNNNNNNNNNNNNNNNNNNNNNNNNNNNNNNNNNNNNUUUCGUGUUUUGACCCUUUUUACGAAGUUUAGCUGGAUCUGACCCUGGUUCGUAAAAAAUUUGGGAUCUGACCCUUUUUCCUACCGCCAUAACCCUUGGCGGUAGGGUAACACUGCCUACCGCCAAGGACUAUGGCGGUAGGACUUGACUGCUCCGUCACGGUCAUCCAACGUUGAAAAUACCCUUUGGCGGUAGGGUCUGGAAGGUUUAAAUUACAUGUGGCGUCUACAAGAACAGAAUCAGUCUAGUGGAAAAUUUGCUAGCUCAUGCGAGUUUGGUUCAGCAAGACUUGAGUUCGAGCCUCGACAAGGCCAAUUUACUGUUUAUUUUUAUUUUGCCCAAUAAAAAUUAAAUAAUGUGUCCAACUAAUAUUAGGACAUGAAUUACUUAUAAAAAUAUAUUUUUAUUUAUUUGUAACUGUUUUAUAAAAUUCCCGCAAAGAUAUAAACGAAUAUGAUGGGAUAAGCAAUUUGUCCAAUUAUAUUGUUAAGCUAUGGAUUACUUAUAAAAAUAAUUUUUUUACUUAUAUGUAACUGUUUCAUAAAAUUUCCGCAAAGAUUUGUUUUUCUGCAGUCCUUUUGCGGCUUAGAUCUGUAACAUACAUGGGAGAGAGCAGUUUUAUUCUUUGCUCAUCACGAAGAUUAGGCGCUCUCCAAUUAAAUUCUCAUCAUAUGUUACUUUGUAUUUCAUCCUUUCUUGGGUUCCAGUGUUAGAACACAAGUUUCAAAAAAAACAUAUACAAACUGUAACCUAGAAGUCGGACUGAUUCCAAAAGCGUUGAGCAAUUUAAGAUGAAGAUGGAGCACUCACCUUGACAAAGUGCAAGCUAGCUGCCACUGCUGCUCCUGCUCCGCCAAGGGAGUUCCCCAGUCUAGCAGUGCUUCUGAGGGAAAACGAAGGUCCAAGGACAGGGGUUAAUUGAGGGCAAAAGGAGAUGAUGAAGCAAAGAACUGAAGGUGAAUGCAACGACCUAACUAUCAGGGAGGCUUCAUAUACGAACGAUGAAGAGAUAUGUGGGGCCAAUAAUGUGUGAGACCAAUUGAUCUCGGUGAAUAGCCUUCCAAAUCUUUUUUAUGCAGGUAAUAUGUGAGACCAAUUGAUCAUAUUNNNNNNNNNNNNNNNNNNNNNNNNNNNNNNNNNNNNNNNNNNNNNNNNNNNNNNNNNNNNNNNNNNNNNNNNNNNNNNNNNNNNNNNNNNNNNNNNNNNNNNNNNNNNNNNNNNNNNNNNNNNNNNNNNNNNNNNNNNNNNNNNNNNNNNNNNNNNNNNNNNNNNNNNNNNNNNNNNNNNNNNNNNNNNNNNNNNNNNNNNNNNNNNNNNNNNNNNNNNNNNNNNNNNNNNNNNNNNNNNNNNNNNNNNNNNNNNNNNNNNNNNNNNNNNNNNNNNNNNNNNNNNNNNNNNNNNNNNNNNNNNNNNNNNNNNNNNNNNNNNNNNNNNNNNNNNNNNNNNNNNNNNNNNNNNNNNNNNNNNNNNNNNNNNNNNNNNNNNNNNNNNNNNNNNNNNNNNNNNNNNNNNNNNNNNNNNNNNNNNNNNNNNNNNNNNNNNNNNNNNNNNNNNNNNNNNNNNNNNNNNNNNNNNNNNNNNNNNNNNNNNNNNNNNNNNNNNNNNNNNNNNNNNNNNNNNNNNNNNNNNNNNNNNNNNNNNNNNNNNNNNNNNNNNNNNNNNNNNNNNNNNNNNNNNNNNNNNNNNNNNNNNNNNNNNNNNNNNNNNNNNNNNNNNNNNNNNNNNNNNNNNNNNNNNNNNNNNNNNNNNNNNNNNNNNNNNNNNNNNNNNNNNNNNNNNNNNNNNNNNNNNNNNNNNNNNNNNNNNNNNNNNNNNNNNNNNNNNNNNNNNNNNNNNNNNNNNNNNNNNNNNNNNNNNNNNNNNNNNNNNNNNNNNNNNNGAUCAACAGUGUGGUCGGGUGAGGUCACUCUGCAUCAAAAAAUCUGGCCGGACCAAAAUCACAGCUGGUCACACCUCACCUGAACCCCGGCGGAAUACAUUCAUAUACGUCAGCGGUUGCCGGAAUGAAUGAAAAACCAUGGCUCACUCCACAACCAUAAACAGCAUGAGCGAGGGAUGAAAAUAGAUAUAAUUAAACUUUAGUAACAAUUUCACCAACAUCAACUAUACCGAAGCUGGAUCAUAUAUAACUCCGUCAUCUGUGAUAAUCAUAAUGCAGGGAAAUGAAAAGGUCUAAUAUAUACAUCAAAGCCGGCCACAAUCCAGGCUAUUUAUAUAGCUCACAUUACACAAACAGUACUAAGUAGUACUAUAUAGUCAGACCCAUCCAAUUAACACUAGGUAAAUUCAGACAUAGCGCACUCCAUCAAUGGUCGUAGCAUAAUGCAUACUCUACUUUCUUAUUCCAUCACUUCAUCAGUACCUCAUGAACGAACAUCAGUUGAUCCAUGGACAUAUCUGCAGCUUGCUGAACUAAUCGAUCGGCUGCCUACGCACUGCUGCUUUGCCCUGCUCAUCAGUUGUCACCUCCCAGGAGGAGGCCAAGGAAGUAGAGCAGGUCGCCCCAUAGGAAGAAGGCAAUGUACGCGGUGCACAAGAUCCUGAGCAAGACGUAUCCAGGGCAGUCAGCGGCGAGGAGGAGGCGGACGGCGGCGACGUACAUGCAGUGGCCGACGAAGGCGACCACGAGCGCGAGGUAGGCCAGGGCGUGGCGGACCCAGCGGCGGCGGCACGACAGGUGCAGCGCCAGCGCCGCCGCGGCCGCCUGGAGUACGGCGCAGCGCAGCAUCCAGAGACAGAGGGCGCUCUCCUGGGCGGCCUUGGCGUCCGUCCACUGGACGCACCGCAGGGCGAAGGAGGACUGCACCCACGCAGACCAACACCACACCACGGUCCACACCCAAGCAUCAACAUGAUGAAUCCAUCGGAAAUUCGGAAUGUCCAUCAUCCAGCGAAGCUGCUCUAGUUGCGUAGAGUACCUGGAGGAGUGCGUAGGUGACCGCGUGGCCCACGGUGAAGCAGGCGUUGUAGAGCGCCCAUCUGCUGGCCCGCUGGACGGUAGCUGGAAUGGUCUUCUCGGCCGCGGUCACAAGCUUCUUGUUGCCGUCCAUGGUGACGGUGGAUCCAAGCUUCUAGUUUUCUGUCUGCAAAUGAAACAAGAAGAAAUAUUUCAGGGAGAAGAUUGAGAGGAGAACACGGUUAGUUGGUUGGCUUAAUUUUUCAACUGCUGAGAAGAUUUCAGUGAGAAGAUCUAGAGGGAGUAGAUCCGACGAGCUAGGCUAGCUAGGGGUGGAAGGGGGGACUCACCGUGAGUGGUCGGAUGGCUUGGUGUGCUUGCUUCUGGAGGAGUCUUGCUGUACUGUUAAAUUUUCCUUCCUGCGAAAGAAACAAGAAGAAAAGACUUCUAAAGAUGGAACACGCAUUCGUGGAGAGGGAGGGUGAGUAGAUCCAAAGAGGAGGGGAGACGGAAGGGGAGGGGACUCACCCUCACUGCUCGGAUGGCUAUGACUUGGUGGUGCCGGCUGGAGCGCUAGCUAGCUAUUUGGGAGCUGUUUAUGUAGCCUCUUGACGCAGCGGCUAUACUCCGGUCUGAUGAAAGCCAGGGAGGGAGAAGGGAGUCUCGCCCUCGAGUGGAGUGCGGUCUGGGCAGUGAGGAAACAACCGGGAAGCUGCCUGCGUUGUAGCUUUUUCAACUAGCAUAGGCCUAUGCAUCUUUCAUCUUGCCCAUUUGGCAGUCCCAGAAAUAAUGUGCCGGUUUGCUGCCCAUGCUCUAUGACUAGAGCUACAUGCAUGUCACUGCAAUGUUCUAUCUUUACCAAGAACGUACGAGAGGUGGGGCUCCAAUGCUCAACAAUGUUUUCUACUCCAACCACCGUCAAUAACAACCAAAAAAGGGUGAUAAUGACUACUGGCCAUGACCUACACGUCUCCAUCACAUAUCUUUUUUUUUUUGGAUCUUUUGGCCCGCUCAACAAACCAAACCAAGUCUAUGCAAAACAACAAUCACACCAUACCUGCUUAAGCUUGACAGCGAGCAACCGAGCCAGCUAGUUUGCUUUGUCCAAGUGACCUGGUCACUAUUUAUCCGUUUUAAACACAUGGAAGAUCAAUCCAUCAAAAAUCCAACUUCAGAGGUUUCAACGCUUGAAACAUCCUGGCUAAUUAAUCCCUCACAUGCAAGCUCAAGAAGAAACAUAUCCCAAGCAUGCUCACAACUCAUUGAACGACUAUUACUAUGGUCGAUAAAAUUGAUGCAGCAUCAAAUAAGAUUCUAAGGGCAUCUGCAAUGCUGGCCCUCAAACUGCCCGCAUCCGUUCAGACAUAUUUUGUCGUUCAACACCGUACUUUAUCAUUCUGCAGUAGUGUGAACCACCGCCAAGUAGGACUCUGACACCCCCGGCCCACUCAAAUUCCCCUUCUGGCCCACUUCUCAUCCUUUCCUGCUCGGUCUCGCUUGCUUUGCAUCCACACUCUCCUCGCCUACCGCCGCCGUUGUGCCUCUCCGGCGGCCACCGAGACAUCGUAGGGCGUCGUAGCCCCUACCAACGCCUCCAUCAUCCACCCAGGAUCUCUCUGUUGCCCUCAUCCAACAAUUAUUUUACGUUUGUGCGAAUGCCAAGAGGUUCAACUCUCGCCGGGCACUAGUGAUGGCAUCUGGUGGAAUGUCACCGCCGAUGGAUACUACUCCGCCGCAACCGCUUAUCUGAUGCAGUUUGCUGGAUUGAUCAACUUGGACAUGUCACGGUUAGUUUGGAAGAUCUGGGCCCCUCAGAAGAUUGUAUUCUUUUCUUGGCUUAAUAUUCAAGAUAGGAUUUCGACAGCAGACAUAUUGCUUCGCAGAGGUUGGCCCAACUGUACUAUUUGUCAACUAUGCAAAAGAAAAACGAAAAGCACCGCCCACCUCAUGCUCAAGUGUCGUUACACUAUCCGAGUUUAGAACAUGGUCUGUGAUGGGCUAGGAAUUCAAUCGGUGACGCCGACAUGGAGCAAUCUCCAAUCAAUCAAGCAAUGGAGGUGCUCAAACGAUCGAAUGCUAAGAGCAUUUACAGUCGGGCGCCUCAAACCAACCUCAUACACCAGGGUGGGUCACCCGGUCACGGACCGGUCACGAAAUUUUGACCUAGACGGGCUCCUUAAAUGGGCCUCAAAUGCCCGGGCUGACCGACACCCCACAUAUCUCAAAUAUGGGUCACCCAGGCACGCCCGGUACGACCGCCAGGUCGGACCCGACAGCCCGACCCCACCGUAACUGCACCAAAUCCACCAAUCCCUUCCUCCUCCCGUCGCCCUCCAACCUUUCCCCGCGUCCGAGCCCUCACCGUCCUCCGCCCUUGCUCCCUAUCCUCACCACCGGUCCCGAUCCACCGCCAGAGAUGUCGUCUAGCCCGUCCUCGGUUGCCGCGAUGGAGACGCGGUCCGCCUCGUCCGUCGGGGUCACUUCGUCGGCUCCGUCUUACAAGGAGGAGAACGUCGCCCAAAAAUUAUAGCAACACCGGCAGCGAGAGAGAGAGAUAGAGAGAGAGGCGGUGGCAGCGUCGCAGGAAGAUUCAAACAUGGUCGAGCAGUUGUCUCCCCCGCUGCACCCGGAACCCACCCCUUCCAUCCGAGCAUCGACUCGGAUUACGCCGUUCGACCACGUUAGGACAUAUGAGGAUUCGACGGCCGACUGGGUCAUUCCUGAGAGCUUAAUGGAUCCAUCGUCAUGGCCAACCAAGCUUUCACUAACAAGAUGUCCUCAAAUCUUGAGAAUGCCAGACCUCUUGCCUUCGGCGUCUUCGUCUUCGUCUUCUUCUUGCUCGGAUAGGCCACCAAUUCAUACUCCAUUUCGAUCGGAUCUUCAUUGUCAUUGAUCAUGUUGGACAAGAACGCCCCUACAUGAUUGUUGUUUGCAAGCAUUCAUUAUGUGCGAAAUAAAAUAGUUCUCUAUGCUAAAAUCUGAUCGGACAGGCGCAAGGAAAACACACCGAGUCUUAUUCGGUCAUUCCGUCGAACAUGUCGAGGCCAGCCUGAGCACUGCUGGUGCCCGUGCCACUAGUAGAAAAGGGGGCAAUGGUCCAGGCCGGGUCAGCCCAUUAGUCCCGGUUCAAUCCAGAACCGGGACCAAUGGGGGCAUUGGACCCGGUUCGUGAGCCCCGGGGGGCCGGCCGGGCCACGUGGGCCAUUGGUCCCGGUUCGUCUGGACCUUUUGGUCCCGGUUGGUGGGACGAACCGGGACCAAUGUGCCUUGCUCCUGGCCCACCACUAUUGGACCCGGUUGGUCGCCUGAACCGGGACCAAAGGCUUCCCUUUAGUCCCGGUUCAAGGCACGAACCGGGACCAAUUAGUUGCCUAUAUAUACCCCGCGAACAGAGCACUUUCACUUCUCUGUUUUUCGUGGCAUGCGAGGAGGGAGCUUUGUGGUGCUCUAGCUCACCUCCUAUGCACACGAGGUGUUCGAUGGAAUGCCCGAGCCACACUACUUAAGCUUUCUCCUCUCCAAGCUCCACCUCCAAGCUCCAUUUUCCUCAAUAUUUGUCUAGGUUUAGCGGUCCGUCACGUCCCGUCCCCGUCUUCACCGCCGUCGAUCGCCCGCGCCGAUCUCGUCGCCGACACCACCGUGGUGAGCCUCUUACUUGUAUGUUUAUAUAGAUACUUGUAUAAUUUUCUUACUUUUAUUAUUGCAUCUUAUAUAGUGCGAUGGUUUUGGUAUCCGCCCCCGUCGGCCCUCGUCCUGUCUAUGAUUCGGAUGUGGUAUAUAUUAUCUUUUCAUAACUAUUGGUUCAUUUAUUGUUUAUGACAAUUAUGCCGACCAACGUGACAUAUAUUUUAUUUAUCUAGGAGGUUGUUGAACCAGAAAUUCCAACCAACUCUAUUGUCGAGAGGUUAAAUUUAGUUGAAGAAGAAAACAAUUUGUUGAAGGAAAAAAUUAGAAAAAUUGAGGAGGAGAAGAUGAUAUUGGAGUUGCAUCUUGCGGAUGUCGUCGAUGAUCACAAGAUCAAGAUGGAUGCAAUGAGCUUGAAGAUUAGAAAGAUUAGAAAAUAUGCCAUUCAUACCGAGGCUUGGUAUCAUUAUGCCGUUGGAUCAGUUGUUACAUUGGUUGCGAUUAUGAUCGCAUUUGUUUUCGCAUUGAAAUGUUUUACAUAGUUUCAGUGUAUGGUUUAAUUAAUUUAGAUGCUCUGCGGAGCUUUAUGUUGUUAGAUGAGAAAUAUGUAUGUACUUUGGUUUUAGUGUGAUGAUGAACUUCUAUUAAUUUGGUUUUAGUGUUCUGUAAUGAUUUUUGACACACUUAAUUAUAUAUAAUGCACGCAGAUGAACCAGCAAUGGAUGUACGAUUCAAGACACACCUCCGAGUACAUUAAGGGCGUGCAUGAUUUUCUCGAAGUGGCUGAGGCAAACAAGCAGAAUGGUUUUAUGUGUUGUCCAUGCACUAUAUGUGGGAAUACGAAGUCUUACUCUGACCGGAAAAUCCUCCACACCCACCUGCUUUACAAGGGUUUCAUGCCACACUAUAAUGUUUGGACGAGGCACGGAGAAAUAAGGGUUAUGAUGGAAGACGGCGAAGACGAAGAGUACGAUGACAACUAUGUGCCCCCUGAAUACGGUGAUGCUACUGAACAUCAAGAGGAACCAGACGAUGUGCACGAUGAUGCUGCAACGGUGAAGCUGCUGAAGAUCAAGAGGAACCAGAUGAUGUGCCCGAUGAUGAUGAUCUUUGUCGGGUCAUUGUCGAUGCAAGGACGCAAUGCGAAAGUCAAAAGGAGAAGCUGAAGUUCGAUCGCAUGUUAGAGGACCUCAAAAAAGGGUUGUACCCCAAUUGCGAAGAUGGCAACACAAAGCUCGGUACCGUACUGGAAUUGCUGCAGUGGAAGGCAGAGAAUACUGUGCCUGACAAAGGAUUUGAGAAGCUACUGAAAAUAUUGAAGAAGAAGCUUCCAAAGGAUAACGAAUUGCCCGACAGUACAUACGCAGCAAAGAAGGUCGUAUGCCCUCUAGGCUUGGAGGUGCAGAAGAUACAUGCAUGCCCUAAUGACUGCAUCCUCUACCGCGGUGCGUACAAGGAUCUAAACACAUGCCCGAUAUGUGGUGCAUUACGGUAUAAGAUCAGACGAGAUGACCCUGGUGAUGUUGACGGUGAGCCCCCCAGGAAGAGGGUUCCUGCGAAGGUGAUGUGGUAUGCUACUAUAAUACCACGGUUGAAACGUCUGUUCAGAAACGGAGAAAAUGCCAAGUUGAUGCGAUGGCACAGUGAGGACCGUAAGAAAGACGGGAAGUUGAGAGCACCCGCUGACGGGUCGCAGUGGAGAAAAAUCGAGAGAAAGUACUGGGAUGAGUUUGCAAGUGAGCCAAGGAACGUAUGGUUUGCUUUAAGCAUGGAUGGCAUUAAUCCUUUCGGGGAGCAGAGCAGCAAUCACAGCACCUGGCCCGUGACUCUAUGUAUGUAUAACCUUCCUCCUUGGAUGUGCAUGAAGCGGAAGUUCAUUAUGAUGCCAGUUCUCAUCCAAAGCCCUAAGCAACCCGGCAACGACAUUGAUGUGUACCUAAGGCCAUUAGUUGAAGAACUUUUACAGCUGUAGAAUGGAAACGGUGUACGUACGUGGGAUGAGCACAAACAGGAGGAAUUUUACCUAAAGGCGUUGCUGUUCGUGACCAUCAACAAUUGGCCCGCUCUCAGUAACCUUUCAGGAUAGACAAACAAGGGAUACCACGCAUGCAUGCACUGUUUACUUGACACCGAUAGUAUAUAUCUGGCAAGCUGCAGGAAGAAUGUGUACCUGGUCCAUCGUCGAUUUCUUCCGACCAACCAUCAAUGUCGAAAGAAAGGCAAUCAUUUCAAAGGCGAGGCAGAUCACCGGAAGAAGCCCGCCAUGCGUACCAGUGAUCAUGUACUUGCUAUGGUCAAUGAUUUACACGUAAUCUUUGGAAAGGGUCCCGGUGGACUAGCUGUUCCGAGUGACGCUGGGGGACACACACCCAUGUGGAAGAAGAAAUCUAUAUUUUGGGACCUACCCUACUGGAAAGACCUAGAGGUCCACUCUUCGAUCGACGUGAUGCACAUGACGAAGAACCUUUGCGUGAACCUGCUAGGCUUCUUGGGCAUGUAUGGGAAGACAAAAGAUACAGCUGAGGCACGGGAGGACCUGCAACGUUUGCACGAAAAACACGGCAUGCCUCCAAAGUAGUAUGAAGGUCCUGCCAGCUAUGCUCUUACCAAAGAAGAGAAGAAAAUCUUCUUUGAAUGCCUGCUUAGUAUGAAGGCCCCGACUGGCUUCUCGUCGAAUAUAAAAGGAAUAAUAAAUAUGGCAGAGAAAAAGUUUUAGAACCUAAAGUCUCAUGACUGCCACGUGAUUAUGACGCAACUGCUUCCGGUUGCAUUGAGGGGGCUUCUACCGGAAAACGUCCGAUUAGCCAUUGUGAAGCUAUGUGCAUUCCUUAAUGCAAUCUCUCAGAAGGUGAUCGAUCCAGAAAUCAUACCAAGGCUAAGGAGUGAUGUGGUGCAAUGCCUUGUCAGUUUCGAGCUAGUGUUCCCACCAUCCUUCUUCAAUAUCAUGACACACGUCCUAGUUCAUCUAGUUGACGAGAUUGUCAUUCUGGGCCCCGUAUUUCUACACAAUAUGUACCCCUUUGAGAGGUUCAUGGGAGUCCUAAAGAAAUAUGUCCGUAACCGCGCUAGGACAGAAGGAAGCAUCUCCAUGGGCCAUCAAACAAAGGAUGUCAUCGGGUUUUGUGUUGACUUCAUUCCUGGCCUUAAGAAGAUAGGUCUCCCUCAAUCGCGGUAUGAGGGGAGACUGACUGGAAAAGGCACGCUUGGAAGGGACUCAAUAAUAUGCAGGGAUGGAUAUUCUUGGUCUCAAGCACGCUACACAGUUCUACAGAACUCUACCUUGGUGACCCCGUAUGUCGAUGAACACAAGAACAUUCUGCGCUCCAAACACCCGGAGCAGUGCGACGACUGGAUUACAUGUGAACACAUCAGGACUUUCAGCAGUUGGUUGGAAGCACGUCUCAGAGGUGACAACACUGUUUGUGAUGAGCUGUACUUGUUGUCCAGGGGACCAUCUUCGACUGUUACGAUUUGGAAAGGAUACGAGAUAAAUGGUAUACAUUUUACACGAUUAACCAAGAUCAAAAGAGCACCAACCAAAACAGCGGUGUCCGCUUUGAUGUAACAACCGAGAGGGGAAAGGACACAUAUUAUGAUUACAUAAUGGACAUAUGGGAACUUGACUACGGACAUGAUUUUAAGGUCCCUUUGUUUAAGUGCAAAUGUGUCAAUCUGUCAGGAGGAGGGGUACAGGUAGACCCACAGUACGAAAUGACAACAGUGGAUCUGAAAAAUCUUGGAUACACUGACGAAUCAUUCGUCCUAGCCAAUGAUGUGGCACAGGUUAUCUAUGUGAAGGACAUGUCUACCAGACCGAGAAAGAGAAAAGAUAAGGAAGCGAAUACAUCAUACGAUGAGCCAAAGCGCCACAUAGUUCUUUCAGGAAAAAGGGACAUCGUGGGAGUGGAGGACAAGACAGACACGUCUGAAAAUUAUGAAAAGUUUCAUGAAAUUCCUCCCUUCAAAGUCAAGGCUGACCCCAGCAUCCUGAUAAACGAUGAAGAUUAUCCAUGGUUACGGCGCAAUAAGCAAAUGACACAAGUGAAUAAAAAGUGAAGACUUUCUCCCGCAACUAUUAUGAUUAUACCAUGCCAACUUUGUAACUGACGAGUAUGAUACCAUUGUCCAUUUUGUAUAUGCACAUGCUAUGUGUGGGUCAAUUUAUGAUACCAUGCCAACUUUCAACUUUUUCAGAGUUCAUUUGAAAUGCUUUAAUGUCUUAUGGUUCGGCCCUCGUAAUAACUUAAAAUAGCAACAAUAAGUAUUUUGUUGUAAGUAGAAACAAAAUAAAAUAAAUAAAGCAAGAAAGAAAACAAAAAAACAAAAAAAGUGUUUUCAAAUUUGAAAAGUAAUGGCAGUAACAAAGAGUUUAUAAUUUUCCUAAAACUAAAAGCAAAAAGAAUUAAAAAAUAAAGCAAANNNNNNNNNNUGUGAAGGACAUGUCUACCAGACCGAGAAAGAGAAAAGAUAAGGAAGCGAAUACAUCAUACGAUGAGCCAAAGCGCCACAUAGUUCUUUCAGGAAAAAGGGACAUCGUGGGAGUGGAGGACAAGACAGACAUGUCUGAAGAUUAUGAAAAGUUUCAUGAAAUUCCUCCCUUUAAAGUCAAGGCUGACCCCAGCAUCCUGAUAAACGAUGAAGAUUAUCCAUGGUUACGGCGCAAUAAGCAAAUGACACAAGCGAAGAAAAAGUGAAGACUUUCUCCCGCAACUAUUAUGAUGAUACCAUGCCAACUUUGUAACUGACGAGUAUGAUACCAUUGUCCGUUUUGUACAUGCACAUGCUAUGUGUGGGUCAAUUUAUGAUACCAUGCCAACUUUCAACUUUUUCAGAGUUCAUUUGAAAUGCUUUAAUGUCUUAUGGUUUGGCCCUCGUCAUAAUUAAAAAUAGCAACAAUAAGUAUUUUGUUGUAAGUAGAAACAAAAUAAAAUAAAUAAAGCAAGAAAGAAAAUAAAAAAACAAAAAAAGUGGAAAGUUUAUAAUUUUCGUAAAAUUAAACGAAAAAAGAAUUAAAAAAUAAAGCAAAAAACAAAAGAAAAUAAAUAAUGCAGAAAACAAAACAAAAAAACAACAAUAAGUAUUUUGUUGUAAGUAGAAAGAAAAUAAAAUAAAUAAAGCAAGAAAGAAAACAAAAAAAAGUGUUUUCAAAUUUGAAAAGNNNNNNNNNNNNNNNNNNNNNNNNNNNNNNNNNNNNNNNNNNNNNNNNNNNNNNNNNNNNNNNNNNNNNNNNNNNNNNNNNNNNNNNNNNNNNNNNNNNNNNNNNNNNNNNNNNNNNNNNNNNNNNNNNNNNNNNNNNNNNNNNNNNNNNNNNNNNNNNNNNNNNNNNNNNNNNNNNNNNNNNNNNNNNNNNNNNNNNNNNNNNNNNNNNNNNNNNNNNNNNNNNNNNNNNNNNNNNNNNNNNNNNNNNNNNNNNNNNNNNNNNNNNNNNNNNNNNNNNNNNNAGAAUUAAAAAAUAGAGCAAAAAACAAAAGAAAAUAAAUAAUGCAGAAAACAAAACAAAAAAAAUAAAAAUAGCAACAAUAAGUAAGGAAAACAAAAAAAACAAAAAAAUGCCUCCUACUGGGCCCCCACGGCCUGAAUACGACUUGAAACCCUACUAUAGUCCAGGAUUCAGGCCCGCAGUAGGCCCAGAAGGCCCAUCAAGCAAUGCAGUAGCAAGUAGGCCUGUAAGCCUGCAGUGGAGAGGAGCUCGAGAAGGGUGCGGCAGUGGGGCUUAUAAACCACUGCGCGCCCCUCUCAACUAGCGAGGUGGGACUAAACUUUGGCCGCGACGCGGGCAGCACAGGGGCCUUUGGUCCCGGUUGGUGGCUCCAACCGGGACUAAAGGGGAUGCAUUGGUACUGGUUCGUGGCACCAACCGGUACCAAUGCCCACCCUUUAGUCUCGGUUGGUGCCUCCAACCGGGACCAAAGGCCGCCGCUUCCCGCCCUUUGGGCUGCUGAAAAGAGGCCUUUGGUACCGGUUGGUGGCACCAACCGGGACUAAAGGGGGCAUUAGUCCCGGUUGGAGCACCAACCGGGACCAAUGCUCUUGCUAUAUAUACAGGACUUAGCAGUUUUCGCCAAAACCCAUUUCUUUCUUCUCGCCCCGAUGUCUCUGCUCCUCGUCGCCGUCGCCGCCGAGCCCUGCCCCGACGCCGUCAGGCUGGUCCAGCUUGCCGUCGCCGCCGCCGCGCCACUGCCCCGACAUCGUCGCCGCGCCCGCCGCCCCUGCCGGCCCAGACACCAUCGUNNNNNNNNNNNNNNNNNNNNNNNNNNNNNNNNNNNNNNNNNNNNNNNNNNNNNNNNNNNNNNNNNNNNNNNNNNNNNNNNNNNNNNNNNNNNNNNNNNNNNNNNNNNNNNNNNNNNNNNNNNNNNNNNNNNNNNNNNNNNNNNNNNNNNNNNNNNNNNNNNNNNNNNNNNNNNNNNNNNNNNNNNNNNNNNNNNNNNNNNNNNNNNNNNNNNNNNNNNNNNNNNNNNNNNNNNNNNNNNNNNNNNNNNNNNNNNNNNNNNNNNNNNNNNNNNNNNNNNNNNNNNNNNNNNNNNNNNNNNNNNNNNNNNNNNNNNNNNNNNNNNNNNNNNNNNNNNNNNNNNNNNNNNNNNNNNNNNNNNNNNNNNNNNNNNNNNNNNNNNNNNNNNNNNNNNNNNNNNNNNNNNNNNNNNNNNNNNNNNNNNNNNNNNNNNNNNNNNNNNNNNNNNNNNNNNNNNNNNNNNNNNNNNNNNNNNNNNNNNNNNNNNNNNNNNNNNNNNNNNNNNNNNNNNNNNNNNNNNNNNNNNNNNNNNNNNNNNNNNNNNNNNNNNNNNNNNNNNNNNNNNNNNNNNNNNNNNNNNNNNNNNNNNNNNNNNNNNNNNNNNNNNNNNNNNNNNNNNNNNNNNNNNNNNNNNNNNNNNNNNNNNNNNNNNNNNNNNNNNNNNNNNNNNNNNNNNNNNNNNNNNNNNNNNCCCUUUCCUCUUUUUUUUAUAUAUGCAGAAGUUUAUAUAUGCAAAAAUUUAUACAUAUAUGCAAGUAUAUAUGUAUUUUUUUUGCAUUUUUUGUGUAUAUGUGUUUUUAUGUGUAUAUAUGUAUACAUGUUCAUAGUAUUUUUUUUCAUAAGUGUAUUUUUUUGUUCAUUGCAUUUUUUUCAUAUAUAUAAUGUAUAUAUAUAUAUGUGGUAGCUAUAUAUAUGAUGAAUGGAUGUGGCUAUAUAUGUAUGUAUGAAUAUAAUGUUCAUAGCAUUUUUUUGUUUAUAUAUGUUUUUUCAUAUAUGUAUUAAUUUUAUAUUUAGGUUGUUAGUAGAUAUCGAUUUUAGGUUAGUGCAUUUUAGGUUAGUGUAGAGGAGAAAGUAAAAUAAGGAAAAGGAAGAAAAGAGGAAGAAGGAAGGAAGAAGGAAGAAGGAAGAAGGAAGAAGAAGAAGAAAAAGAAUGAGAGGAAAAAGGAAAAUAAGAAGAGGAAGAAAGGAGAAAAAGAAGAGAGGAAGAAGAGGAGAAAUAAAUAAGAAGAGGAAAAAAGAAGAAAAAGAAGAGGUUCUAUUUUUUCUUCUUCUCCUCUAUUCCUUUAUUCUUCUCCUCUUUUUUUUCUUCUUUUUUCUUCUUCUUCUUCCUUCUUCCUUCUUCCUCUUUUCUUCCUUUUCCUUAAUUAUUUUCCUUUCUCGAGGGAGAAGAAGAAAAAGAAGAGUAGAAAAAGAAAGAAAGGAAUAGAGGAGACAGAAGAAACUUCAACACGAGGGGGUGGUACCGAUACCCCCUCCCCGAUAACAUUAUUUUCCCAUGUAUAUGUAUGUCGCGUCGUUGUCGAUAUAACCCCCUCUAGAUAACUUCGACAUGAGGGGCGGUCGAUAUAUAUACUCCCUCUCGACCGUGAUAACUUAUACAACGGCAGCACCCCCCGGCCCUCGGCCCUCUCGCUCGACCAAAACUCUCGAGGACAUCCAAACCCUAGAGAGAAAACGAUGUUGGCCACCCAAAUUUACCAAGUUAAAAAAGCGUUGUCGUCGAGGCCACCCCAAACCCUUGAAGCGUUGUGUCGAGGCGACCCCAAACCCUAGAGAAGCAGCGUCGAGGCCACUAACAUGAUUCCUUAUUGUGAUUAGCUAGCUAGUUCUACGUUUGCCACUAAUAUAUAUAUAUAUAUAUAUCCAUCUGUACCAUGUUUGAAUAAUAAUUGACAUGUUGUAAAUAUUUGCAGAAACUAUGGAGCACUCCCGAGACGAAGAAACAGAAGCGAUGUUGGGGGAGAUAAUCGCAAAUGGAAGUGAUGACGUUGCGUCAUUUCUCCUCGACAUCGAUGGUCAGCUGGAUGAAGAAGAGGGCUAUGUUCAUGAUGGCUUCGGCCCAUUAAUGCCGGUACAAGAAGAGGACUAUGUUCAUGAUGGCCCCGGUGACACAAUGGAGGUACAAGAAGGAGACCGUGCUGACUGCUCCGGUGACCGAACCGAGUCCGGCCAGGUAUAUAUAUAUUAGUUAAGCACGUGCUGACUAGUUAAUUGAUGCUUCCAUUGUUUUGGUAUAUGUACACAUAUUAAUUACUCUCGUCUUUCUUCCUUAUAAUUUCUAGCCUCCAGAUCGAGCACAACUUCGGUAAGGAGACGAGGCCCGAAGAAAAAGUUGAGCUCGGAUGAAAAGUUUGAGAUCAUAAAAAUCACACCCGACGGCGAACCGAUUGAACCCAUCCGGACAAGGAAGGCAUUUUCUGCUCAGUGCGGGGUUCUUGUUAGGGACAAGAUCCCGAUCAGCAUCCAGCAAUGGUAUAAGCCUAAGGAGGAAGACCCUGAGGUGUCUUAUGUCAAUGCUAUGCAGAAAGAAGAUCUUUGGACUGAGCUGAAGGCAAAUUUCACCCUACUGCCAGAGGAGGAUCCGGAGAAUCCAGUUAAAGAGCAAUUAAUCAAGUCUUGUGCUCUUAAGAAGAUGGCAACCCUAAUGAGGAGGUGGAGGAAAGAGCUGAACCAGUUUGUCGAAAAAAAAGACACCAGAAUUCAUCGGCAAAUAUGAGAAGAUCAAAGAUCACUGGCCCGCAUUUGUGGCCCACAAGACAUCGGAAAAGAGUAAGAAGAUGUCGGCGACAAACAAGCAAAAUGCUGCGAAGAAGAAGCUUCACCAUCGCACGGGGCCAGGUGGCUACCUCAAAGCCCGACCUAAGUGGACCAAGGCUGAGCAUGAUCUGCUUGAAAAAGGGAUCGAACCAGAGACAAUGUACUGGCCAGAUCAUUGCCGGACUUGGUUCUUCGGAGCUGGCGGAACCUUGGACCCUGUAACAGGGAAGUGCUAGUGGACGGACGAGCAACUGGAUAUACCAGUCAAGAACCUUCGACACUAUAUCGCUGCAGCGCAGCGAGGGGCGUUCCUUCCAAACAGGGAGAAGGACGAGCUCACAAUGGCCCUUGGGAAUCCUGAGCACCCUGGACGGACACGAGGCACGCCAGGCUCCAUUCCGUGGAAGGUUGGUUUUCCGGACGCAGGGGGUUACAACACCCACGAGAGGAGGAAGAAACUGGAGCAGGACCAACUGCAGGCGCUGCUUGGAAGGGUAAUGGGGCUAGAGGAUCGAGAAGAGGAACGAGAAGGAGCAGAUUGCAACAAACGACCCGCCGAAGCUUCCCCCGAAGCUACCCCGCCAUCUCAGCGGAGAAGCAACGUGGCUUCCACCGAGCUGCUUCAGCCGGAGCAUGUCUUGACGGCUCCUGCCAGCUAUCCCGUGGAUGGUAUCACGGAGUCUCAAAGUUGCCACAUUAUGGCGCGAUGGAUGACUUUGAAGGUCAAGGCGGCUGUUGGCCAAGUUUAUCCUAGUGGACCCGGCACAACUUAUCGCUGCCAGCCGAUUCCAGAAGGAUAUGCUAAGGUGAUGGUGGAUGAAAUAACGGAGGGAUUUGAGGACCUCCUGCUUGACCACCCUACCGGUGAAGGGGAGACUAUGCUGGGUUCUACUCUGAAGACUCCAUGCCUAUGGCGGAAGGAGCUCAGCAACCUUCCGAACUGGACGCCUCCGCCUCCUCCUCCUCCUCCGGCAAGUCAGGGCACUCCGCCUCCUCCACCGCCUCCUCCUCCGGCGAGUGACGAUCAGGGCACGCGUGGCGGCACUCCGCCUCCUUCUCCGGCGCGUGGCGGCACUCCGCCUCCUUCUCCGCCUGCGCCGGUGCUCCCGAGCAGCCAGCAGCCUCCUCCUUCUUCGCCUCGCCAGCAAGGGCGGAAGAGACCCGCCGCCGCCCCGGCUGCUCCAGCGCGUCGUACUCCUUCUCCUCCGCCUCGUAAGCAAGCACGAAAGAAGACAGACGCCGCCGCCGCUCCGUCUGCUCCGGCAUCUAGCAGCACAACCAGAGGCGGGAGGCAAUACAAAUACGGUCCAUCAUCUCUCAAGCCUCUAGAGAAGUUACUGUACGAGAGGUCCAAGGAGGAAAACAAUACGAUUGUGCGGACCCACGUGAAGGACUUCUUUAAAGGGGUGAAAGCAAAGAGACAUCCACCUCCGGAGGAGAAGGUAGAUCCGGUGAAAGCAAAGCGCACUAUCGAUGCCCUGAGGAAACCACCAAAGUCUCCACCGAGAACCAACUAUGAGCGCAUUACUGAACAGACAUAUCUCCAAGCCAAGCGGUCGGGAACUGCUGUCAGUGAUAAAAGGUUAAAAGAACGAGCAAAGGGGAAAAAAUUGCCCAGCUCGGCGAACAAGCACAGCAAUCGUGCCNNNNNNNNNNNNNNNNNNNNNNNNNNNNNNNNNNNNNNNNNNNNNNNNNNNNNNNNNNNNNNNNNNNNNNNNNNNNNNNNNNNNNNNNNNNNNNNNNNNNNNNNNNNNNNNNNNNNNNNNNNNNNNNNNNNNNNNNNNNNNNNNNNNNNNNNNNNNNNNNNNNNNNNNNNNNNNNNNNNNNNNNNNNNNNNNNNNNNNNNNNNNNNNNNNNNNNNNNNNNNGCCCGGUUAUGGCAAUCUUGAAGAUUACCUGCCUGACGAUGCACUUCCUGAUUUCAUGGCGGUGGACGAACACAGAUACGAGUACGGGAAGCCUCUCGUCAAAGAUGAAAAAUCUCUGAGAACAAUGAUGCGAAGAUUCCAUAGUUGGUACAUGAAAACCUGCAGAGAGUCUGAGGGGAUGAACAGUUUGUAUCUGAACAUUAAAGAGGAGCACGACCUCGUUUCAAAUGAUCUGUUGUGUUUUCCAUUUGAGGAGUUCUUCGAGUUCUUCAAUCAAAAGGCCCUCGAUAAAUUAAUGGUCUUUUGCUACUGCCUGUAAGUACUAUUUUUGUCAUUAAGUCUCUAUAUAUAGCUCGGCUCUUUCAUUGCAUGUAUUUAUAAUUAAUUAUCCUCAAUAUAUUAUGCAGAUUGAAGAUCGUUGAGUGCAAAAAACAAGAAAUUUAUGAUAUUGGGUUCAUCAACACAAAUAUCAUAGAUGUAUUUCUGGUUGAAAAGAACGUCAAAGAGGCCGAGCACAACUUGCUACAAUCGUUGAUCAAAAAUCAAAACAAAGAUACCAUACUCUUUCCUUACAACGGCCCGUGAGUGUUACUGUCGUGUGCAUAUUCGGUUUUCCUUAUUACUCAAGCGAGGUUAUAGUAAUGUAAUUGAUGAGUUAUGCAUGCGUGCGUAGGUACCACUAUAUUCUUCUGGAGAUUAAGCUUGAGCAUGGACUAGUAACCGUCUUAGACUCGAGACGGAAAGAUCCCAAAACCUAUGCGGACAUCACUGAAAUGCUCAGCAAGUAAGUUCAAUCGAUCAUUAUCGCACCAUAUCGGCAACUUUUUGUUCAUUUCCUGAUAUCUCAAGUAAUAAUAAUUAUUUUCUUUGUCUUGCAGGGUUUGGAAACAGUUCACCGCAGAAGCUCCGGGACUGCCGAAGGAGCUGCGAUAUAAAUACCCGAAAGUAAGUACUACUGGCUAGCUAGUUGCGCGCAUCUCCUGUUGAUUCUAUAGCUAUACUUUCAUCAAUGCCAUUUAUAAUGCUUCAUUAUCAGUUUGAUUGACCUCUAUUUCUCGUAAAGUGCUUGUGGCAGGUGGAAGGGAAUGGUUUCUGUGGAUACUAUGUGUGCGAGUUCAUCCACACCGCGACUUUGAAAAACAAGCGGGGCUACUCUAGAAGACAAUAUGAAGUGCGUAAGCAAUAAUAUUCACAAUUUCAUUUUAUUGCACCAUCAUUUCUGUUGAGUUUCAUUCAUAUAUAUGUAUUAAUUAACCCCCUUCUUUAAAUUAGACGUGGCAGAUGCGGGAUGAACUCCUAGAACCAGAUCGCAUGAAAGCAAUUCAAGAGGAAUUGGCGGGAUUCUUUCUUAAACACGUCAUCAGUAAAGCCGGAGAAUACCAUGUGGAAAUUGAUUUCAAAUGCUAGGGGUUUGUGUAAUUAAGAGAUCUUAUACAUAUUGUACAUGUAUGUAGCCAGUAGCGUCGGAUACAUGAUACGAAAACUUGUUGUUCGACCAAUCUCUCGGAGAAGGAGAGGUCGAUCGAUCACUUCUCUCGGUAUGCAUGACGAACUUCUGUACUGAAUGGUUCUCUCGAUCACUUAUGUAUAUAUAGUACGUAGCGUCGACCAAGCACAGACAUAAGAGAGGACACUUCUCUCUAUUAAUUAGCUAGCUAACACAAUAUAUGAAACACCUAAAUUAACCCCCCAAAACCCCCAACCCCCCUCCUUUAAAAAAAACAAAAACCCCAGCCACUGGAAUGCAGACGCGUGGAUGCCUUUUGGUCCCGGUUGGAGCCACCAACCGGGACCAAAGGCCCCCUGACUGGGCUCGGCGCACAGGGCCACGUGGAGGCACAUUGGUCCCGGUUCGUGUUUGAACCGGGGCUAAUGGGUGGAGGUAUUAGUAAUGACCCAUUAGUCCCGGUUCAUGAACUGGGACUAAAGGCCCUUACGAACCGGGACUAAUAGGUGUUUUUCUACUAGUGUGCUCAUCCGCGCCCGAACGAGCUGUGGCGAGUCACACACGUCGACCGCCGGCAUCUGCGUGGGCGGAAAGCUCACCAGAAUGACCCAGCCGGCGGGUCACAUCAUCCUGUGUCCCAAUGGAGUCGGAAAGUGUAAUCCGUGUCAGUGCUCGGAGGGAAGGGGUGCGGGGAUCCGGGCGCGGCGGAAGAGACAACUGCUCCACCACGUCUGAACUUCGCUGCGCCACCGCCGCCUCCCUCUCGCGUUGCCGGCGUCGCUGCAACUUCCGGACGACGUUCUCCGCCUUGCAAGUCGCAGCCGACGAGCUGAGCUCGCCGAAGGACGAGGCCGACAACGUCUCCGUCGCGGCAGUGUGGGUCGGGCUGGACGACAUCUCCGGUGGUGGAUUGAGACAGGUGGUGAAGAUUGGGAGCAAGGGUGGACGAUGGCAACGGUCCGGGCGCGGGAAAGGUUUAGUGCGACGGAAGGAGGAAGGGUUUGGUGUACUUGGUGCAAUUUGGGGUGUGGUCGGGCUAUUGGGUCCCACGUGGCGGGCGUGCCCGGUCGCCCUAUAUCCACCCCAUAUUUGGGCUGGAUAUGGAGGGUGCCGGUCAGCCCAGGCAUUUGAGGCCCGUUUAAGGAGACAACCUAGGUAAAAAAAACAUGACUGAACAGUGAUCGGGCGGCCCGCCCGGGCAUCUGAGGCGGAUUUAAGGCGUUCGAUUGUAGAUGCUCUAACGGCUAAAGGAAACGUGGACACCUUUUCUCUUUUUUUGGGAAGACGAAACUUGGACACCUGGACGUAGACCUAGUGAUGGGCAUGCAGAUGCAGUUUUUUUUGUUGAAAAACAAAAUGGAGUGGAGGUGCAGAUGCAGGUGGAGACGUGGAUGCACGGCAGUCCCUCAACAUGGGCUUGGGCUUUGCCUGGCUAUUCAUGCAUGGAGUGGAGGGAGGGUGUCUACUUGUUGCGGUUUAUUCCCCUCAAAAAAAGAAAACUUGUUGCGGUUUAGGUACGAACGUCACGUGCGCGUGCACCUGAGCUACCCCGGACCGAUCAUCACUCUUCACUGCACGUAGUACUAAAACUAGGCAGCUGCCUGCUGCCAGGCAUGGCCAACCACCAAGAUAGGACCCAACCUAUAUGAAAACCCGAAACUGUCAGAACGUCAAAACGAUCAAAAUGGAUUAACACAUGUCACUCUGCAUCCAAAAUUCCAAGGAAUGAAACAUGUGCCUGAACCCCGAUGGACUAGCCAUUUCCAAGUCACAUUGAUACGUACGCCAGCGGUUGGUUGCCACAAGGAAUGAAACACAAUGAAUGGCAAACAGUGGCACCAACAUUAAUUAAUACAGUAAGUACAGUAGUAAUACCCAAGAAGCUAGCUGGAUAUAAUUAAGCAUACUGGUAACUCACUGAUCAUAAUAACAACAAUUCACAAGAUAUAAUUAGAAUGACACAUACGGCACUCAAUAAGUCGUCACGCCACACUACCAGAUUAGAAUCACUGGAACAAGCAUGUGAUGUGAACAGGCAGUGACAGGACGGUGGGUGAAACGACUCAACACAGGCACAUGCAUACGAUGCUCUACAUGGCAGUCAAAAGCUAGCUAACUACAUGGCAGUCAAAAGCUAGUGUUAAACUACUUGCCUGAUAGUUAGAGUGGUAUAAUUACUUGGUUACUGAUGUAUAUGACGCUAGCUGGUACAGUUACUAGCUCGUGACAAGGAUUGCUCUGCCUUUACCAAAAAGAGUCGAGACUCCAAUGCUCAUUAUGGAUUCUUGUUUCAAAAAAAAAAAAGGAAAGCUCUGCAAGCUUGACCUUUAUCAUCUUCUCCAUAGACCCAUCAAAUAUAGAAAAGGGGCGAUAAUAACUGCUGACAAUGACCCAUCACCUAUCUUUUCUUUUUGCCGGCUCAACAAACCAAACCUAUGCAAAACAAUCACACCAUACCUGCUCAAGCUUGGCAGCGAGCAACCGAUCUAGCUAGUUUGCUUUAUCCGUUUCGAACACACUGAAGGUCUUUUGUUUUUUGAAGUAAAACACAUGGAAGAACAAUCGAUCAAAAAUCUAUGUUCAGAGGUCUCAACACUUGAAACAUCGUGGAAUACAAAAUAAUAAUAAUAAUAAUAAUAGUAAUAAUAAUAAUAAUAAUAAUAAUAAUAAUAAUAAUAAUAAUCAAGAUCCUUGUUAAUUAAUCCCUCACAUGCAAGCUCAAGAAAAAAUAAAAUACCUAACAUGCUCACAGCUCACUAAAUGGCUAUUAUUAUGGCCAAUAAAAUUUGUGUAGCAUCAUGUAUGGUUCUAAAAUAUUCGGCAUAACUAGGUUAUCAACAAGUUUAAUCGCUAUAGUAAAGUAGCUUGGGCAACAAUUCAUAUCGGAAUCCAUAUGCACAUCAAAGUUCUAGGGAUAUGGUUUAGAAUUGAUCAAGAGGGAUUUUGGCACAUGAAAUAAAUUCAAGAUUGGCAUUAAAGCGGCAUACGGCCUAACCUGCUAAAGAAAAUUUAAUGGUUGACAUCUUAGAGCAUCUACAGCUGGAUAUGUCAAGUAUGGCUCAUCAAAACGCCCAUGGACACGCCCAGGCGCGUGCGCGUCCGCGGGCAGUGACCGAGCACCCCUUAAAUUUCACUUCUUGCAUCUGGACAUCUCAUACUAGAUUCUCAAAUUCAUACAAAAGGCAUGCAAACUAUAAAAAUCUACGUACUACAUCGAUCACCUAGUUACUCCUUGUCGGAGAUGUCGACGAUCUCCGUGCUCGGCUCCGGCAGCCUGGGCGUGGCAGGCGUGCCCGGGCGCCCCCAUAUCCGCCCCUUAUGUGGGCUGGAUACGAGGGGUGUCGGUCAGCCUGGGCGUUCGAGGACCAUUUCAGGGGCCUGUCUGGGUCGAAAAUCAUGACCGGUCAGUGACCGGGCGGGCCGCCGAGGUGUUUGAGGCCGGUUUGGGGCGUCUGGCUGUAAAUGCUUCUAGGAGCUAAUCUUCACUUUAUUUCCUAUGCAAGAAUUCCACUUGAUAUAUUAUAAACAACUUGGCGUGCAUAUGUAUCCUAUCUGCAUACAUGCAGAUCUGAAGGGUGGCCAUUGGCAGUGCUACUUCACAGAUCAGACACCGACGUUGACGUGGAAGAACGAAGACUUCAUGGAAGGAAACGAUUGCCGAACAAAUGGAUUACAACUACAUACGGCAGCGAUGAAUGGCAAGCUUCAUCCUACAUAGGCAAUGCAGGUGGAAGAAGAUGCGAUAUGGCCGGACCAGGGGUUUUGAGGGGAAAAUAUAACUGCUUCAGGGAAGGGUAUUAAACGGGCAGGUUUGUGAUUCAACACUUAUUGCAAUGGGAUAGACGGUUCAAAUUACCAGAUCCAUUGAUAAAUGAGAGACGCCUGUCAAUUUUACUACUUAUGAUUGAAACAUUUAUCCCCUUUAGUGAAAUGAUAUGUUCGAGGCCCUGAGAACUUUGGUGCGAAACGCCAAACAACUAGACUAGUUGAGAAAAUUAGAACAGAGACUCUGACAAGCAUGGUGAAGAGCUCGGGCAAACAUAAUAAGUAAGAGGUUCUGAUAAGCCAGACGUGACAAAGCACUUUCUUGAAUGCAUAUCACUACAGACGCAACCACAAAUUCAUAAGAGGCUCCAAUAAAUGUGCAGGUACAACACCUAAUACUAUUGAGUGAUAAGUUGCAUAACACGCCUACCUUUUUGUCGCUUGCAUGAAUCCAUAUGCCGUGCCUGGCCCUUAGGCGGGACAAGGACAUGCCGCGUUGACGGCGUGACCAACGGCCAUGGACAACCCGAGGUCAAACAUGCAUAUGGGUAAGGCGCCUUCACUUGUACCUUACUUGUUUUCUGAUUAGACACGAAUGAUUNNNNNNNNNNNNNNNNNNNNNNNNNNNNNNNNNNNNNNNNNNNNNNNNNNNNNNNNNNNNNNNNNNNNNNNNNNNNNNNNNNNNNNNNNNNNNNNNNNNNNNNNNNNNNNNNNNNNNNNNNNNNNNNNNNNNNNNNNNNNNNNNNNNNNNNNNNNNNNNNNNNNNNNNNNNNNNNNNNNNNNNNNNNNNNNNNNNNNNNNNNNNNNNNNNNNNNNNNNNNNNNNNNNNNNNNNNNNNNNNNNNNNNNNNNNNNNNNNNNNNNNNNNNNNNNNNNNNNNNNNNNNNNNNNNNNNNNNNNNNNNNNNNNNNNNNNNNNNNNNNNNNNNNNNNNNNNNNNNNNNNNNNNNNNNNNNNNNNNNNNNNNNNNNNNNNNNNNNNNNNNNNNNNNNNNNNNNNNNNNNNNNNNNNNNNNNNNNNNNNNNNNNNNNUAAGUUUUUCAAGGGUCAUUAACUUCUUAAAAUGAAGUUAGCUUGAUAUGCUAUAUGAUAUUUUAAUCUAUCAAUCUAUCUAUUAUAUAAUAAAAGCAAAAUACUGGGUUCUAAGAGAGACACCACGUUAAGCCACAUCAUGAAACGUAUUUUAAGUUAGAUCUAGAAUUGUCCGUCUAGAAUUUAACUAGAGAUUGUAGGAAAAAUCCGGUAGUGAAAAAAUACAGGGUUCUAAUAGGGACACAGCGUUAAGCCACAACAUCAAAAUUAUUUUGAUAGUUAGAUCUAAAACUAUGUGUCUAGGAUUUAACUAGAGAUUAUAGAGGGAAACUACUCGACAGGUUAAACAAAAAAAAGAUUACUCUAAAAGAUCCCACAAAAAUUAGAAACAUCCAACCAUUAAUUUAGUGGACCAAUCAAAUAUAGCCAUUAGAUUUACGAAACUGAAGAUGGAAUUAGGUUCUUCCCGCGUAGCCCUGGUUGUGUGUCUAGCAUUGUCUCACUUUCUUUACCAUUUAUUUUCUAAAAAUAUUUGGGAUUUGAAAAGAUUUUCGAUAGGGUUUGAUGUACUAGAUAGGUGCACAUAACAGCACUAUGUGAGAGCAACCAAAUUAAUAUCCAUUUUUCUUUAUCCAUUAGUUCAGCCAUAUUUAUUUUGAAAUAUAAUGCAAAAUAAGAAUCAUAUUAAGUUCUUUAGUGGCAUAAGAAAAUGAGUAAAAUGCAUCAUAAGUCUUAAAACUAUUAGAGGUAUGUUAGUUUAGUCCUAUAACUUUGUAACUGCAGUUUUAGGUUCUAAAAUUACAAGAGGCGUGUCAAUUUACUCCUCUAACUCCCAAGCUACAGUUUUAGGUCCUAAAACUAUUGGAGGUGCAUCAGUUUAGUCGUAUAACUUUGAAACUGUAGGCCAUCAGUGACAUGAUGGCUUGAGCUCCAUGAAGGAGACUAGGCCGGCCAUCUUAGCCUCACCCCAUAGUAACAGAACAACACGUUGCGUCAAAUUGAUAGACACAUGUGGCUACUCUCUCGCCGACCGUUUCCAGCUUGACGGUUUCCGCGUACUCCUCAGCGUCGUCCGGCAGCAGCAAAAAUUCCCCACCUUUCGCCAUGCUCAUACCCAAUCAACUCUGCAUGACUAGCUCCACGGCAAUGGUGUCGGGGCAACGACAAUGUCAUGAGGGAGAGAGAGGUGGGAUGGCGUCCUCCACAUCCCGAUUGUCUUGGUGUCUCCCUGGAGGCCACAACAAUCCUCUCAGCGAGGCUGCACUGUCACUCAUGAACACACAGGUGGCAGGUGUGCAGGUUGCAAUACACACUAUGAUGUGAAAGCGUAUGGACCACUUUUGGGGAAGUAAACACAUAUAAAUGGCUCAUUUGAAAAAAAAUGCACCAUAGAUACAGGCCAUGCAAGCUUCGGACCUGAGAUGAACAAACUUACAUAGUUUUGGGACCCAAAACUGCAGUUUCGAAGUUAUAGGACUGAACUGACACACCUCCAAUAGUUUUAGGACUUAUGAUGCAAUUUUCAAAAUUAUAAUUGCACUUACUCAGUUCCUUAAUAUAGUGUCAAUUGGUUUUCUCGAAAGUCAUGUUUCAUAAAGUUUAACCAAUAUAUACAACAUGGAAUGCAUACCAUAUGGAAAUAUAUUUCUUGAACUAAUGGUAAUGAAUUGAUAUUGUAGAUGUUGACAAUUCUUUUCUAUAAACUUGUUCAAAGUGUACAAAGUUUGAAUUUGCAAAAAUCUAAUAACCAAUAUAUUUUGGAACGGAUGGAGUACUUAUUAUUGUGCUUUGACAUUUGUUGAACCAAUUUUUUUAAGCAUUAUUGUACUUUUGAAUCCACUGUUUUGAACUUGCACCAAAAUGGCCGUUAACAUUUUUUUCUUUCUUAUGAUAUUCAAUUUAGCAAUGGCAAUAGGAUAUCCAAAACUUUAUUCUUUUGUCCAAGAUUUUCAUCAGAACAAUAAAGGUGGUGCGCUCACAUUUGUGAGGGCCACUGUUCUAGUUAGUACGAAUAAUGCAAACCCCAAACGCAUCAUGACAAAAGUCUAGGAGUCCACCCAAGAUAGCUAGCUACUACAGUCGAGUCUAUGUCACAAAUUGUGUCACUCAUUUUUAAAUCUAUAAAGUGUGAAGUAUUCUAAAUAAAAUCAUCAUACCUGUACCACCUAUGUUUAUGAUACCACAAAAUAUCGAAUUCAAAUUCAAUGUCGUAAUAAAAAAAAGACAAAUUGAAUAUUUAUAGUGAUGCUUGGCCAUAUUCAGAACACAAUUAAAUUAGCUAGUAAUCACCCACAUAUAUAUCGCUCAUUGAACCAUGUAUCAAGUUAGAAUUUGAAUUGCCCUAACAUUCCUAUAUAAAGUGUGAUUGUAGUAAAAGAACCGAGAACUUUGUACUUUCAACUAUUCAGGUAGUAUAGGCUCCAUCACGAGCAACUUAAUCCAGAUACAUUUGAGGCCCCAACUCCUGACAUUUUCUAAAUUUUUUUCCUGAAAGUGGCUUUAACUAUCACAAUGGUAGGGUUAUCUCAUGUAGUGUCCAAAUAAAAGUUACCUUCAAAGAUUAUUUCACUGGAUAUUUUUAUCUUAUUUGCCAAAAUCCUAAAUUGUUAAAAGGGAAAUAUAAUGAUAAGACAUAUAAAUAAAUAAAUAAUUGGAGAUUAAGUGAAAACCACAUUUCAGAUUUUUCUUACAAUUGUAUGUUCUUUUAUACUUUUGACGAUUUUAAGAACACAUGGUUGUUUCUUAAUAUGGAAAAUAGUUUUAAAACUUAAAGUUGUGUUAUGUAUAUAUCUUACACAAAGGUGUCACAUCGAUCAAAAUGUUUAAAUGGUGAAACCCACAAGAGGGAGCAAAUAGACAGAGUAUUAAGAGUUCAUCGAUAAAAUUAAUAUUAUCCAUUGUAAUAACUGGAAGACCAAAUCGAAAAGAAAAAAAAUAGUAUAGUGACCCAAAACAGUAUUUGUCUUAAGUAACAAGUCUAAAAUGAUUUGGAAUUUCAAAAGAUUUUCUAGAGGGUUUGAUGUACUAGCUAGGUGCCCUGGCAUUUGCAAGGGCCACUGUUUUAGUUAGUACAACAGUACAAAUCCCGGCGGUUCAGACCUACACCUGAAUCUAUGUCACCAACCGUGUCGCUCUCAAUUGCAUGAGUCCACCCCCAGCCCAGCCGAUCAAGAGUGUGGUCAGGUCAGGUCAGGUCACUCUUGCAUCCAAAAAUCCGGCCUGACCAAACUCACAGGUCACAGCUGAACCCCGGCGAAAUACAUUCAUACAUGCUGGAAUUCAAUGAAAAACAAUGGCUCACUCCACACCACAAACAACAUGAGCGAGGGAUGCAUAGAUAUACUAUAUAAUUAAACAACAGUAACAAUUGUACCGAAGCUGGAACAUAUAACUUAUGUCUGAAGUCUGAUGAUCAUACUCCAGGGAAAUGAAAAGGUCCAAUAUAUACAUCAAAGACGGCCACAAUCCAGGCGAAGUAUAUAGCCCACAUUACACAAAUACUACUAACUAGUAUAGUCAAUCCAUCCAACUAACACUAGUAAAUUCAGACAUACCGCACUCCAUCAAUGGUCAUAGCAUAAUGCAUACUCUACUUUCUUAUUCCUUAGAACAAGCUAGGUACUCAUCAGUCAUCACUUCAUCCGUACCUCAUGAACGCGCGAACUGAUCGAUCGGCUGCCUACGCCCUGCUCAUCAGUUGUCACCUCCCAGGAGGAAGCCCAGGAAGCAGAUGAGGUCGCCCCCCGCGAAGAUGACGAUGUUUGCCGUGCAGAAGAUCCUGGCGAUGAUGUAUGCUGGGUCGACGGCGAGGAGGAGGUGGACCGCGGCGGCGUACAUGCAGUGGCCGACGAAGGUGACGACGAGCGCGAGGAAGGCCAGGGCGCGGCGGGCCCAGCGGCGGCGGCACGGGAGGUGCAGCGCCAGCGCCGCCGCAGCCGCCUGGAGUAGGGCGCAGCACAGCAUCCCGAACCAGAGGGCGCUGUCGUCGGUGGCCUGCGCGUCGGUCCACUCGACGCACCGCAGGACGAACGGCGUGUGCAUCCAGACGAACACCACACCCAACCAGCUUGAAUAUGAUGGAAGGAUCCAUCGAUCGAAAGUUUGGAUUGUCCAGAAACCAGCCAAGCGGGUGUAGUUACGUAGUCCGACCUGGGUGGAGCAGUCUUGGUACUGGCCGACUGCGUAGGCGGCCGCGUGGCCCGCGGCGAACGAGAGGAUGGUGCCGCACGCGGUGAAGAGCGCCCAUCCAGUGGCCCGCCGGACGGCAGCCGGGAUGGCCUCCUCCUUGGGCACGGUCGCAAGCAGCGGAUCACGGAUCUUGUUGCUCUCCAUGGUGAUCGAUGGUGGAAGGAUCGAUUAGUUGCCUUGUUCAGUUUUCUGUCUGCAAAAGAAACAAGAAAAAAGAUUUGGGUGAGAAGAUCGAGAGAAGAAGACGGUUAGUUGGUUGGCUUAAUUUCAACUGCUGAGAAGAUUUUAGUGAGGAGAUCCGACGAGCUAGUGCCUCUGCCUAGUGGGGGAACGGGGACUCACCGCACUGCUCGGAUGCCUUGCCUUGCCUUGCCUUGCUGUGCUUCUUUCUGAAGUAUAGUCUUGGUUGCAGACGGGGCUUUAAUUUAUCCUUGGAUCCAANNNNNNNNNNNNNNNNNNNNNNNNNNNNNNNNNNNNNNNNNNNNNNNNNNNNNNNNNNNNNNNNNNNNNNNNNNNNNNNNNNNNNNNNNNNNNNNNNNNNNNNNNNNNNNNNNNNNNNNNNNNNNNNNNNNNNNNNNNNNNNNNNNNNNNNNNNNNNNNNNNNNNNNNNNNNNNNNNNNNNNNNNNNNNNNNNNNNNNNNNNNNNNNNNNNNNNNNGAGAGAGAGAGAGAGAGAGAGAGAGAGAGAGAGAGAGUGGCAGUGACGAUAUGACGGGCACAGGAAGCUGCCUAUCUGCAUUGCACCCAGCCAAGCCCGUAUGCCAUCUUUGGCAAAGCAUCAUUUCUUUGCUACUAGCUCAUUUUAUCCUUCAUAAAAAAAAUUAGAACGAUGUGGGUGAAAUUGUAUACACAUGGCAGUGAAAACCCAUCUAGCUCAUUUUAGCCGCGCACUAGUUUUUGAACUAGGUAGUGUGGCUUUGUCCAAGUAAGAUGCACACUACAUAUAUUUAUCCGUUUUGAACACAUGGAAGAUCGAUCCAUCAAUAAUCCAACUUGGGAGGUCUCAACACUUGAAACAUCUUGGAAUAAAACCAAUUCUUUUUAUCAAGAUGAUCCUAUCUAAUUAAUCCCGCACAUGCAAGCUCGAGAUAAAAAUAUUCCUAACAUGCUCACAACUCACUGAACGGCCAUUGCCAUGGCUGAUAAAAUUUGUGUAGCAACAACUAAGAGGUUUGUAAGAAUGUACGACAUAACUAGGUCAUGAACACAAGUUUAAUCGGUAUAUUAAAGCAGCUUGCCCCAGAAUUUAUAUGGGAAUCCAUAUGCACGUCAAGUUCUAGAAAUAUGGUUUAGAAUUGGGGUGAUCACCAAAGAUUUUGGCAUAGGAAAUAAAUUGAAGAUUGGCAUUAAAGGGAAAUAGGGCCUUAGAGCAUCUGUAGGAGAUCCCCCAAAAGUCAUAUUUGAGGAGGAUUUUUUUGUUCUAGGGAAUUUAGCAUCAGCUAGCAGAUCCCACGGAAAGUUAACUCUCUUAGAUAUGAUUCUUUUCCCCACAAAACAUCACUCCAUCUCCUCAAAUUUAGUCCAAUCGCAACUGUUCUCAGUAAAAAUAGCAAAAUUCUUGCCUCCCAUCUGCCGUCUGCCGCCUUAGUGACAGUCAAAACNNNNNNNNNNNNNNNNNNNNNNNNNNNNNNNNNNNNNNNNNNNNNNNNNNNNNNNNNNNNNNNNNNNNNNNNNNNNNNNNNNNNNNNNNNNNNNNNNNNNNNNNNNNNNNNNNNNNNNNNNNNNNNNNNNNNNNNNNNNNNNNNNNNNNNNNNNNNNNNNNNNNNNNNNNNNNNNNNNNNNNNNNNNNNNNNNNNNNNNNNNNNNNNNNNNNNNNNNNNNNNNNNNNNNNNNNNNNNNNNNNNNNNNNNNNNNNNNNNNNNNNNNNNNNNNNNNNNNNNNNNNNNNNNNNNNNNAACCCCCACCCCCUCCCCCCAUCGCCCAGCACUCCGGCAAGCCUAAUUGGCGAUGUGGAAUUUUAUGAAAAAAGGCAGUAGCCGCUUCAUCUAGUUCCAUGAUCAGCGACACCGCGCUCUUCUCGGUGAUCUUCCCCAUUUGUUGCCCGCCGCCACAUAGCUCAACCUGAUCGCUACCUGGGACGACGAUGGUGGGCCGACCGCACCAAUAGAGGAGGUGUCUGGGUAGUCGCCAUCGCACGGUGCGACCGUCAUCAUCAUGGUGUGUGCCAUGUUGCCCGACCAAUACGUUCGCAUAGUGGCAGCCUCCUCAUUCGCCUUGUCUAGCACGGGAACGACUGCACUGACAAUCUGCUCUCGGUACCUAGUGAUGCCCACGAAACUGACUCUUGGACAAUACAGGAAGACUAGUCAAUGACGAGUAGGCAGCUCCUGCGCCAGCGAUGCCCUCGGCUACGUUGCCCUCAGCGGGAUGCUUCGAGGAUGUAGUGAAGUGCUAGUAUCCCUUCCGUAACAGCAUGCUGCAUCAGAUGCCUUUGCUAAGGAUGGUUCGUUGAGAUCGACUACCAAAGCUUGAAUUGUGUAGUUGUGUGCCUUUGAUUGUGCAUUGGGAUCGUUGAGGUAAUUUUUUUAUAGCCGUAUCUACUAGGAGUGUUUAAUAUGCCUCCUAAUUCUAGCAUAAAUUUUUUACAGACUAGGUAAAAAGAUCAACAUGUGAAAAUUUUGUCAGCGAUUAAGUUUAUCAGCUGAUUGAGAUGUCGGACUGUGUGAGUGUGUAUUGAAGGUGUUUGAUGAAAUGUUUUGUAGCGCCCGGGACUGACACUAUGCAAAUCUAGCAGUCUUCGCUAGCCUCCGCAAAAUAUCGAUCCUAAGGCGUCACCUUCACAAAAUGUACACGUGAAAAGGAAGUACAUCAUUCAGACGUGGGGAUUGCGAGCUUCGGUGAUGACGAGUUUAUCUUGUAUUUCCGCCAACGGGGUGGCACAUGCAUCUAGGGAACACAUGCACAUCCAAUGCAUCAUGGUAGUUAAGCGUUGUCAUUCCAUUUUAGGAGCCAAUUUCACUUGAUUUCCUAUGCCAGAAUUCCAAUUAAUCAAUUAUAAACACCUUGAUGUGCAUAUGUAUCUUGAUCUGAAUUUUGGCACAAACUACAUCAAUUUAAUGGUUAAACUUAAGUUGAUGAUCUCGUUAUUUCAUACAUUCUUCUAGGUUCAGUUGGCCCUAAAAUAUUUAGUUGUCAUAGCAAAAAUAGUUUACAGGCAUGGUAAUUUGAUAUGUGAGCAUGUGACAAAUUAGUAUGCUAGGAUCUUGAUAUUUUUUGUUGCGAGAUGCUGGAUUCCCCAUGUGUUUAGAAGAGAUUAAGCAAUGACCAUCUCACUUUGCAAAAGCAAGGCUUUAGGAAGCAUGUGAAAAUAUAAUACCUUGAAAACACGCGUUGUUGGGAAGCAUGUGAGGCCUCACUACUUUAUGCCUUGGUGGAGGCAUGCCACCAAUCGCCAUCACCUUCUUUAUUCUUUUGACAUGCUUUUCGAGUAGAUGACAAGGAUCAAGAGGACCAUACAUACCUUUGGAGCCCCACCACCCAUUCUCAACAAAGAGCAAUAAGCAAGAAUAGUCAUGUGGUAAUACACAAUGUAACUCAAAGUUGAGGUUCCAUCCGCUAAUGACAUCCAAUCAUGCUUAAAGAAGGAUAUUAAAAAGAACUAGACGACUCUGCCAAAAUGUUGUAGAAAGUAGCUUAUCAAAAUGAUUGAUUUGGCACCCAACGCUAAUAUCCCACGGUAUUACCAUAAAUGCUAUACGCACUCCCUGGCUGGACGAAGCUUCCGCGUGCAUGGUUUCUUCUCUCCAUCGAUGAGACGAACAGAGACCAUCACAUGCUUGCACCGCAGCCUGUGUGUGUGUUGGGUGGGCUUCACUCACCACAUCGCACGCCUGUGUGUGUUCAGAGAGAGACCAUCAUGAUAUCAUUAGCAUGCAAAGAAAUUAGGCAGCAUUGCCAAAGAUGAUCUACGCGCUCCACAUGCAACUGCCCCGUAGUUUCGUUGUCACUGCCAUAAGAUGCUCUCUCUCUCUCUCUCUCACACACACACACACGCGCGCACACACACACACACACUCCGCUACUUAAACAGCUAGCUAGCUCCACACUUGCAUGGUCCACGUUCAGUCCAGUCUAGGCUCCAGCACGCACGAGAAACCGUCCCCUCCAGUCCAGGCUCCAGCACGCACGUCGCUCGCGUAGGGAUCGGAAGCACCUCCCACAUCCAACCUGCGACGGCCGGUGAAGGCCGGUGAAGGACCUUAUAAAGUAUUACAACAAUGUGUCUGAAUCCACCAUCUUGGCAACAUAUGCCGCUACUCCUAUCCAAAAUGAUGAAGGGUGCUAGCUGGGCCACUACCCAGACCACUCACCUAAGCCUAACAUCAAAAGCCGGAAGCCGAAACACAUUCGGAAGCCCCAGCCGAGCCACAUACCGGGUCUGGGGCACAAUCCGGUCAGACGCACUCGUGUGUCGUCGCCGCCAUCUUCCACAGGUCCGCCUUCAGAUCAAAUUGAGGCUUCUACUUUGUCUGGCCACUCAGCCAUCGACGUCACCACGACACCAGACAGCUUCGUCCUCCUGCGCGAGUCCAUCGCCACACAUCGGAUGUCGAAUCUCCACUGCGCCACGCCGCCGAGAUACGCCGCCAUCAAUGAGUAGGAUGAAGCACCGCUCCGCCGAGACCGGCAGGGCUGCUGAAGACCAAUCCGCCGCCAAGCAACCAAAGCAUCACAUCCACCCCAAGAUCACCACGAACGACACCCCCAAGAAGGUGACGACGCCCGGAGCGCCGCUGUCGCUCGAUCCGGCAAGGAUUCGGGCUUUCGCCCGGCAUACGAGCUGGGUGGAAGGAAGAGGGGAAGGAGGCAACCUGGACGGCGCCUACAAGAAAGGUACGACGCCCUCGGGCGUCGCUGCCGUCGUGACCAGCACUUCUGGCCUCGGAUUUCUCCGGAGCCACCUCCCACCUCCAGCCGCCAAACAGGUACAACUCCGGUGACAAAGGCCGUCCAAAGCAGGGCCAUCGGAGGCAGCCCUGGUUGAAGUAGACGGAGGCCUUCAGAUCUGUAUCGGGCGCCGCCGAGACGCCUGCACCACAGCUUCGGUAUAAUUGAUGUUGGUCAGAAUGUCACUGCAGUUUAUAUAUAUUCAUGAAGUAUAUUUAUGAUAAACAUUGUUUUUCAUGCAACCGCUGGCGUAAUCAAUUGGGGGUAUAGCUGUUGGUUCCCCUGAACCUCUAGAAGAUUGUUGGGGUACAGCUAGCUUAUAGGUUUAUUUCAGCAUACAGAAUAAUUGCAGUUAUGCUUGUAUGAUAUAUACUCAGUGACUCGCAUGCAUAAUUAGCUUAUCUUGGGUCAAGUUGAUGUUGAUUAAAUUGGAACUGCAGUUAGUAUUCAUACACACAUUUAUGUUGUUUCAAUUUUGGUUCCUAGUUUCAACUUACUUUGCUGAUCAAGAACUUUUCUAGAGUUGUGCAAAUGCAACUUAAAGUUCCUGUAAAAUUCUCCACCGAUAAACGCCUCAUAAUGAUUUUUAGCCUGUACUUCACUCGCUUACAUGCAUUUGUUUUUUGAGACAAGGAAAUAAAGUGCAGAGGAAAAUGUUCAGAUUACAUGCAUGCACUUUACAGAUGUCUUCUUACACUGACUGUUUGUUUUGCUUGUGCUAAUCUCAUUCCUGCAUAUCAUUAUUCAGCUAGUGUUUGGGGCGGCUUCCGUUUAUUUCCAACUUUUACACUGAAUCUUGCCGUGCAUGCAGUGGCGGAGCUUGAGCAUAAUCUUUUGCCUUUCUUUGCCAAAGAAAAUGACCUUUGCCAUAUUCACAGCCCAUGUAUUUGUUUCCAUAGAAUCCAUCAACGAGAGCUGAGAAGAGUAACAUAUUUUGCUUCGGUCCACAACACGGAAAACCAUAGAUGGACUCCAAGAAACAACUACUCCAUCUAUGGCCGAGCGGGACUUGACUAGUAGUUUCGGGUGAUGAUGAGUCGACACAAUGGGAAGAGCGUUGCGUACGACCCAUGCUUCAACACGCGUUGGGAAGUGAGGUUCUUCCCAGAUCUCCGGGUGGUUGGCGUGCUCGUGUACCAGCAUGGCUUCUCCGGCGGGCGGCAAUGCGUCAGUUGAAGCUCCUCGAUGACCGAGGAGGUGUGGUAGAUUCGCGAUCGUGUCAGUGAGAGGAUCAAAUUUCAGUGGAUGAUGAGGUACGUUUCCCGUGUGAUUUGGCACGGUACUCGGUGCAUGGUGUGGACCUUAGAAAUAGCGAGUGGGAGAUGUGGAGGCACCGAGGUGAUUGGAUUUGAUCGGUUGGUCGCCUCUGCUGCUCCACAUUCAUCCUCCCCUGCUCCCUGUUCCUCCACUUUGCUAGAUCUGCCUCACUUCAAGGGGGAGCUCUGGUUGACUUCGAUUGGAUGCGGAUCCCCUUUCCACCCUGACCUCGAUGGCGAGAAUAGAAGUGAAGAUGGCGGAGAUCACUGGCGGGAAUCAACUUGUGGUUCCUAACGGGGAGCUCCCUCAACGCGAAAGCCAUGGCGGUGGGCGAGGUGUUGGAUGACGAGGUGAUGGCGAGGUCCUUUAGGCCAUGGAGGAAGCGGGAUCGGUGGAUCCAGCCAAGCAGCCCAAGUGGGCGGUGUUCUGGUUCCUUACCACUGGUCUCCUUGCGGCGGUGGAAGAGGAGGUAAAGGCGGUGAUGGCGCGGCGGGUGACGAAGAAGAAGGCUAUGGUGGUGUGACAUAGCUUGACAUGACGCAGGGUGACCGCUUGAGAAACAACCACCAUGAGAGUGCCAUGAAGGCGCAUCGUGCAUGGGACACCACGACAUGCAUCAUUGAGAUGUGGGAAUUGCGACCGUCGGUGAUGACGAGUUUAUCUUGUGUGUCCGCCAUGAGGGAAGCACAUGCGUCGAGGGGGCACAUGCACAUUUGGUGCAUCAUCGUGGUUGCGCGUUGUUACCCCAUUUAAGGAGCCAAUCUCCACUUGAUUUCAUAUGCCAUAAUUCCACUAGGUCAAUUAUAAAAACAUAUUUAAAAAUUGAUGUGAAUAUGUAUCCUGAUCUGAAUCCCUGCGCAAGCUACAUUAACUUGAUGGUUAAACUUAUGUUGACAAUCCGUUAUGCCGUACAUUCUGUGAGGCUCAGUUGGUGGCUUGGUGCUAAACAAAGUUUAGUGGUCCUAGCAAAAAUAGUUUAGAGGCAUGGUCAUUUGAUAUGUGAGGAUGUGAGGGACUAAUAUGCUAGGAUUUUUCAUGUGUUCAAAGAGAUUAAGGAAUCACCAUGUCACUUUGUUAAACGAACUAGCUUGGGGUCGUGCAACAUCAUCAGAAUUGUUAAUUUUAAAAAAAGCAAAGCUAAUUAAUUCUUGCAAAUGAGUCGGUCUCUUCCCAGACAAAAUAUAGAGAAAGAAGGAAAAAACAAUAGAGAAUGACUUAGGUUUAUUGUCCUCACCUAGAAAUUAUAAAAAAAUGUGAAAAGAUAGAAAACAAUUAAGCUAACUCAAGAGAAUGACUUGAAAGCAUGAGUUGCCUCGAAGCACAUGAUGACUCCUCACUUUAUGCCUUGGUGGAGACAUAUGCUAUCAAUUGCCAUCAUAUUCAUUCUUCUUUUGACAUGCUUUUCGAUUAGAUAACAAUGGCAAAAUGACCAUCUAGACCUUUCGAGCACCACCACCCAUUUUCUCAACAAAGAUAAAUAUAAGUAAGCUAAUUAACUCAAAGUUAAGGUUGCAUAAUUUGACGUCAUCAAAUCAUGCACAAAAAGGAUAUUAGAAAGAGUGGUGCAUGCAUUGGUAUGGUACUGGAAAUCACAUGCGCUAGUUGAAAAUCGACCAGCUAGGGAAGGGAAGGUGGUGUGGUAACAUACAAACAUAUAGUGCAUCCGUAGACCUUGAUCAUAAUGUUGAAUUGAACCACACUAGUCGUCAGAGUGGAUAUGGGUGAUGGGGGAAGCUACUUGCCGCAAAUGGAACGGCGUUGGGUGGACAGCUAGCUAGCACUGCUAGUGCAGAAAGCAGGAGGGCUACAUUACAUGUGUGCGCUACUAUUCAGAUGGAACGGCCGGUGCAGUAUUUGAAUAGCUGGAGUAGAAAUUGCCAUAGUUGUAAAUUACACUGUGCAGCAGCUAUGGCCUUUUACUGCCAUGCAUGUACGCAUGUGUGAGCUUCAGUGCUUCACACCACUCGCAUUGCUGUUCGAGUAUACGCGCUCCCCACUGGCAUAACUUACCCGUAGUUUCCAUUGACCAAUCAUCGCAACUGCCAGUGAGAUCAUCGUAUGGUUGCUUACAUAUGAUGAGCCACCAGUUUAGAGCGGCAUGAGUGAGUGUUAAUUAAUAUCACACGAAGCAUUACGUUACUUACAUGCGUAUGCUAUACUAGAAAUUACUCUAGUUGAAAGGGACCGUGCAGAGCUAAGAUGAGCUUUACUCCAAUGCAAGAAAAUCGGGCAUUGCCAAAGAGGCAAAGAUGGUAUCUGCGCUCCCCAGAUGCAACUCUCUCUCUCUCUCUCUCUCUCUCUCUCUCUCUCACACACACACACACACACACACACACAGAGCUAGUCCAUAGGGGAUCAGCUGUCGGGUUGGUGCAGAUAUUUUUUGGUUGAAUUUUAGGUUCCAAAUGACCCUCUCGAUGGGCUGCACCACAUGUUGGUGCGGUUCGACACGAUAUAUAGAUGGGCUGACUGCAUGUUGAUGCAGUACUAUUUGACCUUUCCUCUAUAUGACCAGAUCGACAUCAUUUAUAUGCUUAUUUAUCCAGCUUCGGUAUAAUUCACCGAGUGCUGUAUGUGUGAAUCUACUAGUGUACAACUGUUAAUUUGAUAGAUCAACGACACUAGUUAGUACUCCCUCCGUAACUUAAUAUAAGACAUUUUUUACACAAUUAUAGUGUGAACGGCUUAUAAGUUACGGAGGAAGUAUUUGUGUAAUGUGUUAACCUGAAAUUUGGCAAUCUUUCAUGUAGUAUUCGACCUUUUCUCCAUAUGACCAGAUAUCAUUUAUGUGAUCCUUUUUGGACGUGUGUACCAGGAGUGGUUAAUAUGCCUCCUAAUUCUAGAAUAAUUUUUUACACACAUUUCGAUAAAAAGAUCAACCCAUGAAAAAUUUGUUGCCGAUUAAGUUUAUCAGCAGAUAGAAAAGUCGGACUGUGUGAGUAUGUAUUGUAGGUGUUCGAUGAAAUGUUUUGUAGCGCUCCGGGACUGACACUAUGCACAUCUAGCAACCUCCAAUAGCCUCUGCAUAAUAUCGAUCUUAACGUGUCACCUUCACACAACACACACAUGGAAACAACUUAUAUCAUUGAGACGUUGGCAUUGCAAGCUUCGGUGAUGAUGAGUUUAUCUUGUUGUCCGCCAUCACAGUGGCACAUGAGUCAAGGGGGCACAUGCACAUCCAAUGCAUCAUGCUAUUUAAGCAUUGUUAUCCCAUUUUAGUGUUGGAAUAAGCCACGGCGCCUGGUGCGGUCGGGCUCAUCGGGCGCGUCGUGUGCGCGCGGCACGUGCGGGAUGCACUGGUGUGGCCGGGCUCGUCGGGCGCGUCUGAUGCACGCGGGGAGUGCGGGACGCUCCACCAUGGCGAGUGUGCGUGCUGCGUGAAGCUGCGCAUGUGCUGGAGAAUUAGUUGGCGCAUGAAGUAGUAGGCCACGUUGAGACGUGGAGUUAGUUUUUAGAUAUGGCUGAGUCGUGCUGGUUGUUGGAGUGAUUCCAGGAGUAGGAUAAGGCCUGAUAGUGCAUGCAUAUGUUAGUGGAAUUAGUUGCCCGAGAGAGGUGGUUGGCCGGUGCGUGUAUGGUCUUGUACAUAUAUGCGUCAAUGAGCAAUGAGAGAAGUGGCCGUGAGGGCUGGAGAAAAAUGUAGCAUUGUGUACACAAAGGGAAUGGCCUCACGGCAAAGCUCUUGUGGUCUCCCUUGGUACAUGUAUGUGUGUGUUUCUUCUUGUCUUGUGUGUUCUUAUGAGACACCAUGAAAGAGAAGAGAGAGUUGUGCGAAAGGAGGAAGAAGGACAGCGGCGCUGUGAGGAGGCGGCGCCAACAAUUGGCAUCAGAGCGACCAGGUUCGAGGAGCGGCCGUGGCGUGCGGCGGCGUCCGUGGCACACGGGGUGAGCGCGGCGGACAUGGAGGCAUCGGCUGCGGUGCAUGGCAAGUCCGCGGCGAUGCAGUGUGAUGCCGUGCGUGUGACGAACAGCGGCGGUCGCGGAGGACCUGCGUGGUGGCGCAAAGGCCGCGGCGGCUCAGCGCGACGACCGUGGAGGCGCAGUGGCGCGUGGCAUGGAUAUGUGGCACGUCGGCGGAGGCCGCUGCGGCGCGGUGCUACGUCAUGAAGCGGCGUCCGAGAAGACUUGUGUUUGAGCUCAUUGGCAUCGACGGCGUUUGUCGCCGAGGGACGCCAGGCGUGUGUCGCCGGCGGAGAAGGAACUCGGCGUAUGUCGCUGGAGACGUGACAGAGCACGGUGCGACCGGCGUCGGUGCGCCAGGUCGGGUCCGUGGACUGGGUCACCGUCGUGGCGACGACAUCGACAUGAGUUACUCCGGCGACGACGAGGCCGUGGCUUAGGGGGGGUGUUGGAAUAGGCCACGGCGUCUGAUACGGUCGGGCUCGUCGAGCGCGUCGGGUGCGCGCGGGGCGUGCGGGAUGCUCCACCAUGGCGACUGUGCAUGCUGCGUGAAGGUGCGCAUGUGCUGGAUAAUUAGUUGGUGCAAGAAGUAGUAGGCCACGUUGAGACGUGGAGUUAGUUUCAAAAUAUGGCUGAGUCGUGCUGGUUGUUGGAGUGAUUUCAGGAGUAGGAUAAGGCCUGAUAGUGAUUUCAGGAGUAGGAUAAGGCCUGAUAGUGCAUGAAUAGGUUAGUGGGAUUAGUUGCCCGAGAGAGGUGGCUGGCCGGUGCGUGUAUGGUCUUGUAUAUAUAUAUGCGUCAAUGAGCAAUGAGAAAAGUGGCCGUGAGGGCCGGAGAAAGAUCUAGCAUUGUGUACACCAAGGGAAUGGCCUCACGGCAAAGCUCUUGUGGUCUCCCUUGGUACAUGUGUGUGUGUUUCUUCUUGUCUUGUGUGUUCUUAUGAGACACCAUGAAAGAGAAGAGAGAGUUGUGCGAGAGGAGGAAGAAGAACAGCGGCGAUGUGAGGUGGCGGCGCCAACAAUUGGCAUCAGAGCGACCAGGUUCGAGGGGCGGCCGUGGCGUGCGGCGGUGUCCAUGGCGCGCGGGGUGAGCGCGGCGGACAUGGAGGCAUCGGCUGCGGUGCACGGCAAGUCUGCGGCGAUGCAGUGUGAUGUCGUGUGUGCGACGAGCAGCGGCGGUCGCGGAGGCGAGCAGGUCGCGGAGGACCUGCGUGGUGGCGCCGAGGCCGUGGCGGCUCAGCACGACGACCGUGAAGGCGCAGUGGCACGUGGCAUGGAGAUGCGGCGCGUUGGCGGAGGCCGCUGCGGCGCGGUGCUAUGCCAUGAAGCAGCGUCCGGGAAGACUUGCGUUUGAGCUCGUUGGCAUCGACAGCGUUUGUCGCCGAGGGACGCCAGGCGUGUGUCGUCGGCGGAGAAGGAACUCGGCGUAUGUCGCCGGAGACGUGACGAAGCACGGUGCAACCGGUGUCGGUGCGCCAGCUCAGGUCCGCGAGCUGGGUCACUGUCGUGGCGACAACAUCGACAUGAGUUACUCUGGCGACGACGUGGCCGUGGCUUUGGGGGGUGUUGGAAUAAGCCACGGCGUCUGGUGCGGUCGGACUCGUCGGACGCGUCAGGUGCGCGCGGGGCGUGUGGGACGCUCCACCGCGCCGAGUGUGCGUGUUUAAUGAAGCUGCGGAUGUGCUGGAGAAUUAGUUGGUGCACGAAGUAGUAGGCCACGUUGAGACGUGGAGUUAGUUUUUAGAUAUGGCUGAGUCGUGCUGGUUGUUGGAGUGAUUCCAAUUGUAGGAUAAGGCCUGAUAGUGCAUGCAUAGGUUAGUGGGAUUAGUUGCCCGGGAGGGGUGGCUGGCCGGUGCGUGUAUUGUCUUGUAUAUAUAUGCGUCAAUGAGCAAUGAGAAAAGUGGCCGUGAGGGCUGGAGAAAAAUGUAGCAUUGUGUACACCAAGGAAAUGGCCUAACGGCAUAGCUCUUGUGGUCUCUCUUGGUACAUGUGUGUGUGUGUUUCUUCUUGUCUUGUGUGUUCUUAUGAGACACCAUGAAAGAGAAGAGAGAGUUGUGCGAAAGGAGGAAGAAGAACAGCGGCGCUGUGAGGAGGCGGCGCCAACAUUUAGGAGCCAAUCUUCUUGAUUUCCUAUGCCAAAAUUCCACUUGAUCAAUUAUAAACAACUUGAUGUGCAUAUUUAACGUAAUUUGAAUUCUGGCGCAAGCUACAUUAAUUUCAUGGUUAAACUUAACUUGUCAAUCUAGUAAUGUCAUAUGGUGGAUUAGGUCUCACAACUAGGGAUCGCCGUACAGGACGGCCGGCUUCAUCCUAGUCUGUAACAACCCAUACAUAAUGCCUACCUUAAUUGUGUCAUCCAUGUUGGAUGUUGUAUAAUUUGGUGCUGCCUCUUGUCAUUGUUUUGCAUCAUGCAUCAUAUAAUCAUCAUUGCUUUGUUUGUGGCAUAUUUAUGUUUGUUGUGAUCUUGUGUUGAACUCCUUCCCUUCAUCUUCAUCUUGCUCGUUCCAACCAAACCAUCAUCAAGUUUCAAAAAUCCCAUCUCAAGCCUUUGCUUUUCUUUCUUAUGUCCAAUAAAUUCAAGUGGCAUUAUUUCCUGGUUCAAAUUGAUGUUCACUAUAUUUCUCUAGUCCCGACACCAUGGCAAGACCUACCCGUCCAAAUUUUAGCUCAUUUGGUAAUGAUCUGGUUAGAUUCAAAAUUCAAUUCAAACUUGUUUAAAUUUUUAGUCUUUAAAAAUUGCAAGAGCAUAUUUAUUUAAAUUGGGCAUAAUUCCAGGACUCUGGGAAUAUUUUCAUUUAUACAAAAUUCCCUCUCUACCCCUACUUCUCUUUUUCCAUUUUUUCUACAACCAGAUCUUGAAGAGGCAUGUGCAACCACCACUUUGCCCCUCGAAGACAUGGGAAUGACAACUAUAGAUGCACAACCACCACUUUCCCCUAGAAGACAUGCCUGGCCAGAGCAGCCUGCAGCCAUGGCAGAGAGGUGAGCUAGAGGACAUAAAUAACCAUGGGGAAAUGGGGAGGGGGGUAGCGGCUCACCUCGUGGCUAGUGGCUCACAUAGAGGACUAGGGAGGAGGGAUGUCACAUAAUUGAUCAUCUCCAAGCGGCGGCCACGAGAGGAAGGACGGGCUCCACUCGUCUUCUUCGGUAAAGAGGAGGUGCGAGAUGAGAUUGGGGUGGGGUGGAGGGGAGCGAAGCAGCAGAUGUUGUGACGCAGAUGUGCGACUCCAUCCUCCCAACAAGGGAUGAGACCCCAACGCCAGCGAGAGGUCAAAUCCUAGCACCGCUGCGGUGUAGGGGGAACUAAAAGUGAUGGGAGUGACGAGAAUGAAAUUGAUAAAAUGCCUACUGAAAAUAGCCCUCAAAUUCCAUUCGAAAAUUCCCAUCGAAUAGUUUGAGAGGGAAUACCUCAUUCGUUUGAUUUUUUUAUACCAAAAAUGCCCCUCGGGCCUCCAUAUAAUUCACGUGACGUUAGAGUAUUCCAUCGCAUCUGGACCGUCCAAUCCAGUCCGAUGGACGACCAAUAUUAGCCGGAGGCACCGUUAAAAGACUCAUCCAUAUGCAUGUCAAGUUCUGGGGAUAUGGUUUAGAAUUGAUCAAGAGGGAUUUUGGCAUAGGGAUUAAAUUGAAGAUUGGCAUUAAAGGGGAAUAGGGCCUUAGAGCAUCUAUAGGACAUCCCCCAAAGUCAUAUUUGACGGGAAUUUUUUGUUUUGGAGAAUUAAGUAUCAGCUAGCAUAUCCCACAAAAGGUUUAAUCCCUCAAAUAUGACUCCCCCUGCCCCUCAUCUCCUCAAGUUUAGUCCAAUCGCAACCGUUCUCAGUAAAAGUAGGGGAAAUGCCUGGCUCCCAUCUGCCUGUUAUAACGCACGUUGCAGGCCGUCCGCCGCCCCAGUGGCAGUCAAAAUGGAAACCUCAGCCCCUCCCCCCCUCUGCCUCGCGCUGGCGCUCUAGCGAGCCUCCUAUGCGACGAGAAAUUUCACGAAAACAGGCAAUAGCUGCUUCAUCCAGUUCCAUGGUCAGUGGCACCCUGCCAAUCCCGACAAUCUUCCCCACACUAGUAGAAAAAGGACCUAAUGUAAGACACAUUAGUGCCGGUUCGAUUUUGGCCCGGUACAAAUGGUACCAUUAGUGCCAGUUCGAACGGCUAUGCAUUAAUGCCGGUUCGUUUUGAACCUUUAGUACCGGUUCGUGCCACGAACUGGUACUAAAGGGGUGGUGGCAGGCUGGCGUCAGGCCGGGGCCCCGCGAUCACCUUUAGUACCAGUUCGUGGCACAAACCGGUACUAAAGGGCUAACCUUUAGUACCGGUUCGUGCCACGAACCGGUACUAAAGAGGUUUGACCUAUAGUACCGGUUCGUGGCACAAACCGGUACCAAAGGGCAAUUUUCAAUCUCUACCCCGCCCCCCCUUUAUAUCGCCAUUUCAGUUUUGAAAAAUACAAAAGAAAAUGAUAAAAAAUACAAAAAAUAAAAUUCUUCGAGAUGUAGUUAUAUUACUACAUCUACUAGUUAGGAAAAUUUAAAAACUUAAAUUUGGACAUGUUUUGCAAAAAGUGUAGGGAAAAUGUAAAACGGCUAUAACUUUUGCAUACGAUGUCGGAAAAAACAUAUAAUAUUUCAAAAAAUUCUGCACGAAAAUCGGCGUCCAAUUUUGACAGCCCAUGGCCUGUUUGCAAUUUUUUAGAAUCCUCAAAUUCCAAAAGGAGAAAAAGAUAUGCUCAAAUUUAAGUUAUUUUUAAUUUUGGUUAAAUCUGGUCAAACUAUGGUCAAACUACUUAUUCAAGAAGUAUUAAUGUUACUACAUACUUAUUCAAGAAUAUUAGUGUUACUAAAUAAUUAUUUCACUUUUUUGAAUUUUGGUCAAAUCUGGUCAAACUAUGGUCAAACUGUGGUCAAACUAUGGUCAAACUUAUUUCAGAAAUAUUAGUGUUACUAAAUAAUUACUGUUUUUUAGAAUAAUAGUUUCAAACUCAAACGGUGAAAUGUGUGACCUAAUGCUCAAGCUAAACCGCCGAGGGUUAAUAGGAUUUACAGCUUACAUUUGUCAGGAAAACAACAAGUGCAGACUUGGAAAAGUAGGGAGAAUAAAACUCCAAAGUUAAGCGUGCUCAGGCUGGGGGAGUGAGAGGAUGGGUGACCGGUCGGGAAGUUAGAUGAUUUGGAAUGAAUGAUCCACACUUGAGUAGUUAAGAGGGGCGAUUAGAGACUAAAUCAUCAAAUAAUUCAAAAAAUUGAAAAUCGAAAAAAAAUCAAUUUUAAAAAAAAUCAAAAUUUUCAAAAAAAAUAAAAAAAUACCUUUGAUAACACCAACCGGUAUUAAAGGUCCCGCAUACCACGGCGCUACCUCGCGCCACGUGGUGGGCCUUUAGUGGCGGUUCGUGCCGAACCGGUAUUAAAGGAAAAGGGGGCUUUAGUCUCCACUCUUUAAUGCCGGUUGCAGAACCUGUAUUAAAGGCCCUUAUGAACCGGUAUUAAAACUCCGUUUUCUACUAGUGCCAUGAGUAGUUCCCACAUGUGAAAGCCGAAGGAGCGCAAAUAUGGCCUAACCUUUUGUGGCCCAUGUCGCCACAUCAGUCACCCGGAUUGCUACGAGAGACGACGAUGGUGGGCUUGCCAUGCCGGCAUAGAGGAGAUGUCCGGGUAGUCACCAAAGUGUGGUGCGGCCGUCAUCAACAAGGUGUGUGUCAUGCAACCCGACUACUACAUCUGCAUGGUGGCUGCCUCCUCAUGCGCCUUGUCGAGCGCGAGAACAACUGCGCUGACGAUCAGGCAGCUGCAGGGCCAGCGAUGCCCACAAAGCUGACUAUUGGACAAUAUAGGAAGACUAGUGGAUGACGAGAAGGCAGUUGCAAGGCCAGCAAUACCCUAAUUGGAUGCUUCAAGGCCGUGGUGAAGUACCAGUACACCAUCGGCAGCAGCCCGUUGCAUCAGAUACCUUUUUAAGGAUGGUUCAUUGAGAACAGCUGCCAAGGUGGAAUUUAUAGCUAUGUACCUUUGAUGGUGCAUUGGGAUCGUCGAGGUGAAAAUUUUGUAGGCGUGCGUACUAGGAGUGGUCAAUAUGCCUCCUAAUUCUAGCAUAGUUUUUUGCACGCUUUUUGGUAAAAAAGAUCAACCCAUGAAAAUUUUCUUAGUGAUUAAGUUUAUCAGCAGAUCGAAAAGUCGGACGGUGUGUGUGUGUAUUGAAGGUGUUUUAUGAAAUGUUUUGUAACACUUCAGGACUGACACUAUGCAGAUCAAGCGACCUCCACUAGCCCCUUCAUAAUAUCGAUCCUAAGGUGUUACCUUCAAAAAACGUACAAGCGGGCAAUGUGAGCUUCGAUGAUGAUGAGUUUAUUUUGUUUGUCCGCCAUCAGGGUGGCAAAUGAGUCCAGGGGACACAUGCACACCGGAUGCAUCAUCGUAAUUAAGGGUUGUUAUCCCACUUUAGGAGCCAAACUUCAGUUGAUUUCUUACACCAGACUACCCCUUGAUCAAUUAUAAACAACUUGAUGUGCAUAUGUAACCUGAUAUGAAUUCUGACGCAAGCUACAUUAAUUUAAUGGUCAAACUUAAGUUGUGAUCUCGUUGUCACAGAUUCUUCGAAGCUCAGUUGAUGCUAAUGAAAAGUUAGUUGUCCUAGCAAAAAUAGUUUAGAGGCAUGGUCAUUUGAUAUGUGAGCAUGUGACGGAUUAGCAUGCAAGGAUAUCUUGAGUCCCAUGUGUUCAGAACAGAUUAAGAAAUAACCAUCUCGCUUUAUUAAAGGAAGGGUCUAUAGAUUUUAAGGUUUAUAGUUUAGUGUUAGGCUUUGGACUUUACAACAAUAUCUGAAUUGUUACAAUUAGAGCCAAGCUAAUUCCUUCAUGGGAGCCAGUCUCUUCUCGAUUAAGUAAUGAGAAAGAAGGAGAACUAAUAGGGAAUUACUUAUAUUUAUUGACAUCGCCUGGAAAUUAAGAAAAAUAUGAGAAGAGAGAAAAAUUAAGCUCUCUCAAGAUAAUGCCUUGAAAGCAGGCGUUGUUGGGAAGCACGUGAUGGCCCAUGAUUUUAUGCCUUGGUGGAGACGUGUCAUCAAUGGCCAUCACUUUCUUCCUUCUUUUGACACGCUUUUCAAGACCAUGCAGACCUUUGGAGGCCCAUCAUCCAUUCUCAACAAAAAUAAAUAAGCUCGGAAAUGAUCUUAUGAAAAACCCAACGUCACGUGGUAAUACACAAUGUAACUCAAAGUUAAGGUUGUAUCAGCUAACAACAUCCAAUCGUGAAUAAAAAGAUACUAAAAACAAUGAAAUGAUUCGGUCAAAAUGUCGUACAAGCUAGCUUACUAAAAUGAUUGCUUUGGCACCCGUCGUUAAGAGUGAUGUUACUAGAAAUCAUACCAGUUGAAAAUGACCGCGCAAUGAGCUAGCUAUCUUUUUACGGCAUGUCAUGUGUGUGCUGAGGUUCACUCAAACUUUUGUGCAUCUGCCAGCAAUUAAGCCGGGGGCCGGUCGCGCGCAGGCUGCGCCGCCGCUGGCCGCCGUUGCUGGCCGUGGCGCUGUGCCUGGUGCUGCUUCAGGUGGUGGAGCUGCGCCGCUGCUGCCUGCGGGUAGCGGCCGAGGGGUGGCGCUGCCGGUCGCCCAGGUGUCGAGACGUGGGACGCUGCCACCGCAGUUGGUGCCUGCUGGCCGUGGCUCGGCGGGAGUGGCUUCAGGACAGGGUGUUGUCUCGGGUCCGAGACCGCCGGUCAUUGGCGCUGCAGGGCCAAGGCCUCCGGCGCCGGUAGCGUCCGGAAUGAUCCCGGCGGGCCGUGGUGGCGCGAUGCCACGGCCGACUGCGCCUGGGUCGUUGAACAUGCAACACCCGAAGCCGGCCCCUCCGCCUUACGUCGUCGCGAAGCCACAACAGAACAGAGUCGGGCCGGUGCAGAAGCAACCGCCGCCGCCUCCGGCUUCUGCUGUGCCCAAGGGGCAGUGGGGUGAUGAUGGGUUCGAUGCGUACAGGGCUGGUAAGCACCGUGGAUCCUCGUCGGCGGGCGGUGGACGGGGCUACGCUUGGCAGAGCGAUGGCACGACGGAGCGUCCCUUCAUGGGGCCACCAAGAGGUUUUGUUGAGGGGGCGUCUGUCCCAGGCUUCAAGCAGUGGGGUAGUUUCCGCGGUCAUCGUGGUGGCCGUGGGGGGCGAGGUGGCCGGUAUCGUCCUCGACUGCCACCACCGCCUGUGGUUGACCAGAUGGUGGUCGACGAGUCUGUUGAGGAGCAGGUUCUGUCAGGACAAGCUAUUGAUGUGGUCUCCGCGCUUGCCUCGCACUACUAGGAAAAGGGCUAUAGAUAAGACUGAUUCUAAUGGCGCACCAGGCAAGUAGUGCGCCACUACUAUAUACUAAUGGCGCAUCGGUUGCUCGUGCGCCAUUAAUGUGGAAGACACUAAUGGCGCAUCGUGCUCACAGUGCGCUACUACUAUUGAUUUUUUUUCCAUUUUUCCAUACAAACUAAUGGCGCAUGGACGGCAAAGUGCGUCAUUACUAGUUGGAACUAGUAAUGCGCACGACCAAUACAGUGCGCCAUUAGUAUAUUUUUUUUUUACUUUUUUGCAAACCUACUAAUGGCGCACUAUGCCAAAGUGCGCCAUUACUAGUUUAAACUAGUAAUGGCGCACUUUUCCACAGUGCGUCAUUAGUAUACAUAUGUUUUUUUUACUUUUCUGCAAAAAGUACUAAUGGCGCACCACCUGCCGAUGCGCCAUUAGUAACCAGGGUUACUAAUGGCGCAUUUUGUGGUGGUGCGCCAUUAGUAACCUGGGACGAACAAGAUAUUUUGGACAGCCCACCUACCCACUCACUUUCCCCACUUCAUUCUCUCCACCUCCUCCUCCAAGCUUGUCUCGGCUGCCUCCUCCUCACCUCAUUUCCACCAUAGAUUCAUCAAAAUUAAGUGGUGAAAUCACCUUUUUUUUGAUAGGUAAGUAAGGGGAAAGCUAUCUUCAUGAUGUAGAUCUACUUUUUUUCUCACUAGCUCGCUCCAACAACGUGCACAUGCACUUUUUGUGUCCUAGCUAGAUCUAUGUAUGUUUGUGGUGUUGCUUGUGUUUGUGGUGUUGCAUAUAUGUUUGUGUUUGCCAAUAUUUUGCCGGAAUGUUGAUUCAUUUUCGUUUCGGCGAGAAUUUUGGCACUAUGCAUUCUUUUUGGUCCUAUUUUUAGGGAAGGUCAUGCCAAAUUUUUUCUUGGUUCCAAAAUAUAGUUUUGCUCUACCCCGCAGGCGACCAUGGUCCGCACGAUGACCGAAGGCAUCGUGAAUAGGUUUUUGAGCUCCGCGAAGGCCGAGAUGCUUCAAAAGAACGAGAUGGAGAUAAGAUGUCCGUGUCGAAGAAGCAAGCUGAAGAGCCUUAUUGCGGACCCGGAUUCCGGGCAGGUGCGGGACCACCUGCUCUUGCGUGGUUUCAUGGAUGGCUAUCGGUGGCAAGGUGAUGAAGAUGACUAUGAAGUCGCCCAUGGGGGCCGGGCAAGAAAUGAGGAAGGGCAACAAGACAACCACCGCGGCGAGGGCGGGCAAGAAGACGAAGAAUCUUCAGGACAUGAUCACGAUGGUGAUGAUGUACACAAUCAUCAUGUAGAAGAUGUCGUACAUGAUGAUGAGGAAGAUCAAGACGAAGGGCAUGAUCAUGAAGAUGAAGAUGCCGGAGCAGAUGACGAUGGAGGCUGGGUGCAGGACCCUCAUAUUCAAGAGCUGCUUCGCAAGCAGACAGAUAAUGCAAGAGCUACCGCCCGAGAGAAAGCCAAGCUGGAUCAACUGGAGAUAGACGCGGUUACUCCAUUGUAUGAAGGAUGCAGGCCCGAGGAUACCCGCCUGAAAGUAAUGCUCAUCGCUCUGGAGAUGAAGGUAAAACACAAAAUGACCAACGCAUGCUUCGACGAGAACAUGUCAUUCUGGCACGAACGUCUUCCCAAGGGGAACAAGUGCCCGACCAGUUUCGAGGAGGCGAAGAAAAUCGUGUGUCCUUUGGAUUUACCGCACGUGAAAUACCAUGUGUGCAUGAACAAUUGCAUCCUUUAUCGGGACGAGCACGCGGAGUCUACCAUAUGUCCGGUGUGCGGCGUCACUCGAUACAAGAAGAGGAAGAAAGCUCCUCGAAAAUCGGUGUGGUACUUUCCGAUCACUCCUCGUCUGCAGCGGUAUUUCGCGGACCCUAAGGUAGCAAAGCUCCUGCGUUGGCACGCGGAUAGGGAGGAGAAGAAGCGGGAAGAUGACGGAAAUGAUCCGGAGAUAAGUAAAAAAGACAAGAUGCUGAGUCACCCUAAGGAUGCGAGCCAGUGGCAAGCGUUGAACUUCGAAUACCCAGAAUUUGGGAAGGAUCCAAGGAACAUCGUGCUGGGCGCGAGCACUGAUGGAGUCAAUCCAUUUGGCAGCCAGAGAAGCACACAUAGCACCUGGCCUGUGUUUGUGUGGAUGUACAACCUUCCCCCCUGGUUGUGCAUGAAGAGGAAGUACAUUCACAUGAGUAUGCUAAUUGCAGGGCCGAAACAACCAGGGAACGACAUCAAUCUGUAUCUGGGGCUGCUGAAGGAGGAGCUAUACACGCUGUGGAAAACGCCAGCCAAUACGUGGGACGCCGCAGAGAAAGAAUAUUUCCCUAUGAGAGCCGCACUGCUCACGACGGUGCACGACUAUCUUGGUUACGGAUAUCUCGCGGGGCAGGUAGUCCACGAAUUUUCUGGAUGCGUAAGGUGCAUGGAUGACACAACGCAUCGCCAGCUAGAUAGAGAUCCCGGGUCUUCGAAAACCGUGUUCAUGGGACAUCGAAGGUGGCUUCGCGACGAUGACCCGUGGAGGAAACGCAAGGAUCUGUUCGAUGGUGAAGCCGAACCCCGAAAACGCCCGUGUACGAGGAGCGGCGAGGAAAUAGACGAGCUGUUGAAAAAUUGGAAAGACUGCCCACUGCCGGGAAAGAAGCAAAAGGCGCCAGAGCCGGGAAAGAAGCGAAAGGUGCCAGAGCCGCUGCUGAAGGUAUGAAAAACGAGGUCUGUUUUCUGGGACUUGCCGUACUGGAAGAUCCACCGUGUGCCUCACAGCCUUGAUGUCAUGCAUAUCACCAAGAACGUGUGCGAGAGUCUGCUUGGUACCCUGCUCAACAUGUCAGAGAGGACCAAAGAUGGGCCGAAAGCAAGGGCAGACUUGAAAUCAAUGGGCAUCAGGCAGGAGCUUCACGCUAAUGAUGAUGAUGAUGAUGAUGAUGAGGCGAAGUAGGACACAGAAAGUCGUCGCAAAGGCAAAAAGGCCAAGAAGACCGGAAAUGACUACCCUCCCGCGUGCUUCACUCUAAGUCAGGAGGAGAUCGAGCAGUUUUUCACCUGCCUCCUAGGAGUAAAACUUCCUUACGGUUACGCGGGGAAGAUAAGCAGAUACCUAGACCCAGCGAAGCAGAAGUUCAGCGGGAUGAAGUCUCACGACUGUCACGUGCUGAUGACGCAGAUACUUCCAGUUGCAACCCGUGGGAUCAUGGACGCGCACGUCCGUGAAACGCUAUUUGUCCUAUGCAACUUUUUCGACGUCAUCUCUCGGAAGUCGGUUGGCGUGAGGCAACUCAGAAGGCUACAGGAAGAGAUCAUGGUGAUACUAUGCGAGCUUGAGAUGUAUUUCCCGCCCGCAUUCUUCGACGUUAUGGUGCAUCUGCUGGUCCAUAUCGUGGAGGAUAUCAUCCAACUCGGGCCGACGUUCCUGCACAGCAUGAUGCCGUUCGAAAGGAUGAAUGGUGUCAUCAAAGGAUACGUUCGGAACAUGUCACGUCCAGAGGGAAGUAUAGCCAGGGGCUUUCUGACCAAAGAGUGCAUCUCCUACUGCAUGAAUUAUCUAGGCAUCGAGAACCCCGUUGGUCUGCCCGUCAACAGGCACCUCGGCAGGCUCGCUGGAUGGGGUCACCGUGAGGGUCGCUGCGAAAUGCAUGUCGACUUCGAGGGUCGACUCGCUGACUUUGAAAGAGCAAACCUAGUCGCGCUACAACACAUAGACGUGGUCGAUCCUUGGGUGGUAGAGCACAAAACCUUUAUUGAGAAGACGUACAAUGACCGAGGCCAACAGAGGACGGACGGAGAUAUACUCAAAGAGCACAACUCAUGUUUCACGCAUUGGUUCAAGCAGAAGCUUAUGUCGUACCCUUUACAUGAGGAUUCUUCUGCGGAAGAACAACUCAUAUUCGCCUUGUCACAGGGCGCCGAGCACAACCUGAUGACCUAUGAGGUGUACGAUAUCAACGGCUACACAUUCUACACCGAGGACAAAGACAUGAAGAGCGAUGGUUAUCAGAACUCCGGGGUAACGAUGGAAUCCUACACCGGUAAGGACAAGGACAGAUACUACGGAAGGAUCAAGGAGAUCUGGGAGCUGAGCUACGCUGGAGAGAAGGUGUCGAUGUUCCGUGUCAGAUGGGCCAAGAGCGUCCUAAAAGAAGACCGAUAUUUCACUACCAGGGUUAUACCCGAAGCCAAAUCCAAGACCGCGGGCGCAAACGUCACCGCGAAAAAUGAGCCAUGGGUACUGGCUUCCCAAGUGGACCAAUGCUUCUUCAUUACCGACCCGCCAAAGCCCAGUCGUGUUGUCGUGAGGAGAGGCAAAAGGAGAUCAUCGGAAUGGAUGGAGUAGCCAAUGAGCAAGACUUCGACAACUACGGCGACCCGAAGAUCAAACAUGACGACGAUGAUGAAGUAGCAGCACACACCACAAGAAGAAGCAGGACCACCCUACCUAAAGGACGUCCGUUUCACAGAAGAACUCCAUUUGUGAAAAAGAAGGGCAAGAAGAUUGUGAACAGAUAGCUAGCUAAGAUCGAUUGUAUUUAAAUCGUAGUCUUCAUUUCUCGAUUGUAUUUCAUGGGCACUUUUUGGUAUCAUGAAUAUUUUUAAAUUUCAUGGGCACUUUUUGAAAUCAUGAGGACACUUGAUCUCGAUUACCCUCCAUCUCGAUCUCGAUUCCCCCUCCAUCUCGAUCUCGAUCCCCCUCCAUCUCGAUCCCGCACCCUCCCCCGCUAGCUCCACUGCCGCCGCCGACCCACCGCAACCCUCCACCGCCGCCGAUGAUAUUUUCAAGUAACAAAUUUGAACAUAUUUUUAAAAAAAUUAUUACUGUUUUUAUAAAAAAAUAUUACUGUUAUGAUUUAAACAAGUUUGAACAUAUUUAAACACAAAUAAAUAUAAAAAACAGCAUUUAAAAUGCAUAAAAAAAUAUUGAGGAGCCUAGGAAUCGAACCCAGGACCUCCUGGUGUGUGUCCUGCAUGCUGACCAGUCGGGCUAGUGGGUGGGUUAUGUUGUAGAUAGGGCUAGGUUGUAGAUAGGGCUAGUGGGCUAGAUUAAAAGAAAAUUCUAAUGACGCACCGUGGGGUGGUGCACCAUUAGAAUAGUCGUACUUCUGGCGCACGAGGGGGUGGUGCGCCAUUAGAAAGCUUCCCCCCACACUAAAUCCCCAAUCUCUCUAAUCUCUCCACUGCCUCAUCGAUCUCACCCGCUGCCCCCCGUGUUCGCCGUCCCCCUCGUCGCCCCCCUCGCUUCCUUGGCCGUCCCCGAGCCCAGCGCCGCCUCCCUCGCCGCCUCCCUCGCCGUCCCCGAGCCAAGUGCGCCUCCCUCGACGUCCUCCCGCCCAAGCGCCCCCUCCCCCCGCGGCCCCGCCUGUGCCCUCGACGUGCUCGCCGUCCAACACCACGCGGCCUGCCCAGGAGGACCGCCGCCGUCUUCCUCUUCGACUACGAGGACCCGGACGAGCUCGGACGCCCAGGAGGACCGCCACCGCUCGACGCCCUCGACCGUGCGGCCUGCCCAGGAGGAGCGCCACCGCUCGACGCCGAAUUCGCGCCGCCUCGACUAGCUCCGGCUGCCCCGAGUCGCCCUCGACCUCCCAAGUGAGCACCCGAGCCGCUUCCCCCUCUCCCCCCUCUUUAUUUCCUUCUGAUGUGUUCUAGGGUUGGGGGUUGGAGAAAUUUGGACAAGGAAAGGGGGUUGGAGAAUUAAGUAGCUAGGGUUUUCCAAAUGUUCAAAUCUCUGAGCUUGCAUUUAGAUGCAUUUUAGAGGAUACUUGGUCCAUAUUCAUUUGGUCCAUAUUCAUUUGUAGUGAACAUACAUUUUCUCUGUUCUUAUAAUAUUUGCUUGAUGUCAGAUUAUGCUAUGAGGAUAUUAGUCUAAGCCCAGUCUUGGAUGCAUUGUUUUAUCAUGCGGUGGUUAAACCGGUUCUGAAAAUUAUCUAGUUUGACCUGUACUUGUCCAGCUAUCAUAAUCUAUUCUUUGACCAUGGCAGUAGCUGGCAUUUUGUUAUGAUAAUUUCAGUAUAUAUAUUACUAUCCUUUGUUGAUCUCGUUGUAUUUUCAAUGCACAGGCAACUCUCCGACGAAGUCUCCUCCAGGUAAUAUAUGUCUCAUGCUUUCUAAAGAGUACUAGUAUACUGACUAAACUAUCCACUUGCUAUGCUUAGCUGCUCUGUUGUCUGAAUCAUGACACUUUGCCAGUUGAAACUUGCCUAUCACACUGUCGCUGUAUUGCUCAACUAAAAACACAAAUAUUUGUAGUUUUUGUCUGUCAUAAUGCAACUAAGCAUACUAGUCUCAACUAAGCAUACUAGUUUUUUGUAGUGAGACAGUAAGAUAGUGAGACAGUAAGAAGGAAACUUCCCAGAUUAUGUAGAAAGAAAAUACUUGGUUUGACAGCAAGUACCAUGACAUGAAUCAAGAAACAUAUACGAUGGGAAAAAUAAAAUGGCAGAAACCUGAAAGGUUCUGGUUUGCUGUAUCUCCACCAGUUUGGGUUGGUGAAUGUGGAUGAUUUUUUUAUCCUGUGAACUCAUUGUACUGCUACAAGAAUUUGGUAUCAUCAUGGUGUAAUUUUGUUAACAUUCUGGUUUUGUUAGAUAGUGGCUACACUAAUCUAGAGUGAUACAAUUUUCCUUCCCAUUUGGUAUCAUCAUGUUCAGUGUAUACAGUUAUAACAUCAUGUGAGUUUUUUAAGUCUGUUUACAGCUCAUGUGGGUUUUAACAUCAUGUGGGUUGGUGAAUGUGGAUGAUUUUUUUAUCCUGUGAACUUGAAUGUUGCAAUGUUGUUUUCUUCAGAGGCUACUGUCAAAAACUUGAGCUACUAUCUUGGAAAGAUGAUGAUCAUCUUGCUAGUUUGCUGGGUUUUGUCUCCGACCAUCGUGUCGUGAUGAAUUUGCAGGUACCCCGAGAGGCCCUUGAGUUUGCCAGAAUGUUGAUUAACUUCCGUUCCGGCAAAUUCGGGUACUCCAUAUGUCCUAUUUUCAGCAAAGGUCAUGCUGAAAUUUUAGCAUGACUUUGCUAAAAAUAGGACAUAAGGGGUACUUGCGACUAAUGCAUGGACCGGGGUAUAUUAGUACUUAGUUAAGUAGGAUCAAAUGCCCCGCCAUUCUUGCUGCAUUAAACCAUAGGUGGCAAUAGAGCCAAGUGAUUAGUCCCAACCUAGGGUGCCUCGGCUUAGGCUUUUAGGGUGCCUCGGCGUCGACAAACCCUAAAUGAUGAAAGCUUAGGCUUUUAGGGUGCCUCGGUGUUGACAAACCCUAAAUGAUGAGACCAUGAUCUUGUUCCUUGACAAUAACCAACUUUUUGACCAAACUUUUUUCCUAUUUAGAGAGAAACAUGGCCCAACGAUGAGGCCGGUGGUUCGGGCGGCAAGCAAUUCUAGGAGCUGUCCCAGGAGAUGGAGGAACAACCUCACCGCUAUGAGGACGCCGCGGAAGACACCGAUCCUGAUUACACAACCCCUAGUGGCGUCGGGGAUGACACCACUGAUGAUGCCGCCGAGGAUGCCACCACUGAUGAUGGCGGCGCACACAGAGAUGGCAGCCAACCGAAGAAGCAAAGAAAGGACCGGCGCCCGAAUGCGCUCCGCACCCUCAAGGAGGAAUUCACUCAAGUGGACUCCGACGGGAAUCCAACGGAGCCCAAACAUAUAGUCAAGGGGUACUCGGUUCAGCUCGGGUGCAUUCUCCAGAGCACCGUCUCGAUCAACACCGAGAACCUUAGGCAUAAGGACCGAGGGAAUUUGCGCAACCUCCUCUUCACGAAGCUGCACGAACGAUACAAGUUCCCCACCGAAUUUGAAAACACACGCCUCUCAGGGAAUAAAGUGAACAGUGCCGCCCUCACGAAGAUGAGCAUGGCCCUGUCUACUUGGAGAAGCGCGACGAAGAGAAUGAUUGAUAAAGGUGAUAGUUAUGAGAAGAUCAAGGCGAAAUAUCCUUUGAUGAGCGAAGAUGACUACAAGGAGUUCAAGAUAAAGUGCGAGAGCAGUGCAACCACCGAAUCAAGUCAGUGGGGGAAAGAAAUGCGGGAGUUGAACUUAGGGGAACACAAACUCGGUCCCGGCGGUUACAGAGUGGCGGAGCCUAUAUGGGACAAGGAGGAUGCGGAGCGUGCCGAGCAAGGCCUACCGCCCCGCUUCGAGAAAUACAGCGGUAACAAGCAGACCAGGAACUAUGUCACGGCCCGGUACAAGGAGGACCCGAUAACAAAGGAGCUUACCACGGAUCCGAAGACCAGGGUGCUUGAGCUUGUUCUGGUAAGGAAUACACCCCCGCGUAAUUAGCUCCAUAUGGUUGCACUCUAACUAAACCCCAAUAUUUCUAAAUGGUUCACGUUCCUUUCGCAGGAAACUGAAAGCAGUAGCGCGGGGUCGUCUCAGAGCUCCCCAUUAGACAGCCCUUUAAAUAGGGCGUUGAACAUAAUGAAAAGCAAGGAUAAGCUCACUAAGCCGACGUUAGCUGGUCGUGUGGCCGGCAAAGGCUUGUCCACAAAAUGGGGGUCAUACUAUACCGCUGGUGUGCGAAAGGAGAAAAAGGCCAGCUCGGAAAGCCAGACGCGUGAGGUUGAAGCACUCAAGGCACACGUGGUGCGGAUUUCGGAGCUUGUCCAAGAGCAAGUGGAACAACAACUGGGAACGAAGCUCAACGCCAUGGUGCCUACGUUGAUUCAUGGGCUGACGACGUGGAUUGCGGGCGGCCAACAGGGGCCUCCCCCGGUUCCUAGCUUCACGUCCAGCAACUCGCACAACGCGCAGGCGGCGCCAUUGGUGUCUCCGGCGACACCAUUGGUGUCUCCGGCGGCGGCGCCAUUGGUGUCUCCGGCGGAGGCGGUAUUCGUGUCUCCGGCGCCGGCACGGGCAUUGGUGCUUAAUGCACCCGGGUGUACGCCGGCCGGCACCUCGCCAGCAAGCUCCCCCUCUGUCAGUUGCAUGCCCGCCGUUGGCGGUGCCUUGACAUUAGCCGAGCUCGACGGCAUCACGGUAACUAAGCCUCUCGGCCGAUGACUUCAUCUCCUUGCCUUUGACUGGGCAUCCCUAACGCCCUCUACAUGUUUUCGCAGGGCACCGCCGACGUUCCUUGCACUCUUCUGCACUUUUUGGGCGCCGAGUUGGUCGAUGUCGCCAAGGGCAGAAUCGUUCAACCGGGCAACCCCAUGUUCCACGGUAAUCCGAUGCCACCCACAGUGUAUAGGGUUGAAGUGGUUCGGGUGCUGCCAGGCUGCGACGAGCUGUUUGUUGGGGAACGUUGCAGAAAAUAAAAAAUUUCCUAUGGUUUCACCAAGAUCCAUCUAUGAGUUCAUCUAAGCAACGAGUGAAAGGAGAGAUGCAUCUACAUACCACUUUGUAGAUCGCGAGCGGAAGCGUUCAAAAGAACGGGGUUGAGGUAGUCGUUCACGUCGUGAUCCUAUCACCGAAGAUCCUAGCGCCGAACGGACGGCACCUCUGCGUUCAACACACGUAUGGUCAGCGUGACGUCUCCUCCGUCUUGAUCCAGCAAGGGGAAGGACAGGUUGAUGAUGAUCCAGCAGCACGACGGUGUGGUGGUGGAUGCAGCAGAACUCCGGCAGGGCUUCGCCAAGCUGUUGCGGGAGGAGGACGAGGUGUAGCAGGGGGAGGGAGGCGCCAAGACUUAGGGUGCGGCUGCCCUCCCCUUUGCCCUCCUUUAUCUAGGCCCCCAGGAGGGGCGCCGGCCCUAGGAGAUCAAUCUCCCAAGGGGGAGGGCGGCGGCCAAGGGGGGUGGAGUGCCCCCCAAGGCACGGGGGGGGGGGGGCAAGGGGGGCACACCAUCCCACUAGGGGUUGGUUCCCCUCCCACUCCAGCCCAUGGGUCCCUCCUGGAUAGGUGGCCCCACCCGGUGGACCCCCGGGACCCUUCCGGUGGUCCCGGUACAAUACCGGGUGACCCCGAAACUUUCCCGAUGGCUGAAACGGCACUUCCUAUAUAGUUUUCUUUACCUCCGGACCAUUCCGGAACUCCUCGUGACGUCCGGGAUCUCAUCCGGGACUCCGAACAACAUUCGGUUUGCUUCAUACUCAUAUUCAUACAACCCUAGCGUCACCGAACCUUAAGUGUGUAGACCCUACGGGUUCGGGAGACAAGCAGACAUGACCGAGACGGCUCUCCGGUCAAUAACCAACAGCGGGAUCUGGAUACCCAUGUUGGCUCCCACAUACUCCUCGAUGAUCUCAUCGGAUGAACCACGAUGUCGACGGUUCAAGCAACCCCGUAUACUAUUCCCUUUGUCAGACGGUAUGUUACUUGCCCGAGACUUGAUCGUCGUUAUCCCAAUACCUCGUUCAAUCUCGUUACCGGCAAGUCACUUUACUCGUACCAUAAUGCAUGAUCCCGUGACCAGACACUUGGUCACUUUGAGCUCAUUAUGAUGAUGCACUACCGAGUGGGCCCAGUGAUACCUCUCCGUAACACGGAGUGACAAAUCCCAGUCUCGAUCCGUGUCAACCCAACAGACACUUUCGGAGAUACUUGUAGUGCACCGUUAUAGUCACCCAGUUACGUUGUGACGUUUGGUACACCCAAAGCACUCCUACGGUAUCCGGGAGUUACAUGAUCUCAUGGUCUAAGGAAGAGAUACUUGACAUUGGAAAAGCUCUAGCAAAACGAACUACACGAUCUUGUGCUAUGCUUAGGAAUGGGUCUUGUCCAUCACAUCAUUUUCCUAAUGAUGUGAUCCCGUUGUCAACGACAUCUAAUGUCCAUAGUCAGGAAACCAUGACUAUCUGUUGACCAAUGAGCUAGUCAACUAGAGUCUUACUAGGGACGUAUUGUGGUCUAUGUAUUCACACGUGUAUUACGAUUUCCGGAUAAUACAAUUAUAGCAUGAAUAAAAGACAAUUAUCAUGAACAAGGAAAUAUAAUAAUAAUACUUUUAUUAUUGCCUCUAGGGCAUAUUUCCAACAGUCUCCCACUUGCACUAGAGUCAAUAAUCUAGUUACAUUAUGAUGAAUCGAACACCCAUAGAGUUCUGGUGUUGAUCAUGUUUUGCUCGCGAGAGAGGUUUAGUCAACGGAUCUGCGACAUUCAGAUCCGUAUGUACUUUGCAAAUAUCUAUAUCUCCAUCUUGAACAUUUUCACGGAUGGAGUUGAAGCGACGCUUGAUGUGCCUGGUCUUCUUGUGAAACCUGGGCUCCUUAGCAAGGGCAAUAGCUCCAGUGUUGUCACAGAAGAGUUUGAUCGGCCCCGACGCAUUGAGUAUGACUCCUAGGUCGGUGAUGAACUCCUUCACCCAAAUUGCUUCAUGUGCUGCCUCCGAGGCUGCCAUGUACUCCGCUUCACAUGUAGAUCCCGCCACGACGCUCUGCUUGCAGCUGCACCAGCUUACUGCUCCACCAUUCAACAUAUACACGUAUCCGGUUUGUGACUUAGAGUCAUCCAGAUCUGUGUCGAAGCUAGCGUUGACGUAACCCUUUACGACGAGCUCUUCGUCACCUCCAUAAACGAGAAACAUGUCCUUUGUCCUUUUCAGGUACUUUAGGAUAUUCUUGACCGUUGUCCAGUGUUCCUUGCCGGGAUUACUUUGGUACCUUCCUACCAAACUUACGGCAAGGUUUACAUCAGGUCUGGUACACAGCAUGGCAUACAUAAUAGAUCCUAUGGCUGAAGCAUAGGGGAUGACACUCAUAUCUUCUUUAUCUUUUGCCGUGGUCGGGCAUUGAACCGAGCUCAAUCUCACACCUUGCAGUACAGGCAAGAACCCUUUCUUGGACUGAUCCAUUUUGAACUUCUUCAAAAUCUUAUCAAGGUAUGUGCUUUGUGAAAGACCUAUGAGGUGUCUUGAUCUAUCGCUAUAGAUCUUGAUGCCUAAUAUGUAAGCAGCUUCUCCAAGGUCCUUCAUUGAAAAACACUUAUUCAAGUAGGCCUUAAUGUUGUCCUAGAAUUCUAUAUCAUUUCCCAUCAAAAGUAUGUCAUCUACAUAUAAUAUGAGAAAUGCUACAGAGCUCCCACUCACUUUCUUGUAAACGCAGGCUUCUCCAUAAGUCUGCAUAAACCCAAACGCUUUGAUCAUCUCAUCAAAGCGAAUGUUCCAACUCCAAGAUGCUUGCACCAGCCCAUAAAUGGAUCGCUGGAGCUUGCAUACUUUGUUAGCAUUCUUAGGAUCGACAAAACCCUCCGGCUGCAUCAUAUACAGUUCUUCCUUAAGAUGCCCAUUAAGGAAUGCCGUUUUGACGUCCAUCUACCAUAUCUCAUAAUCAUAAUAUGCGGCAAUUGCUAACAUGAUUCGGACGGACUUCAGCUUUGCUACGGGAGAGAAUGUCUCAUCGUAGUCAACCCCUUCAACUUGUCGAUAACCCUUAGCGACAAGUCGAGCUUUAUAAAUGGUAACAUUACCAUCCGCGUCCGUCUUCUUCUUAAAGAUCCAUUUGUUUUCUAUUGCUCGCCGAUCAUCGGGCAAGUCAGUCAAAGUCCACACUUUGUUUUCAUACAUGGAUUCUAUCUCGGAUUGCAUGGCUUCUAGUCAUUUGUUGGAAUCUGGGCCCGCCAUCGCUUCUUCAUAGUUCGAAGGUUCACCGUUGUCUAACAACAUGAUUUCCAGGACAGGGUUGCCAUACCACUCUGGUGUGGAACGUGUCCUUGUGGACCUACGAAGUUCAGUAGCAACUUGAUCAGAAGUACCUUGAUCAUCAUCAUUAAUUUCCUCUCCAGUUGGUGUAGGUACCACAGGAACAUUUUCCUGAGCUGCACUACUUUCCGGUUCAAGAGGUAGUACUUCAUCGAGUUCUACUUUCCUCCCACUUACUCCUUUCGAGAGAAACUCUUUUUCCAGAAAGGAUCCGUUCUUGGCAACAAAGAUCUUGCCCUCGGAUCUUAAGUAGAAGGUAUACCCAAUGGUUUCCUUAGGGUAUCCUAUGAAGACGCAUUUUUCCGACUUGGGUUCGAGCUUUUCAGGUUGAAGUUUCUUGACAUAAGCAUCGCAUCCCUAAACAUUUAGAAACGAUAGCUUAGGUUUCUUCCCAAACCAUAAUUCAUACGGUGUCGUUUCAACGGAUUUAGAUGGUGCCCUAUUUAAAGUGAAUGUAGCUGUCUCUAGAGUGUAUCCCCAAAAUGAUAGCGGUAAAUUGGUAAGAGACAUCAUAGAUCGCACCAUAUCCAAUAGAGUGCGCUUACGACGUUCGGACACACUGUUACGCUGAGGUGUUCCAGGCGGCGUGAGUUGUGAAACGAUUCCACAUUUUCUUAAGUGUGUACCAAAUUCGUGACUUAAAUAUUCUCCUCCACGAUCCGAUCGUAAGAAUUUUAUCUUUCGGUCACGUUGAUUCUCUACUUCAUUAUGAAAUUCCUUGAACUUUUCAAAGGUCUCAGACUUGUGUUUCACCAAGUAGACAUACCCAUAUCUACUCAAGUCAUCAGUGAGAGUGAGAACAUAACGAUAUCCUCCGCGAGCCUCAACGCUCAUUGGACCGCACACAUCGGUAUGUAUGAUUUCCAACAAGUUGGUUGCUCGCUCCAUUGUUCCGGAGAAUGGAGUCUUGGUCAUUUUGCCCAUGAGGCAUGGUUCGCAUGUGUCAAAUGAUUCAUAAUCGAGAGACUCUAAAAGUCCAUCAGCAUGGAGCUUCUUCAUGCGCUUGACACCAAUGUGACCAAGGCGGCAGUGCCACAAGUAUGUGGGACUAUCGUUAUCAACUUUACAUCUUUUGGUAUUCACGCUAUGAAUAUGUGUAACAUUACGUUCGAGAUUCAUUAAGAAAAAACCAUUGACCAUCGGGGCAUGACCAUAAAACAUAUCUCUCAUAUAAAUAGAACAACCAUUAUUCUCAGAUUUAAAUGAGUAGCCAUCUCGUAUCAAACGAGAUCCAGAUACAAUGUUCAUGCUCAAACUUGGCACUAAAUAACAAUUAUUGAGGUUUAAAACUAAUCCCGUAGGUAAAUGUAGAGGUAGCGUGCCGACGGCGUUCACAUCGACCUUGGAACCAUUCCCGGCGCGCAUCGUCACCUCGUCCUUCGCCAGUCUCCGCUUAUUCCGCAGCUCCUACUGUGAGUUACAAAUGUGAGCAACGGCACCGGUAUCAAAUACCCAGGAGUUACUACGAGUACUGGUAAGGUACACAUCAAUUACAUGUAUAUCAAAUAUACCUUUAGUGUUGCCGGCCUUCUUGUCCGCUAAGUAUUUGGGGCAGUUCCGCUUCCAGUGACCCUUCCCCUUGCAAUAAAAGCACUCAGUCUCAGGCUUGGGUCCAUUCUUUGACUUCUUCCCGGCAACUGGCUUACCGGGCGCGGCAACAUCUUUGCCGUCCUUCUUGAAGUUCUUCUUACCCUUGCCCUUCUUGAACUUAGUGGUCUUAUUGACCAUCAACACUUGAUGUUCUUUCUUGAUUUCAACCUCUGCUGACUUCAGCAUUGAGAAUACUUCAGGAAUGGUCUUCACCAUCCCCUGCAUAUUGUAGUUCAACACAAAGCUCUUGUAGCUCGGUGGGAGCGACUGAAGGAUUCUGUCAAUGACCGCCUCUUCCGGGAGGUUGAUCUCCAACUGGGAGAGGUGGUUAUGCAACCCAGACAUUUUGAGUAUGUGCUCACUGACAGAACUGUUUUCCUCCAUCUUACAACUAUAGAACUUGUCGGAGACUUCAUAUCUCUCGACCCGGGCAUGAGCUUGGAAAACCAUUUUCAGCUCCUCGAACAUCUCAUAUGCUCCAUGCUUCUCAAAACGCUUUUGGAGCCCCGGUUCUAAGCUGUAAAGCAUGCCGCACUGAAUGAGGGAGUAAUCAUCAGCACGUGAUUGCCAAGUGUUCAUAACGUCUUGGUUCUCUGGGAUGGGUGCUUCACCUAGCGGUGCAUCUAGGACAUAAUCUUUCUUGGCUGCUAUGAGGAUGAUCCUCAGGUUUUGGACCCAGUCCGAAUAGUUGCUGCCAUCAUCUUUCUGCUUGGUUUUCUCUAGGAACGCGUUGAAGUUCAUGUUGACAUGAGCGUUGGCCAUUUGAUCUACAAGACAUAUUUUGCAAAAGUUUUAGACUAAGUUCAUGAUAAUUAAGUUCAUCUAAUCAAAUUAUUUAAUGAACUCCUACUCAGAUUAGACAUCCCUCUAGUCAUCUAAGUGUUACACGAUCCGAGUCGACUAGGCCGUGUCCGAUCAUCACGUGAGACGGACUAGUCAUCAUCGGUGAACAUCUCCAUGUUGAAAGUAUCUUUCAUACGACUCAUGUUCGACCUUUCGGUCUCUGUGUUCCGAGGCCAUGUCUGUACAUGCUAGCCUCGUCAAGUUAACCCUAAGUGUUCUGCAUGUGUAAAUCUGUCUUACACCCGUUGUAUGUGAACGUAAGGAUCUAUCACACCCGAUCAUCACGUGGUGCUUUGAAACGACGAACUUUAGCAACGGUGCACAGUCAGGGGGAACACUUUCUUGAAAUUAUUAUAAGGGAUCAUCUUAUUUACUACCGUCGUUCUAAGUAAACAAGAUGCAUAAAACAUAAUAAACAUCACAUGCAAUUAUAUAGUAGUGACAUGAUAUGGCUAAUAUCAUAUAGCUCCUUCGAUCUCCAUCUUCGGGGCUCCAUGAUCAUCUUCGUCACCGGCAUGACACCAUGAUCUCCAUCAUCAUGAUCUCCAUCAUUGUGUCUUCAUGAAGUUGUCACGCCAACGACUACUUCUACUUCUAUGGCUAACGCGUUUAGCAAUAAAGUAAAGUAAUUUACAUGGCGUUCUUCAAUGACACGUAGGUCAUACAAAAAAUAAAGAAAACUCCUAUGGCUCCUGCCGGUUGUCAUACUCAUCGACAUGCAAGUCGUGAUUCCUAUUACAAGAACAUGAUCUCAUACAUCACAAUAUAUCAUUCAUCAUUCAUCACAACUUCUGGCCAUAUCACAUCACAUGACAAUUGCUGCAAAAACAAGUUAGACGUCCUCUAAUUGUUGUUGCAUCUUUUACGUGGCUGCAAUUGGGUUCUAGCAAGAAUGUUUUCUUACCUACGAAUAACCACAACGUGAUUUUGUCAACUUCUAUUUACCCUUCAUAAGGACCCUUUUCAUCUAAUCCGCUCCAACUAAAGUAGGAGAGACAGACACCCACUAGCCACCUUAUGCAACUAGUGCAUGUCAGUCGGUGGAACCUGUCUCACGUAAGCGUACGUGUAAGGUCGGUCCGGGCCGCUUCAUCCCACAGUACCGCUGAAGCAAGAAAAUACUAGUAGCGGCAAGCAAGUUGACAAGAUCUACGCCCACAACAAAAUUGUGUUCUACUCGUGCAAUAGAGAACUACGCAUAAACCUGGCUCUGAUACCACUGUUAGGGAACGUUGCAGAAAAUUAAAAUUUUCCUACGGUUUCACCAAGAUCCAUCUAUGAUUUCAUCUAAGCAACGGGUGAAAGGAGAGAUGCAUCUACAUACCACUUUGUAGAUCGCGAGCGGAAGCGUUCAAAAGAACGGGGUUGAGGUAGUCGUUCACGUCGUGAUCCUAUCACCGAAGAUCCUAGCGCCGAACGGACGGCACCUCCGCGUUCAACACAUGUACGGUCAGCGUGACAUAUCCUCCAUCUUGAUCCAGCAAGGGGAAGGAGAGGUUGAUGAUGAUCCAGCAGCACGACGGCGUGGUGGUGGAUGCAGCAGAACUCCGGCAGGGCUUCGCCAAGCUGUUGCGGGAGGAGGACGAGGUGUAGCAGGGGGAGGGAGGCGCCAAGACUUAGGGUGCGGCUGCCCUCCCCUUUGCCCUCCUUUAUCUAGGCCCCCAGGGGGGGCGCCGGCCCUGGGAGAUCAAUCUCCCAAGGGGGGCAGCGGCCAAGGGGGGGUGGAGUGCCCCCCAAGGCAAGUGGUGCGCCCCCCCCACCUAGGGUUUCCAACCCUAGGUGCAGGGGGGCCCCAAGGGGGGCGCACCAGCCCACUAGGGGCUGGUUCCCCUCCCACUUCAGCCCACGGGGCCCUCCGGGAUAGGUGACCCCACCCGGUGGACCCCCGGGACCCUUCCGGUGGUCCCGGUACAAUACCGGGUGACCCCAAAACUUUCCCGAUGGCCGAAACAACACUUCCUAUAUAGUUUUCUUUACCUCCGGACCAUUCCGGAACUCCUCGUGAUGUCCGGGAUCUCAUCCGAUACUCCGAACAACAUUCGGUUUGCUGCAUACUCAUAUUCUUACAACCCUAGCGUCACUGAACCUUAAGUGUGUAGACCCUACGGGUUCGGGAGAGAAGCAGAAAUGACCGAGACGACUCUCCGUUCAAUAACCAACAGCGGGAUCUGGAUACCCAUGUUGGCUCCCACAUACUCCUCGAUGAUCUCAUCGGAUGAACCACGAUGUCGAGGGUUCAAGCAACCCCGUAUAGUAUUCCCUUUGUCAGACGGUAUGUUACUUGCCCGAGACUCGAUCGUCGGUAUCCCAAUACCUCGUUCAGUCUUGUUACCGGCAAGUUACUUUACUCGUACCGUAAUGCAUGAUCCCAUGACCAGACACUUGGUCACUUUGAGCUCAUUAUGAUGAUGCACUACCGAGUGGGCCCAAUGAUACCUCUCUGUAACACGGAGUGACAAAUCCCAGUCUCGAUCCGUGUCAACCCAACAGACACUUUCGGAGAUACCUGUAGUGCACCUUUAUAGUCACCCAGUUACGUUGUGACGUUUGGUACACCCAAAGCACUCCUACGGUAUCCGGGAGUUACACAAUCUCAUGGUCUAAGGAAGAGAUACUUGACAUUGGAAAAGCUCUAGCAAAACGAACUACACGAUCUUGUGUUAUGCUUAGGAAUGGGUCUUGCCCAUCACAUCAUUUUCCUAAUGAUGUGAUCCCGUUGUCAACGACAUCUAAUGUCCAUAGUCAGGAAACCAUGACUAUCUGUUAACCAACGAGCUAGUCAACUAGAGGCUUACUAGGGACGUAUUGUGGUCUAUGUAUUCACACGUGUAUUACGAUUUCCGGAUAAUACAAUUAUAGCAUGAAUAAAAGACAAUUAUCAUGAACAAGGAAAUAUAAUAGUAAUACUUUUAUUAUUCCCUCUAGGGCAUAUUUCCAACACUGUUACCUCCGGUUCGACCCGCUGGGGCCGACGAAGAAGAUGAGAUGACCCUCAGCGCCUGCGUAAACUAGCCGCUGCUUUGGCCGAAGAGCCAGAUUCGUUUGGGGGCGGGGGACACCACCCCACAGACAAGACCGCCAGUCGUGCCGGCGCCAAACCAUGGCAAGAACGCCGCAACGCUACCGGACCUGCCGGACAUCCCUAUGGCACAGGAUCCGGACAGCCCUAUGGCACAGGAUCCGGACAACAACGACAACGACGACGGUACAUUUACCAAAGUCGAUAAGUACUUUGCCGAACAUGGGUACGCUGACGAGUUCUGCGGGCCUCUUUCUCAAGAACCCAACCAAGACGACCGCAAUCUAGCUGGUACGGCGGAGAAAUCCAAUUGCAAUAGGCGUCGUCUGCCGUUCAGUUCUCAGGAGACGCCUCCAGCUCCCGCCUUCACCGAGCCUCAGAUAGCUGAGGUGCGAAAUAUUAUCAGCCCCAUUACAGGAGAUCAAGAAGAAGGGACGGAAACGAAAGACUAACGAGGGCGCCGGUGUGAGCCAGCCGGCACCGAGUUCGAUCCGUGCUCAGGACGGGCCACCUUCACCUAAGGAUAUGUCGAGGAGGGUGCAUGUGGCGGGUAGGGCGAUGCUACCACCAAAUAUGCUGAAUGCUGCAACCGGUGCUAUGCGGAGUCUACACGACAGUGUUCUUUCUUUGGAGAAGCGGCGUCUGAGAGAGAAUGAUGUGGCAUACCCGGUUUUCGUGGCCAAGGUGCCAGAGGGCAAGGGCUUUGCGGAUGGCAACAUCGGGGGUAUGAUCGUCCUGCGGUUUGAUGACAUCUUUGCUAUGUUUAACCUUCAUCCGCUGCACUACACCUUCAUUCGGCUGUUUUCGCUGAGUAUGGAGAUGUGGAUCAUUAGAGACAAGACCCCGGACAUCGUGAUAGUCGACCCCUUCUACAUGCGUGCCAAGCACUUGAACAACGCUGGGGACCGCCAAGUUGCAAGUUCACACCUCGAAGGCGUCAUUCUGGCAAACCCAGAUAAGGAUAACUUCCUUGUGGCUUACUUUCCCGAGUAAGUCAUCCCUUAACAACCCCGUAACAUAUGAUUUCUUAGAUUUUGAUCGUUCUUUUUUUCUAACAUUCCGUGUUCUGUGCAGUGACACACAUUGCACACUCAUCCUCUUAAGCCCGAAAUAUUCCAUGGCCACGUAUUUCGACCCGAACCGUAACUCCAAGAUAGACUACACAAAUGUCAAGAAAGUUCUUGAUGAUGUUCUCCCUGGCUACGCCAAAUCUGGAGGCACCUUCACUAGGGCAGUUCGUAAGUACGGCAAGCACAUGUUCUCACACAAUACGAAGUUCUGCUGUGUCAAGCAGCUGCCUGGCGGUCAGAAGGAUGCCUACUACGCCCUCCAUCACAUGCGGGCGAUCGUAAGGGACCAUCAUCAACUUCUGCUACCAUAUAAUCUCAAAGAUUGGGCCGUGAGCUUGUCGGCAGUCCAGGACGCGGACCUCAGACAAAAAUUCUUUCGCAUCCAGUCGGAGUUUGCGGACAUCAUCCAUCAAGAUGUCCUUCAUACCUCGGGGCAGUUCUUCUUUAGAUAUCAACCGUCCAACAGUGAGAUAGAUGAAACGCUACAAAUGCAAGGUGACAACAACCGCGAUUUCAUGACCAUCACGACAGACGGCGGCUUCAUCCACGCUCCUGUUCGAUGAGUCGAGUCGAAAGUAGUGAUGUGUAGUUCUGAAACAUUGAUUAGCUCAUGUUGUAAUUAAACUUUAAUGAAUUCGUAUGUCUCUUUGGUUUGGAUAGUCGUUCAACUUAGAUGUAAUCGAUGCUAUUUAUUAGUAGGACCAUGAAUCAUGCUAUUAAUGUCUUGCUCUUCUCUUUCGAUCCUUUUGUUGCAUACUUACAUAUUGCUUAUGUAUUGUCUGUUGUUUGGCUUCUGCAUAGAGAUGCCGUCAUAUAUCGUGUACAAGGGUAAGGUUCUCGGAGUCUACGACGACUGGGAGGAGUGUCGGAGACAGGUUCACCGUUUCAGCGGUAACAGUUACAAAGGGUACACCACUAGGGCGGAGGACGAAUCUAGAUAUGCCCGCUAUCUAGCGGGAGAGAGGAGGGAGCGUUGGAGGAACCGGAUGAGGACCAGUUUGAUCGCGAUGAUGCUCAUCGUGAUGACCACAACUCUCUUUUAUGUGAUGGUAGUUUAGAUGAUCGAUAUCGACUUGUAAUGUGAAGACAAACUCGAUACUCGCGGUCUUGAGACUUGUAAUGUUUAUCUUUGUUCGGUCUUUUGAAUUCGGAGACUAAUAUGAUGACUUGUAUUCGGAGACUAAUCUUCUAUUGUAUUCGAUGAAUCUGAUGUUGCUGUGUGCUGCUGUCUAUAGUCUGUCCAAUAAUAUAUUUUGUAACCUGUGCAAAAAUCAGAAAAGCAAAAAAAACAAAUAUUCAUACUAAUGGCGCAUCAAGGCAGAGUGCGCUAUUAGUAUGCUAAAGGAUACUAAUGGCGCAUCGUGGCAGAGUGCGCCAUUAGUGUGACAAAGCACAUGGUUACAUAUGGCCCCCCGGGAGGCAUACUAAUGGCGCAUGGUGUUACAUACUAAUGGCGCACUGGCAGGUGCGCCAUUAGUAUACCAGAUACUAAUGGCUCACCAGUGGUGCGCCAUUAGUAAAAAAUUCUAAUGGCGUGCUACUAAUGGCACACCGGUAGUGCGCCAUUAGUAGGCAAAACCGGUGCGCCAUUAGUAGGCCUUUUCCUAGUAGUGUCGGCUGAGAUUCCAGGAUCGGAGUUGACUACGAUUGCUGAGGUAACUGGCAGGUCUGACUCUGAGCGGGCGGCUAAGUGGGCGCGUAAGAAAGAAAAUAUGUUGUGUUAUAGAUGUGGUGGAAAGGGUCACUUUAUUCCUGAAUGUGUUGCUGAGCUUUGUGGCACGUGUGGAAAAUCAGCUCGCGACUCGGGGGACUGUCCGUUUUUGAGAGAUCAGGCACCAGCACUCAGGAUGUAUGGAGUGUAUUGUGCCGAGCUUACUUUCUUUGAAUCUCCAACGGAGAUGGACGUUCCUGACGAGACUUUGAGCUUAACGACUGGGUUAGUCAAAGUUGCCAGAGGAGAUGUCUCAGAGGCACAGAUUGUUCAGAGGCUCAAAGAGUUAGCUCCUGGGGAGUUCUAGUGGGAGCUUGUUAACAUCGAGGACAAAGUGUUUCGGGUUGAGUUUCCGUCAAUGGAGGAUCUUCAGGGACUUCUGAGCUUCGGAAUGUGCAAGGUGCUGGGUACUGAUGGGGUGCUUGAGUUUCACGAGUGGAAGAGGAUUGAGCCUACGGGCAAGCCGCUGACUCAGGUUUGGUUGUGGUUCUUUGGGGCCCCCUCCAAGCCGAUGCAGGAUGCUCGGGUGGUGGCCAGUUUGGGUAUCAUGGUGGGCAAACCAGAGAGAGUGGAUAUGGACUUCACCAGAGCCCAUGGCAUUGCCCGUAUACUGGUUAGUGUGCUAAACAUCGAGUACGUGCCUGAGGUGGUUAAGUGGGCAUAUCGCGGCCACAUCUAUAACCUUGUCAUUGAGUUCGAGGAUGAGAGUCUGUUCGCUGAGGUGGCCAGCGGGACGGAUACUGAUAUGCACGAGGGUGAUGAUGGCUCGGCUCUAAAGGAAGCACUAGCAGCUGACAGUGGACGAGAGUUGUCCACUGCGCCGGGUGCUGACUCUCAGACGUCUGCCGAUUGUACGGCACCAUCUUCUACAGUGCCUACAGCUACUCUCAGAUUCGGGUCUUUCGAGCCGGCAUCUGCACCUCCGAGACUUUGGAGUGAUCGCGUGGAGUCUGAGGAGGCGUUUGAGCAUACGCUGCCGGUGCUGGAGUCUGAGGAGUCUGUGGUUCCUAUGAUUGGUGCUUCACCGAUUUCGGUCAGGGAUGAGGCGGCAGAGGCUGCACUCGCUGGCGGGGGUCCGGAGAUGGUGAUUUCGAACUCCUCCACUGUGGUCGUGGUCUCUCAGGUUCAGCAGGCGGUGCCUUCGGUUGAUGGGGGCGUGGGGCAGGAGGCCUCCGCGCUACCAUCGGGGCUUCCGCAGGACGGGCUCCACACGGUGCUGCUUCACUCAUCGGGAGGGGAUCCCUACUCCCCUUCUGCCAGGCCGGUUGCGCUGGCGCCGGUGUUGCUUUCCGGAGAGGGCUCGGGGCAGGUGGCCUCGGGGCUCUCUACUCCGGAGGCGCCUAGAGAGGCCUGCGGGCCUUCUAUGUCGGUGACGCUGGCUGGUCGUUGGGCCGUGAUGGAUGGGGAGCUCGGGCAGGAGGCCCUGGUUCCACCUUCCCUCAUUUUGGAGUUCUCCUCUACAGCAACUCGGGAGGAGGUGAUUGCAUUCGGGGGUAUUUCGGAUCCGGUCUCUGAGGGGCGACGGUUGAGUAGCCAUCUCCAGGACCAUCCGGAAGUGGACGACAUACAACAGUGGUGCGCUAUGAGGGCGGCCAAGCUUCGUGACGUGGAGGUCACUACUGGUAUGUCGGUCAAUACCUCUAAUUCAAUUUUGUAUUUUUCUAAUGAUGAGAUUAUUAAUAAUGAAAAUCAGCUAGGUAUUUCACUAGGUAGUAAUGAUAGUGAAAUCUCAACCUCGGUUAAUGAUAUGCUGGAUUUAGAGGCCGAACGGGCGCUUGAGAUGAUUCAUAACUUAGCUGCGGUCAAACCCAUGAAUGAUUCAGAUAUCGACACUUUAGGGGUCAGGGUGCUCGAUAAUCUUUGUGCGGAUCUGGCUCAACCGUCUCCUGAGCCUGAGGAGGAGGAUGAGCGAGUAGAUGUUGUGGACUUGCAUACCUCUGAGACUGGUUGUGAGGACCAGCUGGAGAGUUUCAUUGCUCCUAAACGCAGAUGGAAGCGGAAGAUUUACCCGGUUUCCGCAGUGCGGAGGAGUGCUCGGAUUCGGACGACGAAAAAAAUCCACGAUGAGAUAUGAAAGGAAUCUUUUGGAAUAGCAGAGGUCUGAAAGACUUGGCUAAAAGAAGGUUUCUUGCUGAGGCUUCUAUUGAGCAUAAGUUGGACUUUAUUGCUUUGUCGGAAACGGGUAGAGCCAACUUCUCGCCACAAUUUCUUAAUACUCUGUCGGGGGGUAUUGAUUUUGAUUGGCAUUGUCUACCUCCGCGAGGAAGAUCGGGUGGGAUUUUACUCGGAGUUAGAUGCGAUUCGUUAGAAAUCCGAAGUGUGGUCAUGGGAGAUUUUGCUGUUAAGUUUAGGGUGAGGUCGAAGGCAGAUGGGUUUAACUGGGCUUUGGUAGCGGUAUAUGGUGCCGCUCAGCCCGAGCUCAAAUCGGAUUUCUUGGCUGAUCUGGUUAGGAUUUGUGGGUCUGAACAAUUAUCUAUCCUAGUGGGGGUGAUUUUAAUAUCAUCAGGAGGAGUGAUGAGAAGAAUAAUGACAAUUUUGACGGCCGAUGGUCGUUCAUGUUUAAUACAAUCAUUGAAAGCCUUGACCUGCAUGAGAUGGAGCUUUCGGGCCGAAAGUUUACCUGGGCUAACGCCUUGCCAAAUCCGACGUUUGAGAAGCUGGAUCGAGUCCUGGCUAGCGUCGAGUGGGAGCAGAAAUUCCCUUAUGUUACAGUCCAGGCGCUUACUCGUGGUAUUUCUGACCACAUGCCUUUAUUUCUCGAUUCUGGGGAGGCCACCCACUUGGGAAAUAAGAAUAUUUUUUCGUUGGAGCUUGCUUGGUUUGAGAGAGAAGGUUUCUUGGAUCUCGUAGGCAGAGAAUGGGCUAAGGAUGCAGGAGGUCGGUCUGCGCUCGAACGCUGGCAGAAUAAAAUUAGGCAUUUGAGAAGCUUCCUACGUGGGUGGGCUAAGCAUCUCAGCGGGAUUUAUAAGGUUGAAAAGGAGCAGCUCCUUGCGCUUAUUCAAUCCCUUGAUGUAAAGGCCGAAACCAUGAUCCUGCCAGCCUCGGAGCUUCAUGCCAAGCUUGAGGCGGAAAUGAGGCUGAAAGAGCUCCUUCGCGAGGAAGAACUAAAGUGGGCGCUUCGGGCUAAGGUUAGUAGAGUCGUUCAGGGGGACGCGAACACUCAAUUUUUUCACUUGAUCGCCAAUGGUAAGCAUAGAAAGAAGAGGAUCUUUCAGCUUGAACAAGAUGAGAGAACGAUUCUUGGUCAGGAAAACUUAAAGCAAUAUAUUACUGAGUAUUACAAGCAGCUGUUUGGGCCUCCAGAGGACAACUAUGUGUCGAUGGAUGAGUCUAGGAUGGAGGAUGUGCCUCAACUUAUGGCUGUUGAGAAUGAUAUUUUAGUAGCUCCUUUCUCUGAGAAAGAGGUGUUUGAGGCCAUUUCCCAGAUGAAGAAUAAUAAGGCUCCUGGCCCGGAUGGUUUCCCGGCAGAGUUCUACAAGAAAUGUUGGCACAUUAUUAAAGGAGAUCUCUUGCCUUUGUUCAAUGAUUUAUUCUCCGGCCAGCUUCACCUUUUUCAGCUGAAUUUUGGAAUGAUAACCUUACUUCCCAAGAAGACAGAGGCAGUGCGGAUUGAGCAAUUCCGGCCUAUCUGUCUUCUCAAUGUUAGUUUCAAAAAUUUUACCAAGGUCGGGAUGAAUAGGCUCAUACAGAUUGCGCAUACUGUGGUGCAGCCUACUCAGUCCGCUUUCAUGCCGGACAGGAACAUCCUUGAAGGGGUUGUGGUCUUGCAUGAAACGCUCCAUGAGAUUCACACAAAAAAACUUGAUGGCGUUGUUUUCAAGGUGGAUUUCGAGAAAGCGUACGACAAAGUCAAAUGGUCUUUCCUUCAACAGGCACUACACAUGAAGGGUUUCGAUGAAGUUUGGAGACGACAAGUCGAAUCCUUCACGCAAAAAGGGAGUGUUGGAAUUAAAGUGAAUGACGAUAUCGGUCAUUAUUUCCAGACACAUAAGGGUCUGAGACAAGGUGAUCCAAUGUAUCCUAUCUUGUUCAACAUCGUCGUUGACAUGUUGGCAAUCCUAAUAGGUAGGGCAAAGGAGGCUGGCCAGGUAGGUGGCUUGGUGCCUCAUCUAGUUGAUGGUGGUGUGUCCAUCCUACAGUACGCGGAUGAUACGAUCAUCUUUAUGGAGCAUGACUUGGCCAAAGCGAGAAAUAUGAAGCUGGUGUUGUGCCUGUUUGAGCAAUUGACCGGUCUGAAGAUUAACUUCCAUAAAAGUGAGUUGUUCUGUUUUGGUAGAGCCAAAGAGGAACAAGAUGCAUAUAAGCAAUUGUUUGGGUGUGAAUUGGGAGCACUCCCGUUCAAUUACCUAGGUAUCCCCAUUCACCAUCGUAAGCUGACUAACGGUGAAUGGAAGUGUAUCAAGGAUCGGUUUGAGAAGAAACUGAGUUGCUGGAAGGGCAAACUCAUGUCGUAUGGAGGCCGGUUGAUUCUUAUUAAUUCGGUGCUCACGAGUUUGCCUAUGUUCCUUCUGUCCUUUUUUGAAGUACCAGUUGGAGUUAGGAAAAGGCUGGACUUCUUUUGGUCUCGUUUCUUCUGGCAAAGUGAUGAACUUAACAGAAAGUACCGUUUAGCCAAAUGGGACGUCAUCUGCCGACCGAAGGACCAAGGGGGUCUUGGUAUUAAAAAUCUUGAGGUCAAGAAUAGAUGUCUUCUCAGCAAGUGGCUAUAUAAGUCAGCAGCUGAGACUGAAGCUACUUGGGCACAUAUUCUGCAUAACAAGUACCUCCACUCUAAGACUUUGUCGCAGGUGACAGUCAGACCGACUGAUUCGCCAUUCUGGAAAGGGCUAAUGACAGUCACAUGCUCCUCUGUGUGCGCGCGCGCGGAUCAAUCGACACGUCGUGGUGGGCGCCCACGCUCCGUCGCUUUGCUUCGUCUCGGCCCUUAGACAGCUCCACACCAUAGCAUAGCCUCCAGGCUCCAAGUACAGGAGUAGGGAAGCAUCUCCCACAUCAUUCGACGAGCGGCGGUGAGUCCAUCCCCUCCUCCUCCGUCUCCCCCUCCUCCUCCUUCUCCCCGUUCCCGGAGAUGCUUCAUUUUCUUGCUAAUGCUUCAUCUUCUUCUUGUCCACUUGUCCUAAGUCCUAACUAGCUAGCUGCUUGGAGCCUUGGAUCCAUGGAGUCCCCGCAAAAGAAGGCUGCAUCCAUGGACGGAAGCAAGACGCCUCAUCUGCCGCCGGUGACCGUGGCCAAGAAGACGCCUCGUCCGGAUGUUGUCCGAGAGGUCAACGAGUGGGUGCUCGUGACCGCCGGCAUCUUCGUGUUCUCCUUCGGCUUGGCCUACGCACUCGUGCUCUUCCACGUCCCCUGCAGCCAGGUAAAGACAAGUCGGCUAGCUCUUCCACGUCACUAUUCAUGUUCUUUCUUCGGUGCGCCCUGCUGACGGACGUGGAGGAAGCUGUGAUGAACGCCCUUGGCAUCGGGAUGCUGUGCUGCGUCGCGCUCCAGGCGGCCGCAGCGGUGCUGGCGCUGCGUCUCCAGUGCCGCCGUCGCUGGGUCCGCCGUGCCCUCCCCUACCUCGCGCUCGCGCUCACCAUUGGCGGCCACUGCUUCUACGCCGCGCUAGCCCGCCUCUUCCUCAUCGCCGACCCAGGAGACCUCUUCUUCAGGAUCUGCUCAACCGUGGGCAUCUUCGUCUACGCGGCGGGAGACAUCAUCAGCUUCCUGGCCCUCCUGCUCAGCCGCGAGGAGUAGGACUGGGAAGCAGGGCAAGCACCAAGCAGCGGAUCAUGUCUAUGGAUCAGCUCGUGACACGUGAGUUACUGAUGAUGAGUGACUGAUGAAUAUUGAGUGCGAUAACGUAGAGUGUGCAUUAUGCUAGCUGCGACGAUUGAUCGAGUCCCCUGCCCUAUGUGUGUGUGAAUUUACUAGUGUACUACCCUGUGUGUGAAUUACUGAAUUGUGGUCGUCUUUGAUACAGUAGUAUUUGACCUUUUCUCUGUAUGACCAGACAUCAUUUAUAUGCUUAUUUAUCUAGCUUCGGUAUAUUUAAUUAUGAUAACCAUUGUUUUUC